This 92220-nucleotide long non-coding RNA is filed under the name Vitis vinifera (wine grape). Its description in RNAcentral is "long non-coding RNA (VVIN_LNC006023)". The stretch from base 25929 to 26001 matches the Rfam family "tRNA". Lineage: Eukaryota; Viridiplantae; Streptophyta; Magnoliopsida; Vitales; Vitaceae. The record is from RNAcentral.
GAAAAACAACUAAUCAGUUGGAAUUCAGUGAUUUCGGCCUGCAUACAGGUUGGAAGAACAAGUGAUGCUAUGGAGUUGUUCUGCCAGAUGAGGAUGUAUGGACACAGUCCUGAUGCCAUUACUAUUGCUAGUUUAUUAGCAGGGUGUUCUGAAGUUGGUUUUCUGCAGUUUGGGGAGAGGCUCCAUAACUAUGUUCUCAGAAACAAUCUUGACAUGGAAGAUUUUCUGGAAACUGCUCUUGUAGACAUGUAUAUCAAGUGUGGAAGGUUAGAGAGUGCAGAGAGGGUGUUUAAGAGCAUUAAAGAGCCGUGUUUGGCAACAUGGAACACAAUGAUUUCAGGCUAUGGAUUAUCUGGGCAUGAACAUAGAGCUCUCAGUUGUUACUCUGAAAUGCAAGAACAAGGACUAAAACCUGACAGAAUCACUUUUUUGGGAGUAUUAUCUGCUUGUACCCAUGGGGGGCUUGUUUGGGAGGGAAAACGAUACUUUCGAAGUAUGAGGGAAGACUUUGGUAUGAUUCCAGGAUUGCAACACAAUGCAUGCAUGGUUGAUCUCCUCAGUCGAGCAGGAUUUUUAGAGGAAGCAGUAAUAUUUGUCAAGAAUAUGGAGGUUGAGCCUGAUUCUGCCAUAUGGGGAGCUUUGCUUACCUCUUGUUGCAUCCACCAAGAGCUGAAGCUUGGGGAGUGUUUGGCCAAAAGGUUACUCCUAUUGGAUUAUUACAGUGGUGGAUUAUAUGUGUUGAUGUCAAAUCUUUAUGCAAGUAAAGGAAGGUGGGAUGAUGUAGCAAGGGUGAGGAAAAUGAUGAAAGAUACUGGCGGAGAUGGAUCUUCUGGAAUUAGCCUAAUUGAGGUUUCUUCCUUGGAGAAAAUGAAUAACAGCUUGUGCUUGAGCGACUUGAGUUUGAAUACAAAUUAUUGGCAGCUUUCUUCUCCACAUUGACUUCUGACUCAAAUAUUGUAUCUCUCUUCUCAUUCUACCCUGUCUCUGGCCCUUGCUGCAAAUUAUCAGCAGAAAAUAAUUCAGAUACACAGAAUCAAAUUGCUUCCGCACAAACACCAGUUGAGAACUUCAUUACAGUUGUGCUAAGUUUGAAAUUUGAAUAGCUUAAAUGGUAGGUUGAAAAAACAAAGAAGAAAUUGGAGUUUAGGAUUAUAGAUUUUUCAUGACCCAUAUUCAGUUUGGCCUAAUGCAAAUGGCUGAGUUUUUGCUACGGUAACAAAACUGUGAUUUUUCAAUGUUACGGUAACAAGUACAAUAUUAAACUUAGGUUGCAAAAUUUUGUCAUCCAUCUUAGUUUUUCCUUGGCAACAAGGUCAAAGAAGGAGCCGCUCUCAUAUUUGUACAAUACUAAGCCUACCGUCUCUUCUUAGGCCAAAGGGUGUGAUCAAAUAUUGUAAAUGAUUUUCUCCUAAUGGUUCUCAAUAACGUAGUUUUGGAAAAUAUAAGACAUUUGUUACUUGUGGAGUCUAGAAGACUAGAGCCAUUAGAAUUUAGCAUUAUGGCUGUUAUUUUGAAAAAUAUUACUUUUAUUUAUCUAUUAUUUAAUAAAAAACAAAAGAAGGAAAAAUUAAUAAGAAAAAGUUGGGAUUGAAUGUGUGACUUGGCUUGUGGUCAUAUUAUUAUACAUGGAUAUUUUUUUUUUAAAAAAAUACAAUAAUUUUAUGACAUCAAUUGAAAAUGAUUUUUUUUUAAAUAUGGUAUUUUUAGACUAUUUUCACAACACUUUUUAUAAUGAGUUUAAGGCUAAAAUAAUACUUUUGAAGAAAAAAAAAAGUUAGAAUAGUGUCCCUCCCAAAAUAUUUGUUAAAGUAGUCUUUUUUUAAUCACGUAAUCAUCUAUGUGGGUUAUUUUUUUUAGUGUAAAAAAUCACUGUUGGUGACUCUAGUUUUAAAAUCCUAAUAAUCAUAAAAUCAUAGUUAUGAACCAUGGUUUCAAAAAUAUCCUUAAAACCAUAGUUACGGAUUUUAAAAUUAUUUUUAAAUCUACAAGUGGUUACAUAUGUAUUUUUUUAUUUUUUAAAUUUUCUUUAAAAUCACAGUUAUUAACUGUGGUCUUAAAAUUAUAUUUAACAAAAAUUUUAUUUACAUUGAUUGCUAUUUUAAAAUUAUUUUUUUAUUUUAUUUUUUCAAAAUUUUCUUGAAAUUUUGAGAAAAUAAUUUCACCUACAUGUACUCCCAUAAAAUUUUAUAUAUUUAUGGUAAAUAAGAUAUUUAUUUGUUUUAUGAAUUUUAUCACAUAUGAAUUAAAGAAAAAUAUUUUAAAAUUUAUAUUUUCAUAUGAGAAUUAAAACUAAUGAUUAUGAUUUUAGGUUUUUCCUUAUUAAGUGUGAUUUGAACUUAGGUUAUGGUUAAAAUGUAUAAUUUUUUAAUUAUAUAAAAGAAAAAUUGGUUAUGGUUAUAACAAUUUAUUUAGUUAAAAUUUCUUUUAUUUAGGUCAUAAAAGAAACCAAAGUUACUAAUUAUGGUUUUAAAGAAAAGUCAAUGGUUUUAAGAACAUUUUUGAAACAAUAAUUACUAACUAUGGUUUUAAAAUUUUGAAAAUAUUUUUAAAACCACAGUUAUUAAUUGUGGUUCUAAAGAAAAUUUUAAAAUCAUAAUAGCAGCUAUGAAAACUUAUAACAAGUAUGGUUUAUAAUAUUUUUUGAAAUCACAAUUAGUAUUGUGAUUUUAUAGUUAUUAGGAUUUUAAAAUCACAGUCAUUGAUGAUGAUUUUUCACAUAAAAAAAAAAAAAAAAAACUCAUGAUCACGUGACUAGAAAAAAUUACUUUGAAAAAUAUUUUGGGAAGGAAUCCAUUGUCACUGUUUUUUUCUUCCAAAAUAUUAUUUUGGCCUUAAACUCUUUUAUAACGGAAUUUGAAAGUGUUCUAAAUCUUGAAAUAGUUUAAUAAAUGUUUUUUCGUUGUAAAAUUAUAAAGUGGAAGGAGAAGAAAACAAGAAAGAGAAAUUAGAAUGUAGGAAGAGAAUAAAAUUGAUUUUCAUUAGAGGUAUCUCCCUUUUAUAGGGAGUCAUAAAGAGAUAUACAUCAAUAUGGAUGAUCAUCCACAAGUUCUCAUAAUCCGAUAAAUUCUCAUAUUUUAUAACACUCCCCCUUUGAUGAUCAUAAGAAUAUGCCUCAUUAAAACCUUACUAGGAAAAACCUUAUAGGAAAAAACCCUAGUGAAGGAAAAAAAGUACAAUAUUCUUUUGGAUUACUACCACUGUCUCGUUAAAAACCUUGCCAGUAAAACCCAAUGAAACAAAACCUGGACGGAAGAAAAAAGAGUGCAGCCUAGUGAUGUUCUUAUCAAUUAGCUCCCCCUCAUGUAGACAUGAUUAUAUUUUCUCUAGUAGCACAACAUGGAGAUCUUUGAGUCCGCGUAUUCCAAUGAGCUUCUUGAGUAUUGCAGUUGAUAAUGUCUUUGUGAAUAGAUCUACUAAAUUGUCACUUGAUCUUAUUCAUCAAAUAACGAUUUCAUCACUCUUCUGGAGUUAAUGAAAGUAAAAGACUUGGACAAUAUAUGCUUAGUUCUAUCACCCUUAAUGUAUCAUUCUUUUAAUUUGUGCAAUGCAUGCAACAUUAUCUUCAAAUAAUAUUGUCGGGUCACCUUUGAUAGAGGAGAGUCCACAUGAUUCCCGAAUAUGUUGGAUCAUAGAUCUUAGUCAUUUACAUUCACGAUUUGCUUCAUGAAUUACUAGUAUUUCUGAAUGAUUUGAUGAUGUGGUCACAAUUGUUUGUUUGACAGAUCUCCAUGAAAUAGCAGUACCAUUGUAAUUAAACACAUACCUUAUUUGUGACCUACUUUUUUGUAGGUCUGAAAGGUAUCCUGCAUCAGCAUAUCCAAGAAAUUAUUGCUUUGAUUCCCUUAAGUAAAAUAAACUCAUAUUAGUAGUUCCGCGAAGAUAACACAAUAUAUGUUUAAUACCAUUCCAAUGUCUUCGAGUUGAAGCAGAACUAUAUCUUGCUAAUAAAUUGACAUAAAAAGCAAUGUCCGAAUGUGUACAAUUGGCAAGAUACAUAAGUGCACCAAUAGCACUAAGAUAUGGUACUUCAGAACCAAGUAAUUCUUUAUCUUUUUCGCAAGGACGAAAUGAGUCAUUUUUCACGUCAAGUGAUCUGACAAUCAUUGGAGAACUCAAAGAAUGCGCUUUAUCAAUAUAAAAAAGCUUUAAAACUUUCUUAAUGUAUGUUGAUUGAUGUAUUAAAACUCCAUUUGAAAAUGCUUGAUCUGCAAGUUAAGACAAAAUUUUGUUUUUCCAAGAUCUUUCAUCUCAAAUUUCUUUUUCAAGUAAUUUGUUGUUUUUGUGAGCUUUUCAAGAGUUCUAAUAAGAUUUAAGUCAUCAACAUACACUGCAAUAAUUGCAAAUCCGGUUUAUGAUUUCUUAAUGAAGAUGCAUGGACAUAUAAGAUUAUUCAUAUACCCUUCUUUUAGCAAGUAUUCGCUAAGACGAUUGUACCACAUGCUUCCAGAUUGCUUUAAUUCAUACAAGGAUUGUUGUAACUAGAUUGAGUACAUGCUACGAAGCUUUGUACAAUUCGCUUAAAGCAAUUUAAAUCCUUCUGGGAUUUUCAUGUGUAUAUCAUUAUCCAUGGAUCCGUAUAAAUAUGUUGUAAUAACAUCCAUGAGACGCAUAUCUAGUCUUUCUAAGGCUACAAAACUAAUUAAUAAACGAAAUGUGAUUGCGUCAAUGACGGGAGAGUAUGUUUCCUCGUAGUCAAUACCGGGUUUCUGCGAGAAACCUUGUGCUACUAAUCGCACUUUAUAUCUUAUGAUCUCAUUAUUCUCAUUGCGUUUUUCGUACAAAUACCCAUUUGUACCCAACAAGUUUUACAUCUUUAGGUGUUUGGACUACAGGUCCAAAAACUUCUCAUUUUGUUAAUGAGUUUUAACUUUGCUUGUAUAACUUCUUUCCAUUUUGGCCAAUCAUUUCUAUGUCGGCAUCCUUCCACAUUUUGUGGUUCAGGAUCUUAAUCAUUUCUUAUGAUAUCGGAGACCACUUGGAAAGUGAAAAUAUUGUUAAUAAUAACAUUAUUUUGAUAACAUUUUUCUUCCGUGUAUACAUAACUUAUUGAGAUCUCACAAUUUUCAGGUACAUGUGCCUCUUCAGGGGCUUUCUACAUUAUUUGUGUCUCUUUUGGGGCUAUAGAUUUAUCAAUUUUAAACUGAUCAGUUAUUUUUUUAUGGCAUCUUUUAGAGUGCCAAGUUUUUCUUGGGUACUCCUCUUCCGGGGAGUUACAUCAUUUGAGCUGACAGGUCUACCACACUUUAAGCGUAUCUUAGAUUAAUUUGUUAAUUAUCCUAUAGGGACAUCAAUCUGUGCUAGAGUAUUUGCAGCCGGGAUAUAUGACUUUGUCACUUUCUUUGUAUCAAUGAAUGCAUCUGUAAUUGAUUUGCAAGAUUUUGCAAAUGAGUGAUCCUUUGAACUUCUAGUUCACAUUGAUUUGUGGGGAUCAAGAUGAGUCAAAGUCAAUGCAUUCCAAAUAAUUUUACUCUGUUUUUCUGAAACUGGCUCUUCUCUCCCUAACGACAAGAUAAUUGUCUCAUUAAAAUUAUAAUUUGCACAACAAGUCAUUCUACAUUUUAAGUGUAUAGAUAGACUAGUCACUAAAUAAAAACUUCUGGUUUUAUAAUAUACAUAAAUAUGAUCUUUUACCCUAGGAGACCAAGUUGGUCUUACAAGAUUCUUCUGGAUCUAGUAUCGUAUAAAGUGUCAUUCACAUGGAAUCAAAUACUACUAGUGACAUGGUAUAAGCUCUUCUGGAGCCUUUAAUUAGGUUUCUAUCACCUGAUAUAGUAUUAACAUUGUUUGUCAUCAAUGUUGUGCAAUUAAUGAGAUAAGAGUUUCAUCAAAGUAACAAGUCAUAAAACAUUGUCAUAAAGACUUCGUCUUUAUAGAGUUGAAUAAAUAUUAUUAUAGAGAAAAAGUUAAAAUCAAUGGAAAAAUAUUAGUCAUUGAUGAUAAUUUAACUUAAUAAGUUGUGUAAAAGCAAUGAGAGCACAUAUAACACAAUAAAACAAAUACAAAAAGAUAAUUUAAAGUUAUAUAUUUCGUAAAUAUCUCAUACAUUUGAUUUUCUAAGUAUGGAGUAAUUUAUACAUGAAAUAACUAGGAAGUAUUUCAAUAAUCAAACUAAUUGUAGUAAUGGAUCAAGGUAUGAGAGAGAUUUAUGUAUCUUCAAGUAUAAAUAAAGAAAAGAAUUUAAAUGAUAAAUAAUAAAAUGUGAAAUAAACUAUAAAAGAUGAACAAUGUGUUCAAAGAUGAUAACAAAAUGAACCUAUUUGCAAAGAACUAAAUAAAACAUAAUGUUUAAUCAUAACAAACAUUUCCAUCACCAAUUAGACGGUCAAUUUUCUCAUUAGGAUUCUCAAAGAAAUCUGAAACAUCUAAAUGGGUUAGAUCCACUUGGCCAUCACUAUCAAUGAAGUUCAUUUCUAUUUCUUUUCCUUUUACUUUUAUUGAUACUUGGUAAAGGUCGACCAAAUGUUUGGGCGUACGACAGGUUCGCAACCAAUGCCCUUUCAUACCACAUAUAUAACAAUUAUUCUCAUGGUUCUUAGGAGGUUUAUCUUGUAAACACUUCUCAUUUUCUUGUUUUACCUCAGUAUUAUUCCACUUCUGGUGGUGCAAUGAGGCUUUCAUUUUUUGAGAAUUUGGUGAAUUAUUGCUAUAAGAACUAUGGUAUAGGGGAUUUCUUUCAUGACCACGACCACGACCACGACCACGUCUUCGUCAUCGUCCACGAGUUUGGGACAAUAUUGCAUUCACUUCAGGGAAUGAUUCAGAUCUAGUUGAACAAGACUGAUGAUUUCUCAUCAAAACUCAUUUUUUAUUAAACCUUCAUGGAGAUGAUGACAAAGGAAAAUAAGUGUUUUUGCGCAAUCUUGCAGGGAUGCUUGAUUUCAUUCUUUGAUCAUAGCUUCAAGAUUCAUUGACAAUUUUGUUUUGAAUAACUUCUAGUUAUACAAGAGAAUUAUAAAUUGUAUGCAUAACUUCUGUCUAUGAAACUAUUGUUAAUAAAAAUUGUUUCCCAUAAUUCCUGUUGUAAAAAAUAAGUGAGUACAAAAUAAAAAUUAAAAGCCAAUAUUUUCAUAACUUUGAAUUAUGAUCAUUUUGUUAGAACAAGAAAAUAUGCAAAUUUGUACAUAGCUUCAGGCUAUGAACUAUUUAUGUAUAACUUCUAGUUAUACAAUAUAAUUAAAAGAAAUUAAAUAAAUUAAAAGUUAACAUUUUUCAUAACUUUAGGUCAUGAUUAUUUUGUAAGAACAAGAAAAUAUUUAAAUUUGUACAUAGCUUCAGACUAUGAACUGUUUUUUAUAUAAAUUUGUAUAUAACUUCAGGCUAUGAACUAUUCAUUGUGUAUAUUUGUGCAUAGUUUUAAGUUAUAAACUUUCAUUAUAUAGAUUUAUACAUAGCUUCAGGCUAUGAAUAUUUAUUUAUUUAUUUUAUAGCUUCAGACUAUAUAAUAUUGUUUGGUAUAACAUCCAGUUAUACAGUAUAAUUAAAAAUUAAUAAUUAAGGAUCAUAUACAUAACUUCUGGUCAUAUAUCCAUAAUUCUGUAAUUUUCCCUAUAACUUCUGGUUAUAGGAAUUACACAUAUUUUUCAUUACUUCUACUUAUAAAUUUACCCCAUAACUUCUUAUUAUAAGAAUUAUACAUAUUUAUGUAUUCAAAUAAAAUAAAUGAAAAUGGAGAUCAAAUGGUAAUAAAAUAGAAAAUCAUGAUAUAAGUUUAUCACAUACCUUUUUGUGAGAAAGAAGAAAGAAGAUCUUUCUAAUUUUUCUGAAGGGAAUAAGAAUAACGUCUUUCUAUUUCUCUGAAUAGAAUAACGUCUUUCUAUUUUUCUGAAUAAAGAAAAAUCUUUCUAUUUUUUUUGUAAAGACUACUCGUGUGAUAAUGUGUUGUAAAAUAAUAAAAUGAAAGGAGAAAAAAACAAAAAAAAGAAAUUAGAAUGUAGGAAGAGAAUAAAAUUGAUUUUCAUUAGAGGUAUCUCCCCUUUUAUAGGGAGUCACAAAGAGAUAUAUAUCAAUAUAAAUGACCAUUUACAAGUUCUUAUAAUACAAUAAAUUCUCAUAUUUUAUAAUAUUUUUAAAAUUAUUGUAUUUUUUUCAAAAUCCCUCUCAUACAAUCCAUUCCCUAGAGUCCAGACCGCGGCCCAUUUGAGCUGCUUAAUGUUUUUGCGGUAACGCGGUUAUGCUGGAGCCGAACCGGCGAUACUGGGUAACGGUAACUUGCCAUGUUUUGAGGGCCCCCUUUCAAAACCCUAAAAAAGUAAUCACAACGCUCCAAUUUUCAAAAUUUGAACUAGGCGCCCUUGACAUCUCUCCCAGAUCUCAUCUCCUUCUUUCUCUUAGUUCUCGUUGCCUCUAUUAACAAACCACAAAUCAAUCGAAGAUGGGCGGGGCUCACAGUCGCGAAGAUCUGGAGAUCUCCGAUUCCGAAUCUGAAGAAGAAGAAAACUACCAAGACGUUGUAGAAGAAGAAGAAAAUGGAGAGAGAUCUUCAGAGCGGAGAACCAAGACUCCCUCGUCGCUCGACGAAGUCGAAGCCAAGCUCAGAGCCCUUAAGCUCAAGUACCCCUCUCAAAACCACCCAAUUCUCCCUAACGCCGUCAAGCUCUAUCUUUACAUUGGGGGAAACACACCCAAAGCCAAGUGGGUUACUUCAGAAAAACUCACUUCUUAUUCCUUUCUCAAGACUUGUGGAAAUGGCGGCUCAGACGACGAUGAGCAAGAUGAUGAAGAGGGAGGAGAAUCUUGGUGGAUUUUGAAGGUUGGUUCCAAGGUUCGAGCCAAGGUGGCCCUGGAAAUGCAAUUGAAGACUUUCGGGGACCAGUGUCGCGUUGAUUUUGUGUCACAGGGUGUGUGGGCGAUGAAGUUCUUUAGUGAAGAUGAGUACAGGAAUUUUGUUGGUAAAUUUCAGGAUUGUUUGUUUGAAAACACGUACGGAUUUGAAUCAACAGAUGCCAACAAGCUUAAGGUUUAUGGGAAGGAUUUUAUUGGGUGGGUGAAGCCAGAAGUGGCAGAUGAUUCCGUAUGGGAAGAUGCGGAGGAUGGUUACUUGAAAAGCCCUGAUCCGGCAACUCCUGCGAGAGCAAGUCAGGAUUUGAGGGAAGAGUUUGAGGAGGCUGCCAAUGGAGGGGGGAUACAAAGUUUGGCAUUGGGUGCAUUGGACAACAGUUUCUUGGUGAACGAUUCUGGGAUUCAGGUUGUAAAGAAUUUCAGCCAUGGGAUUCAGGGGAAAGGUGUAUUUGUGAAUUUUGAUAAUGGGAAUCGUAGAGGUGGUUUUGGCUUGGAGCAUUCGACACCAAAAAAGGCUCUUCUUAUGAGGGCUGAAACUAAUAUGCUCCUUAUGAGUCCCAUGACUGAGGGGAAGCCCCACACAAGGGGGCUUCACCAUCUUGAUAUUGAAACUGGGAAGAUUGUUACGGAGUGGAAGUUUGAGAAGGAUGGGACUGAUAUUACCAUGAGGGAUAUUACAAAUGACAGUAAGGGAGCCCAGAUGGAUCCUUCGGGAUCCACAUUUUUAGGAUUAGAUGACAACAGGCUCUGUCGGUGGGAUAUGCGUGAUAGAAAUGGGAUGGUUCAGAAUCUAUCAGAUGCUAGUACCCCUGUAUUGCAUUGGACCCAAGGUCAUCAGUUCUCUCGGGGUACCAACUUUCAGUGCUUUGCAACAGCUGGGGAUGGAUCAAUUGUUGUUGGGUCUAUUGACGGGAAGAUCCGACUGUAUUCAAACAACACUAUGAGGCAGGCAAAAACUGCUUUUCCUGGCCUUGGUUCACCUAUCACUCAUGUGGAUGUUACAUUUGACGGGAAGUGGAUAUUGGGCACAACAGACACCUAUUUGAUCCUCAUCAGCACUCUUUUCAUUGACAAAGAAGGAAGGACAAAGACUGGUUUUGCUGGGCGUAUGGGGAAUAGAAUCUCAGCCCCAAGAUUGUUGAAGCUCACUCCUUUGGAUUCGCAUCUCGCUGGAGUAAACAAUAAGUUCCGCGGUGCUCAGUUUUCGUGGGUAUGUUUGCACCUUCUCUUUCUCAUAUUUACGUUUGCUAGUAUUUUUUUUUAUUUUUCUUGUUGCCAGCCUGCGGUUUAAUGUAUUUCACUAUUCAUUUCUUGUUUUGGCUAUUCACAUUGGAAAAUAGGGGCUUUCUUGAUAUAUCUUCUUGACCAGAUUUGUUGUUGAAUUACUCAGUGUUAUUAUAAUUUUUGUAUUUCUGCUUGAUUCCACCUUUUCUCUGAUAAGGAAUUCUUGGAAUAUCAUUUUUUUUUCACUCUCAUUAUUAUUUGUGCUUUUAUUUUCUUGAUUCAGUACGUAUUCUUGAGUAGAAGUUUCCUUGCAUCAAUGACGGUCUUAGGAUUUACUCCAAUAUUUGACUGUUGAUUCAAUUGCAUAUUUGCAAAAUUCUAGGCUGCUAACUGUAUUUUAUGAUAAGGUUGGAUAUUUUGGUGAGUUUAUUAAGUAAGAUUGCGUUUGAUGUGCAAAGAUUGUGGAUUUAUUGCAAAUCUUCCAUGUAAGGAUGUCUGAGUUUAUCUGUUUAUGAGAAGCCCACUAUGAAUUCUUGAAGAAAUUUAUUAAAAGAGUUAACACAAGAAUCAUUUUGUUUACCUAUUACUUAUAUUCUUGAAGAAAUAUUCCAUUGGAGCAUAGUUCUUGCAUGGCAUCCCAUUGAAGACCAUUGUCCAUUGUAAAUCAAAGUGAUGGAUUGUUUUCCACCGGGUGGUCCACUCAUGGUUCCAUUCUUUUAACCUGGGAUUUUGACUCUGUGAAUGUAUCUGAAGUUCAUUGUAAUUGUAUAUCUAAGAAACUUAUUUCUUUAUGGCCAGAUUGGAUCAAAUAUUUUCCAUGUAGUACAGCUAACCAGUUGCUUACUUGAGCAUUUUGAUUGCCUAAUAAAUGCGUUGACUUUAAAAAUGUGCGAAGUAACUAAUAUUUUUUAUAACCUUGCCAUCAUGUAUGAUUUUCAAUUGAAUGGUGCUUUUUUUUUUAAUGGUAUUAGACUGAUAUUCUAGUGUUUCUCAACCAAAGGGCACUUGUUGAAGCCUGUUUCAUUUGUUAACUAGUAACUGUCUCAAAUAUGGUUGAUGAGCUUUCCACAAUGUGUUUUUUGAACUAGAGACGCUAGCAGGAUAAUGGAGGAAGUUGAUUGUUACAUUAUCAAAUCAAUCCAUGCCUUAAUAAAAAAAUUAACAAAUAUCUUUAAUCCAAAAUUUGAAAAUUCCAUUAAGUUGUUAAAACUUCAAAGUUAAUCACAUCCAUUUUAAUUUGAAUACCUUUUUUCUUCCAUUUUCUUUGGUUUUCAUUAUGUUGAAAACUCAAAGACAAGUAUAAAAAACUUUUGUCGCAUAUUGUCAAGCAAUGCAUAUUUAAUCCUCUCCAAGUAUUUAUAGAAGGGUGGAAGGUUCUAGAUCUUGGCCUUCUGACAUAUUUUCUCAAGAUCUUCAAACUGAAGCUUCUACAAAUGGUUGAAACAUUCUAUUAGAUUUUGAAUUAAUAUAGAUUUCUCUCAAAUUGAGCAUAAGGUUUUCAAUUAGUGUAGAAUUGGAGUACUAGAAUUUUAAACAUAUAGCUACUGUCUAGAGGUUGUGGAAUCUCCAACAUCAGGCUUCUAGGGAGAGUUCCUUGGAUAGCUAUUAUAGGUGACUGUCACACCUCAUUGGCAAAGACACCAAGAGUUUAGAACACAUGAUAAGUUACCUUUCUGGUAUAGGAGACUUCUUUGCAUCUGCUUAGCUUUGUCAAGGUUGGUUUUGUGAGAUCAAGAAAGCUUGAGUAAUCUAAUGAUGCUCGGGUGCUGGGAAUCUUGCAAAUAUAUAAGUUAUGUUCCAAAGCUUCACCUAGAAGUUACUAGUUUUUAAAUAAUAAAAAGUCUUAAAUGCUUUUAUUCCAAUGAGGAUAAAAGAAAACAAUAAAAGAAUUUAUAGUAGCAAGUUGUUAUAGUUGUUGAGAUCAUUUUGUAAAUUAUGUAGGAAUGUUUAAUAAUUUCCUAUUAUAAAUACAAAUCUUUCAAUCCAAAAGUUUUUACUUUUGCACUAUGCCUUACCCUAAUUAUUUUCUUAAUUUUCAUUUUAUCUCUGCAUCAGAAGUUUUGUUUUCUCCUGCCUAUUUCCUGAAACAGGAUUAGUGAUGCAGAAGUUCCCAUUUCUUUUUAUUGUUAAAUAGUUUUUGCUUUUCCGCUGAGCAAGUUUGGUAAUGUAUUCUUUCUUAUACAUGCAGCAUGUUUCUCUUAUAUCCUUAUGAUUGGUUCUUUGGCUUUUAACUGUCUUGUGGUCCAACAUUUUGAAAUUCCAUAGGUCACAGAGAAUGGGAAGCAGGAGCGCCACCUGGUUGCCACAGUAGGAAAGUUUAGUGUGAUAUGGAAUUUUCAACAGGUGAAGAAUGGCUCCCAUGAGUGCUACCAUAAUCAGGAGGGCCUGAAGAGCUGUUACUGCUACAAAAUUGUUCUCAAAGAUGACUCCAUAGUUGAUAGCCGCUUCAUGCAUGACAAAUUUGCUGUCAGCGAUUCUCCUGAGGCUCCACUUGUGGUUGCUACCCACAUGAAAGUGAGCUCCUUCAGUAUAUCCAGCAAGCGAUGACAUUCCAAAACAUGUCCCUUAUGUUACUUUAAUUCAUCUUUAGAACUUUUGGAUUGUACUUUAUGUAGCUGCUUUGCUACUUGAAAUGUUUUCAAGAAUGACUUUCCUAACUGUAAUAUGAUUUCGUACAUGUUUGUAACUCAUUGCAAGCCCAGCAAUUUUAUUAUGGUAGUAAUUUCCAAAGACAUCACUCUUUGUACAUUUGAUAUUGGCAGUGGCUUUUAAAUGUCAAAUGGAAUAUUGGAGGACAAAAUGAUGAUUUUAGUUGGACUGCAGCUGAAUCCGUAUUUGGACAGAUCCAGAGCAGUAAAUCAAAGGGCUCAAAGUGAAUAAGUGGGCCCGUGUUAUCAGGAUUCUUUACAGGGUUGGAUACUAGAUGUUUUUAAGCCUCAUGUUUAUGCCUUUGCUCUUCUGGUGAGGAGUUGCUGUCAGAGGGAGAAAAAAAUGGCCAUUACAGUAGGCACAGGCUUUCUUGUUCAGCCCUCAUCUUCUCUAUCUUUGCUUGGAAGGAAAUCAUGUAGACCCACAUUGGAUGUAGCUUACAGGUUCUUGCCUGCUAGACCUGGACCUAGCCGCUUCAGUCAUGGGACUGUGGUUCAGGCCCAACAACGGCCAACAUGGCUUCCUGGACUUGAUCCUCCACCUUACCUUAAUGGAACGUGAGCUCUUAAUUCCUAGUCAAUAAAACUCAACCCCAGAUAAAGACUGUAGAUUGGUUUUAAUUCUAUCAUAAUUGUUGAUGGUGUUUUGUAGUUUGGCUGGAGAUUUUGGGUUCGACCCACUUGGACUGGGAGAGGACCCAGAAAAUUUGAGAUGGUAUGUGCAGGCAGAACUGGUUCAUGCUCGCUUUGCCAUGGCUGGAGUUGCUGGAAUUCUUGUGACAGAUGUGAGUAUUUCAGCAAGUUCUCUGGACUUUGUUUUUCUUCUGCCUUCUCUGUUUUCUUUUUGGUUGUCAUACAAGAAUUUCAGUCAUAAAAAUGCACUGAGCAGUAAUAAAACAAGUUUUUUGGAAUAGGUAUAUAUAUCAUGUUGGUGAAUCUGGAAGAACAAUUGGAAUUCAAUCAAUUAUCUACUUUUGAGAUGGGAUUGAAGAUGAGUCUAUUGGGUUUAGACUUGUUCAACAGAGGCAUUUUAGGAGUAAAAAUAGAGGGAAGUAAAUCCUGGGACUUGGCGAUGGGGGCAGCUCAGUUGAAUUCAUUUUCAAAAUAGAUUCCUGAAUUGUAUGUCACAUGUAUUCUUUCAAGAGAUUAAUUUAUACAAAUAUUACACACAAAAAAAAAAUUAAAAAAAAAUCCCUCAAACCGUAUCCACUGAAUUUUCUUUUCAGUACUACCAGAUACGGAUAUGAUAGGCAUCGUUUUGAUUGAAAAGAUUUUAAUUCAUUGAUUGUCAUGAAUUUUCUGGGCAAAUUGGCCAAGAUUAUAUUUCUUACCUUUAUUCCACCCCUUAGUUCUUGAGUACUUCUCUGCAGUUACUCCGAGUCACAGGAAUCAGCAAUUUACCAGUCUGGUAUGAGGCGGGCGCUGUUAAAUUUGAGUUUGCAAGCACGGAAGCUUUGUUCAUAGUCCAACUAAUUCUGAUGGGGUAGAAUCUUUGUCAAUUCUCAGUCUUUUAAACUGUUCUGUUUCUCUCAAAAAAUCCAUUUGAAUGACAAACGAUCCCAAAAGAGAAGCAUGAAAAGAGAUUCCUAGUUUUCAGUCUAUGUUCUUUCAUCCUGUCUAUAAGAUUCCGACACAAUCUCCAUUAACUUUUAUGUAAUUGGAAUUUGUUGUAUGAUGCCCAUUAAUAAUGCAGAUUUGUUGAAACCAAAAGGUAUAUGGAUUUCACUAAUCCUGGAUCUCAGGCAAAGGAAGGAUCUUUCUUUGGAUUGGAAGCAGCACUAGAAGGCUUAGAACCCGGGUUUGUUUCAAUGCUUUACAUCUUUAUCCAUAUCCCUUGGAAAGUUUCAAAUGUUGCUUCAUUAGUCUAAUCAUUCUAAUAUUACAUUAAGAUUAUCUCAUCAUAUCAUAUUAAGUCUUAUAUCUAUCUUUUAGUACGCUUUUUUGGCCCAGUAUGUUCAUGUUGCCAACCACAAAUACCUACAUAAGCCACAAUCACUCUUUUCUCCUCAAAGUUGAUUUGAAUUUAGUAAGUUCUUAUAAUGCCACGACAAUUAACUAACAGAUACCCCGGUGGUCCUCUGCUAAAUCCUCUUGGCCUGGCUAGGGAUAUCAAAAACGCGCAUGACUGGAAGCUCAAGGAGAUCAAGAAUGGUUUGAUUUGCUCUUCCUUUUUUUUUUUUUGCUCGUUGGGUUUCAGAUAGAUCUUCCUUGUGGCCCCUUAUUAUUAUUAUCUUAAUGGGUGUUUAUGGUGAAAGUACUUCUCCAUUGCAGGACGGCUGGCAAUGGUAGCCAUGCUGGGAGUUUUUGUGCAAGCUUCUGUAACUCAUGCAGGCCCAAUUGAGAACCUGGUGGAGCACCUCUCCAAUCCAUGGCACAAGACUAUUAUUCAGACAAUUUCCUCGACUUCUUAAAAUAUCAAUCGAGUUGGCUCUCUAUUAUUAAGCUUUACAAAUUCAAAUGUAAAUCUCUUCAUUACCUUGUUCUAUCAAUUUUUCUUUUUUUUUUUUAAAAAAAAAACCUUUUUACCUUAUGCAAAAGUCAAAUUGAGGUUCGUGGUCAGCCUUUUAGUUGAUAAUUGGGAUCCUUAUUAAUUUUUUAGAUGCUAUAAGUAAUUUCUUACCAUGUCGUUUCUAUACAACUUCUUAUAAGAAUAUUAAGCUUUUAAAAAUAAAUUAUAUAAAAAUAUGUAUUUGAAGUUUUCUAAAAAUGUUAAAAUUUUUUAAAAAGGAAAAAAAAAAGUCAUCAAAGUUCUCUAAAAAUGGAAAAAUGAAUAAAAGCGAAAAAUGUCUAAAGUUUGUUGAGAAGAAUAAAAGUUCUUCAGGCGGCUGAUGGGAUUGGAGGCAGUGACCCAAGGAUGACAUUAAAACCACAGUCCUCCGCUCUUCCAACCGGCUUCUGUAAAGAUAUUGAAGGAAGCAUUUUGUACAGGAGAAGAGUCGGCAGAAUAAAUAGAGAAGUUGCAGUUGAAUGUUGCAGUUUUCAACCGAGAAGAAUGGAGUACCUAACAGACUAACACCAAAAUCUUUCGUUAAAACCAAACUCUUACCAGAUACAUAACAGGGGUUGAGAUUUGAAGUAGCAAUCCUAUACACUACACAGCAAUUUUAUUCUCUUUCUCCAGCCAAGCACUGCUAACAACUUAUUAUCUCUUCUCAAGCCCCAUCAACAGAUAUAAUCCUUCUGAUCAAAAUUACAAUCCAAUCAACUUAUCAUACAUAAAAUAAUCACCAACAUGUACAUCACCUUAAAACUUUCGUCAGAUCAAAUCCACCUAUUCUGGUUGCAGCAGUAGGGGGGGGGGGAAAGCAUAUCUUGGUAUGAAUAGAGCAGUUAUGUUGACUUUGAUGAGUGUGACUUUCUUCUGGUGAAGAACAUGAAGAACCGGGGGAACAUUGACCUCUUCUUUUUCUUCAUAGACUUUGUUUCUGGAGAUGAUUCGGUUUCAGUGCUAUUUCCUUGCAUAUAUGGCUUUGGGCUAGCCCUGUAAUGGAUAGCAGCUGCAGGUUCUGGGCCCCGGUCAAAGUUCUUUGAUUCUUUCCUCUCUUCCAAGCUUCUGUCCUCAAAACUCUUCCUGGGACUUCUGAUUGGGUUUACCACUCCUUGACCAGAUUCAGAAGCCUUGCGCCGCUGCUCAUGUUCUGCCCUCCACUUUCUCAACUCUUGCUCCACACCCAACUUCCCUUCCUUGGCCUUCUCAGCCUUCUCCAAUGCAUGGUUUAAGGCUUCCUUUCUAGUAGCCAACUCCUGAUUGACUGCUUCCAGCUGAUCCAAACUUCUAAGCUCGGACUCCUUUGCUACCUCAAUUUGGGACAUGGCAGCCACCACCCUCAUGUUGGCCUGCUCCUCCGCCUCAUGGGCUCGCUUGCUUAGUUCAUAGUACUCUUCUAAAGCAAGUGUUACUCCAGUAGGUGAAUCCUCAUCAUUGGUGUCUCGAGCUGAUUCACUCUCCUGCAGUGCUUUGAUAGCUGCUAGUGCCAACUUCUCUGAAGCCUUGGCAGCUUCUAUCUCCUUUUGAGCUGCUAAUAAUCUACUCUCCAUGGUACUUGCUCCAGCCUUGGCUUGCUCGGCUUCUUCCUUUGCCUUCCGCAGCUCCUCCCAAGCCAUUUGGGCUAGUGACUUCGCCUGAUCUGCCUCUUGAGCAGCUUGCUGUAAUUGCUUGGGAAGCUCUGCCAUCUUCUCUCUGGCUUCUCUCUCCUUCAUUUGAACUAGAGCUAUCUCUGACUUGGUACUAUUCAGCUCAGCUUCAAGAGAUGCAGCUGCCACUGAUGCUAUUCCUUCUCUCUGCCUAAUUGUGGCUAGUGCUGACUUUUCUUUUUGAAGCUCUGAUUGUAAUGAUGUGGCUGCCACCUUCAAAUAAUUGACCUCAGUUGUUGCUUUCUCAAUAUUGAGCUUCACUUCUUCAAGUUCCUUCUUGGCUGAAGCAAUUGCUGCUUGUAGAUCAGUAUGAGUUUUCUUCUCAGGUUCUUCUAGCUCACCCUGCAAGUGUUCUUCAUUGGUUUCCUGCUUCAAUUUUGAUUCCAUGUAGGCUGCUAAUUCAGCUUUUAAAUCAAGCAACAGGGCUGAAGCAGUGUCUAGUUUUGAUUUGAGAUCCUUCCUAGACACAACUUGCUCAUUAAGUUUCUGCAGCUCCUCUUCUGCCUGUUUCAAUUCCUUUUCCCAAUUGAGAGAAUCUUGCUCUUUCACCAUAGCCAUUCCAAUUCUUUGUUCCUCUGCCUCCAGAUGGGUGGCGUGUGCAGAUUCUAAGGCUUCCUUUGUGGCAAUCAACUCAAUAGUCAGUUCCUCCACUGUCUUCUCAAUUUCCUUAGACGCUGAAACAGCCUGCUCAGCCCUCUUCACAGCCACAUCUUUCUCAGUCACCAAAGAAGCAUAUUCCUUACGCAGUGCUUCCAAUUCAUCUUUCACAGCUUUUAAAUCUGCAACUGCAGCUGCAUGUCUGGCUUUAGCAACUUCAAGCUGUGCUUUGGCUGCAACACUAGCUUCAUCAGCAAUUCCUUGCUCCAUCUCUUCCACCCUGAGUUUGGCAAGUUCUGAGUCCUGUUUUGCCUGAUGUUCUUCAGUUUGUGCUCUCUCUAAGUUCAGCUUCAAUUCUUCUAUGAGUCUCUUUGUGCUGUCCAGCUCCUUUAGUGCUUGAGUUUUUGCAUCUUCAGCAUCCUCAGCCUGUUUCCUAUAUUCAGGAAUAUCCUCCCGUGCUUUCUCAAGUUCUCGCUCCACAAGCUUGCGCCUCUGCACAUCCAUGGAAGAAAUUUAAAGUUAUUUUUUGAUGGAUGUGGAUGCAAUCCCUGCUCGUGGGGACAGUGUUGCACAGAACACAACUAUUGGUUAAGUGCUAACUCUAAUUUGUGCAUUCCAAUUUCCAAACAAACCUCAGAUCCUAUGACAGAAAAAAGAGGUAAGGUGAAUAAAUUUCAGAAAGUAUAAUUGUAUACCCAAAAGAUAAAAAGAACCUAACAUCUAUCAUCUUUUUCUUCCUUCUUUCCCAAACAAAACUGAAAAAUGAAAUCAAAAUAAUAAUGAUAACAACAACAACAACAAUAAUAAUAAAGGCAACCAGAGCAUGAAAUAGAAAUUGCACCAACAAAUUAAUCAACCAAUCAAAAAUAAAUAAAUCUUGUCAGAAGCCAGUCCAACUCAAUUAAAAUCAAGGUACAGUCAGGUUAGGCUUCCAAAAGAACCUCUUUGUAUUUGGGUAAUUUGGAAGCAGAAAAGCAAAAGAAAGAAGAAAGGAGAAAAAAAGAUCAAUGCUGGGCAACGAACUUAAAAACUACUUUUCUGAAAGAAAGGGAACAUAAUUUGCUUUUCCGUAAAAUCGAAAUGCAACUGCUCUAGAUUUCUGCCUUUUCCCUAUUACUGCCUCCUCCAACAAACUGUCACAUAGCAAUCACAACCACCUCCACCAUUGUCUCUGCCACCAGCACCAUUAUAGAUGUCAUCACAUAAUGUAAACAGCACCAUACAAUAUAAUUGUCUCAUCCACCACCACUGCAACUGCAGCCACCAACACCAUGUUUGGCUCUACAACUUUGACACCACUGCCACAGCAGCAAUUUCCGCCUCCUCUACUGCCGUCAGCACCCUCUUCAUCAAUGAAAGUAUUCCUAAAAUGCCAUCACCUCUCCACUGCCUCUAUACCACCAUUAUCAUUGCCAUCAUCAUCAACACCAUGCAAUUUUCAUGUUCAGUAAAUACCAAUAUAGAACAGAAUUUAAAAACACGCUUUUCACUGAAUUCCUAGAAAUAAGCAAGAAAGUAAACACAAUGCCUUUUCAGUUUCUCAAAAGUAUUUUCAAAGUGUGCAACCAACGCAUGCUUGAGGUAAGAAAAUGUUAGGUGUCCAAACCACAAGGAACAUGUUAAAAUGAGAUUAGUAAUCCAAGAUAAUGACAAGAGUGGAGAAACAUAAAUACCUCCACUGUCUGGAUUCUAUGGGCUUUCCAAUCAACAAUUCCUCCAAACUUGGAAACUGCUUCUUUAACAGAUUCAAAAGGCGCUGCUGUAUCAACAUGGGCCCUGGUUACGUCAAACUGUUUUACAUGUUUAGAAGCGCUGAAAGGUUCUGGUGUUCCAACAGCAGCAUUGGAAAACAUCACUUGCGGCAGGGAAAGCUCAUCGGAUUGCCCAACAUGGUCAUCACCAGUAGAAUCUCUGAUCUCAGGGGAGGAAGCAGAAGGAAUAACAUCAACGUGAACAUGGGCAUUGGUAACAAAAUUACCAUCACAAGAUUGUGGUCCAUCAGAGGUAACAACUCCUGUUUCAGAAUCUCCUUUAACUGUACCCGGAUGGUCAGGCUCUGCCUCAUCAACUGUAACAGGGGACAUUGGAGUAGAAAUGUCUGUUGGAGGUAGUUGAUCUUGUCCCAGUGAUGGGGUAUCAGAAGCAUCAACAGCUGCUAAUUUUGAAGUAUCCACUGUUAAUGCUUCUGAGUUAGAUUCCACUUCUCCAUUAAUAACUGGGCUGAUUAGACUUUCAUUAGAGGAAUGAUUAUUAUCUUGGGAGGAUAAAGAGGGUUCAGUUGGAGACUUCUCUUCAGCAUUUUUUGCAUCCUCCAUCCCAACAAGUGCUAGAAGUGCCUAUCUGAAACAAUAAAACAUUAGCCCACCCUCCAAAAAAAUAAGGAAGAAGAAGAAAGAAAAAAAAAAUGAAAAAAUUACCAAAAACCAUUGCCUAACUCACAAGUAUUCCUCAAAAUAUUUGUAUUUUAAGAAUUAAACUUCAUAUGUUUGGUAUAGGGGAAAGAAAAAAUUUACCUGAAACACCUUAGAAGUCUAGAAUUGGAACUUUCAUAGAAACUCAACAAGUUUAAUUCCAAUGAAGACAGAUAUGUCACAGAUUAUGUAUACUUGUUUGUAUCUAUUAUUCCUCUCUUUUUUGUUUUAGGUCCAAAGAUCUGCACGAUAUGAGGGACUCAUAACCCCAAACCUUGAUGAGGACAAAUUUGACUCCUAGUCUCUAGUACAAUCCCUGAAAUCUAAAGGACUUUACUACAGCCUACUCAGCAUUAUCAUCAUCAUUUUUAGUCAUUGUCUUAGGAUUGAAAAAUGAGAUUGAGAAAUUUGGGACAGAAGGAAGAUAGACAGUAGUGUGAAAGAGAACAUGUUGAAUGCCAAGCCAGGCAGCCGGGCCUUGUGGGCAAGAUUAGCCAUAAACACUUAGCCAAGUUUCCCUUUAGUAGUUAAAACACAAAAAUAAAAACAAAGUGAUGGGAAAGCUCAGGGAGCAGGUGAGAGAGGGGAAUGAGAGGAGAAAAUGUAGGAUUGGUGCCAACAGAUGACCUAGACUGGUCACUACCUAUCUCACAGUUGAGAGAGGGAGCAAAGGUGUGACGGAGAUCAUGAGGCAAUGAAGCAAGGGAGAUAUAGGGCCCAGCAAACUGAAAACCAUUUGUAGAUAUGAUUUUAGAUAUGCACACAGGAUCAUUUGACUUAAUCAUUUUGUGUUUCACAAGACUGCAUUCAAGCAGAUCUCCUUAUGUUGUUUUACAUAUCCAUGAUGUGUGAAAUUUAUUUACUCCCAGAAAUACAAAAAAGAAGAAAUGAGUGCUAAAAAUAAUGAUGCAUUUUGUUUACACUAACUAAAAGUUGCAAAGAGUUUCAUGCCAAGUGUCCAAGUGUACAUGACCAAAACCUUUAUUUUCUAAAGAUAUGAUAAAAAAGUGAGACUAUCCAUCAUGUUACCAAUUGGCAAAGAAUUAACUUUAUUUAUUUUGGAACAGCCAGUGGUAACCUUCUGCUAUGUUCAUAUUUAUGGUGAACUCCUUUAAAGGCUCAGGUUUUUAAUAAAGUGUACUACAGAAUAUGGCCUUCAAUUUGAAUUCACGAAUGAAACCGAAAAAGGUUUGAUUUUGGAAUAAAUUAAUACUACUCUAAUAAACAUUUGGUAUUGUCUAGUAUUUUUGGUAACCUAAGCUCUUGAAUUGACCUCUAAAUUGUAGUUACUUUCCAUUUUUUUAACCAAAAAAUUACCAUGAGCAUGCAUUAAAUGCCUACAUUAUGUCAAGUAUAAUAUUAAAUCAAUUGACUGCAGAAAAUGCAGAAAAUACAUAAGUACAACCUCUAAUAUAUCACUUGAGUUACGAGAUAAGCAACACUAGUGUGGUUUGAAUAAUGUAUCCCUAUACUGUUUGUUGAAAAAUAUGUUCUUGAAAAAGAAUGGAAAUUAAAGUUUGCACAAAUCCUCACUAUUUCUAAUAAAACAUUCCUCACCUUUCUCCAAUAAAUAUCAUUUUUGUCCCCAAGUGGUUCUGAUUAUUUAGUGACAGCAUCAACAUCCUAUCCUCUUAAAAUAUCAAGCUUCUAAUGUGCAAUAAGAUAUUUACCCGGAGAGUGAAAAAAUCUCUAUCUAUCUGGAUGCGUCACAUGAUAUAUCUCUACUACCAAAUUUAAGGAAUCUCCCAUUGUAGUCCCUACCAAGUUUGAUCUUAAUUAUAUCUUUUACAAAUAUGAGAAAUGAAUAAACAUAGUCCUCAAUCUCUCAUCCGCAUAGUUGUGCAGCAGAAUUCCUUAUUUCCACAGUUUGCCAUUUAGCUUUACCCAUGUCCAAAUGUUUGUUAUAAUCACAUAUCAAUGUAUCCUUUCUCACAACCUCAACUCACAUCCUUUUUGGUCUUCCUUUUCUUGUGAAAACACCUUCAACUUGAACCAUGAACCUUCUUAAGGGUAGUUAUUAAGUCACCUUUGCACAUGGCCACAAUCUAAAUAAACUUCUAACUGUGCAUAUCCCAUACCUACAACAUUGAGAAAAAAAAAGAAGUGGAAAUACUGUUUUCUGUAGGCUUUCCAUGCACACAAAAUUAGCUUUUAUGACUGGUAAAAUGAAACAUUUUCAGUUAAAUAAUCACAAAUCUGAAUCUUCUUUUGUACACAACCCCAAUCCAUAACGAUAUCUAUGUUGAAAAGAAAGCUUUCCAAAUUCUGUAGCGAUUUUGCCAACCUUGCCAGAAGGUUUAUCGACCACAAUGAUUAAAACUAAAUCACAUACAAAUCUCUACAAAUUAUGUUUAAUUCUGUUAAUAAUGGAUUUCUUUUAAAAUUUAAUAAUUCUAAACUAAUAAAUGGCACUUCCAAAUGCAAGUGUUUUGAAUACACUAAGACCAUAAAAAACUUCCACAGAUAAAUUCCACCACAAUUACUCAGAGUCUCACUUCUCAUCCUUCACCUUUAGUCGUCUUGUUAUUCACUUGAGUUGUUGUCUACUCACAUAACCUUUAUCGUUAUCAUAUCCUCACUGGCUCAUGAUCCUUUUCAUUGAUUUCAACUCUUCAUUCAUUAAUUUAUACGUGUCACAACCUAUACAAGCAGAUAAUAAUAAAACCAAUAAUAAUUAAUAAGCAGUAAUAAAUAAGGAAAAAAAAACUCAUUUCUUCACAGAAUACCCAUUUAUGAUGUGUGCAGAAAAACCAUUUCAUGAUCCUGAAAAUAAGAUUGAAUCUCAGAGUAUUGUCUCAAAAGGGAGGUUGUAACUACUUGGAGCCUACUAUCCUCACAAAAAAAAAGAAAAAAAAAAAAGACCUUUUUGCUACAAAUCAAAUUAGCUUAAUCUUCUACAUAAACAACAGCUCAUGGAUGAGAAUGUAUCAUCAGAAUCCACUACGGCCCGUUUGGUUGCUGAGAUUUCUUAGGAGAAGAAGAAAACGCGGAAUAUAACAACAGCAACCCCAGCCCCAAUCCCAACCUUUAGUUUAAGAUUCCAAAUUCAGGCUUCUUUUUCGGGAAAAAAAACCAGCCAAGCAAACCGAGAAAAAAUGGACAAACGAAAUCAAAAUCAGAUUCGCGAUGAACUGUAAUCAGAACUGCUCAACCCCAAAAAUGAAUAAUUCUUCAUGAAUCUCAAUACAUGCCUUCGGAAUUCAAGGUAUAUUCCAAAUCAAUAAAUUCCUUUGUUUGCCGCUGAAACUUCAAUUUAUUUCUACAAACUUUUAAGACAAUCAAAACUGAUCGUUACAGUUUAAUCAGAAACUAACGAAAAAUCACAUCAAUUAAAUUGUAGAUUCGGAAAUUACAACAAAUUAAAAUAAUUAAGUUAAAACAAAAGAUCAAAACCAAAAAAGAGAAACAGAAAAGAAACGCACCUGAUUGACGAGAAACCGAAAAGAACAAAAAAAAAACGACCGAGCAGAAUUGAAUCGCUAUUAAUGUUCUCUGAAAUAAAAAACCAAAGAUUAUUAUUCAAUUUAGGAUUCAAACUAAGGUGGAAAAUCACUGAUAUAAAUAGGAAAGGCAUAAUAACGGAGGCCAUACACGUGCGUGGAGCCUACUCCUUCUCACACUUGAGAUCCAUCUGUAUAAUCUCUGCUUCUCUCUUUUCCAGAUUGGAUUUUCCUUCUACUAUUUUCUCAUCCUUUUUUUCUUUCCUUAUUUUAAAUUGUGGUUUUUAAAUUUUUGGAUGAUGAUUCACGUAGGUGAGCUCAAUUCCUCUCUUUUAAAGAUAUAAAAAUAAACAAAAGUCACCGCCCAGCGGGAAUCAUGCCCGAACUUCCCGUUGGAACGCGUGAGCAGAACUCGCUCUUUGCUGGACUCUUGUACCCCGUGAGUUGUUUUAAUUACAAUUUACAAGUUGUUUUGUCUGUGGAAUGGGCCAUGGGCAGCGUGGUUAGUUGUGUAGCGGAGAUGGUGUUUGUUGAUAGGAUUUUAUGCAUGCGCGUUGGAUAACAAUCUGGCAUAUGGUCAAAAUACCCACCGUUGAAGAGGGUGGGGCCAGCCUUACGUCAGGGCACCGAUGUGUGUUCACAUUCGAGAAUCGUUGGAUCAGUCGCGGGCCGUGUAAAAAGGGCUUUUGAUUUUGGUAGUAGGAUGUGUGAGAAGGCCCGGAUUUUGUUUGAAAUAUUUUAUUUUAUUUUCUGUGAAGCAGCGGGACAGGAGGGGGUCUGUCUACAGUAGCAGCCUGGACAGGAACAUGGGAUAUUUCGGAGGGUUUCUUUGACAUUUUUUGGGUUCUAGUUGGGCUUAGCAAGCCCAAUGUCAACCAUUAAACAAACAUUAUUUGAAUUGGGCUCAAACCCAGUCCAAGAGCUAGAGCUUGUGCUGCUUGCACCAUUAUUGGGCUCCAACAUAAUUAGGGUACACAUGUAUAUAUGUAAUCUUGGGCGGCAUCUUAUCCAUGCCCGAGUACUAGGGAAAUUCAAUGAAAUCUAAGUCGCAGUUGAAUUUAUGAAAUGGAAGGCGGAGUUUUCAACACCUGAUGAAUAGCCUACCGACUAAGUAAGCAAUAAGUGAAAUUGUUUCGCAAAGCUUAUACGGGAAUAUCAUGAGACAGAAACAUAGAAUUGGUGGUAGGUGUACCUAAAUAGCUUUAGUUAAUUUGAUCAACCAACCACAUAUCACUUUCCGCGUUACUUUCGUGAAUCAUUAUCAUCACUCUUUGUCUUGCACCCAGUUGUUUUUCUUAUGCUCCACCAACCGCCUGGGCCACCCCCCAAUAUUGAACUCCAUAGCUGGGAUUAUAAUCAUAAAAGUGGGUUAGAAAAGAAACAAAAGCAACGGCUACCUUGGUCCAGGCUUCUGUCUUGUGUAUGUUUCUAUUUCAUGCGUAGUAAUUGAGGCUUUCCUUAAAUUACUCCCAAACCAUAGUAUGGGACACAUGGUGUUUUUUUAAUGGAUCAAGCUCAACUGAAAUGAUUCAUGGUCUGGUAGUCACUGUUUUUUUUUUUUUUUUUUGUGUGUGAAAUCUUUUGUAUGGGACUACUAUUCACUCAUAAAUUAUACGGGGAAAACAUUACGUACACAGUCCAUUCUAUAUAUAAUGAAAAAAUAAAAGUAGAAAUGAUGAUGAUCAAAGAAACCGUCUGGGAUCCGUAACGUUGAUACUCCAAUGCUGGUUACGUAGUCCCCUUUCUCCAGCCACCUUUCUAUCCCAUGCCAACUCAAUUUUUCUCCGCUCCGAUAACCCGCAAAAUGUCUGCAAGCUCUCAUCCAUGGCAUCGUGAAGCUUCCACCAUCUGUGGUGGGCGACAUCACUUGCAUACACAAGCUGGUUUUCUAUGUCCCAAUUACAAUCAUAGUCCCUGUAGCAAAGCCAGGGCUUUAACCCUAGAUAAUGUAUGGAAUAAAGUUUGGGCGGGUCUGAACCAAAGAGCUGGUUCUUCACGCCAGCUUCAACUGUACUGUUGGACCAAAAGUUCUUGAGGAAAUUGACUCUCUUGGGGAAGCGAUGCCACCAGACGAAGACUUCGUUAAGAAAACCUUGGUCACCGCCGUUGUAGGAAACUAUGUCUUUGAUAUGAUUCAUGAGGAUCCGAAAGGUGCAGUUGGAAGGUUCGAUUGUCAUGAUGCCGGAGUUGAAGAUGGAGCCGUCGUUGCCGGUGGCGGACAUUUGAGGGAAGUGGAAGAGGAGAUCGAGAUUGCGGAGAACGAUGAUGUCGGCGUCAAUGAAGAUGAUCUUGUCGUAUUCGGUGAGCUGCCAUAACCUGAACUUACUGUAGUUGUACUCAUUGUAGGAGUCUUUCUCGGCUUUAGGGUUUCGGAUUCGCUUGAUGAGUCGGAUCUGCCAGCCAGCAGCAGCGAGGGCGUCGCGUUUGGAGACAGGGAUGGAGCUGUCGAGGAGGAGGAGGAGGUCGCGUUUGGUGCCUGUUCGAAGGAGACUCUGGGCGAGAGUAAUGGCUCCACAAACGUAGGUAUCGGAGGAAUGUAGAACUGUGGCAUAUGCUUCUCGUUUAACACUCCUCGUGUCUGCUUUGAUCUUGGACAGAUCAAACACCUUGUCCACCCCUGGCAUCAAGAGCGGAAGUUCUUUUCUUAAUAUUUGAAUAGAAACAAAAAUAUUUUACUAAUACAAUAAAACAUCGAAGCGCCUGUAGCUCAGUGGAUAGAGCGUCUGUUUCCUAAGCAGAAAGUCGUAGGUUCGACCCCUACCUGGCGCGAAUGCGAUUCUUUUUCCUUAAUUAAGAUUUUAAACAAAACCCAUCUCUAUUCUGUACAAAAUGGGCCGAGGACGCGACCAAAACCAGCUAACCAAGGAUAUUUUCAACAUAAGCAACCUUCAGACUAAUUUUCCCCACCCAUAUACCCAAUACGUUGACACACCCAUCAUGCAGCCACAUAUAAAACAAUUAGUGAAUGAUGAUGCACUCCAUACCUUUUGCCCAGAGAGGCAAAGCCAAUUUGCAGGAGCCAACAGGCAAUGAAACCUUCUGCUCUAACCUUGCCACUGACGGUUGGUAGAACCACCAAUCCCCUUCUUGUCUCACCAAAUCAUCACACCUAAAAAGCUCCAUCAUUGGCCUGCACCUGCUCAGAAACACCAACUUGGUCCUCCAAUUCCAGUCUCUCCUCCCUUUCUUCACCGCCAAAUUGGCCGCUAUUAGGUGAACUUGCAGCCUGAACACGUCCCUGCGCCACCCUUCUUCUGGGUACUUGCAUGGCAAUUUGGCCACUAUCAAGUCCAUAUCCCAAUAACGCCUGAAAUCGGGCAUUGGUAUCUCCGGACACAUUGUACCCUCCUUCUCUUCCUCUUCAUCAAUCCACUCCGGGAACAAAUCUGUCCAGUUGAACAACUCCGAUACCUGUUGGAAAUGGACAUGGACAAUUUCUCCAUGAACUUUCCACUCACCCACAUCCUCGUCAUCCAUGUUCACCAUUCCUAUCCUCAUCCCUUUCCUCAUUUCAUUCAAGAAGCUUGGUUUCUCGCUCUUGACCAUUUUCCUUUUGGCAGCCAUGGCUUGAUCUGCUUGAUUCUCUUCCAAAGCUGCCUUCAUCUUAACCCCCUUUUCCGCCUACAUAAUUUAAGAUCAACCAAAUGGGCAUCCCAAACGCAUAAUCUAGCAUCAUUCAAAAAAAAAAAAAAAACUCACUCUGUUAUAAUGCAAUAACAACAGGAACCGGCUCACCUUACCUUGUGAUUGCACUCCCGCAAAGUGCACCGGACAAGUGCUGCAGCAUUUUCAUGAUACACAGACAAAGAUGGCCGGAGAAGAAGAGCAGCAUAGACAACUACGAAGAAAGCGAGGAAGACCAGGUUGAUUUUAAGAACCAAAGCUUUUGAAGGAGUGACCUUGAUCAACAUCUUCGGAACACUCACUCCUUCUAACACCAUUUUAUUUGUCUAGCCAGCUCCUUAAUUUCUCUACCUUCACAUUUAUAUAUAGAUUAGUUGAUCAUCACGAUUUACAUAUUGUUGAAGGAGUUUCCCUCGAGUGGACGGCUAUGAGACUAUUGAGUGAAAUGUUUACAAAAACAAGCAGAACCACUUAGGCAGUUCCACGUGUACUGUCUUUGUCUGGAUUUCUAGCAAAUAAAAACUUUACUUCUUUCUCAUGUUGCUGCUGGUGUUCGUAUUUCUGGACUCUGGAGUAUUCUUGUGAAAUUCCAAAUAUACCCUUCUUUCUUCUCCAAACUAUCUACUCCAAGUAGAAUUUCCCUCCCGUUUUACUUAGAAGUGUAAAAUAUGCAUGGUAUUUGAGUAAUUUAAGGAGGAAAUCAUGGGUAGUAUGGCGACCUAGGAUUGGGUAGGGGCAACCUAAGGGUUACGCUAAAGCAGGCCCGCCAACAACUAUUUGGUUGGACGGUCAUAUCCUACGUACAGCCAAAUGUCGCUUUUAUCCGUUGCGAAGGUGCAAGCCCCCAACAGUUUUCCUUUAUUUUUUUCUUUUUCUUUUUCCAAAAAAAAUGACUUAUUACUUCGUCUAUUUCUUUUUUAAUAUUAGUUUUAAAAGAUAAAAAUAGGUUUAGGUUACGGCAUCACACCUCACCAAAUUGAUUCGGGUUCAUGUUUUACAUGACAGAUGCGGAGAGAUUGUGGUAAACAAUCACAAUCAAUCUCAAUGUCAACCGUUUGAUAAGUUGACGAUCGAUCAGGGCAAGCGGCCGAACAGAUUACGUAUGAUCACGUAGUAGUAGUGACCACCCACCUAAGAUUGUGAGAUAUCGAUCUAGUGAAAAAAUGAUGAUGGAAAGGAGAACAACAUCACUUCUUUUAGUUUUAACCUUUUACCGAUAAGAAAAUUGAUUACAGCCUCCACAUCAACAGUCAUGAGAACCAUUUACAAUGCAGCAAUUAGUUAGAGGGUUAAUUGUGGUUGUUCUGUGCCUUCACUCUUCCCCAAAUCACAAUUUUUGAACUAGACUACCGUCCUACCCCACAUUAAUGGCUAAAUCUCCUAAUUUGGUCAGAGAAUUCAUUCCACAGGUUCACCUGGAUACGUUAAUACUUAAAGUUACAACAUAUUUAAAUGAGGAGCAGCUGCAUAAUAAUGGAGAAAAUCCCCCAUAUUUUUUUAAUUUUAAUCCAAAUUAAAUAAUCAUAGUCCUCUUCGUGUAAUUGCUUAAAUAAUUGUGAGAUUUGUAAAGAAUAUCAUUAAAUAAUUGCUUAACCAUGCUUCUGCUCAUCAGGUCUAAAAGUGCCCAAUGAACCUGACUGACGCUACACUGAGAAAUUUGAUGAGGUUCAGCUUGCAAAGAGCUGGGAGCCUUCAUGUAUGGUAUCAUUUCAUGAGCCCAAGAUAUGAUGAAAGGAAAUACAAUGAUGGCCGAAAAAUGAUGUCAUAAUUGAUCACACACUUCAGACACAUUCUUGUGGGGCAAACCCUAGAAUCAACACUGCUGCCCAAAAUCAUUAUCUUGGAUCGGGCUUGCCACAUAAGUAGAGUAUUUCAUUUAUGCGGGCAUAGGCUGUUGCUAUUUUUAUAAGCUGAUUAAUCUUUAAAGUACCCUUAAAAAGAACAGAUUGUAUGAAAAAUGAUGAAUCUCUACACAAAAGUAUAUCAGGGUCCCAUGGAUAUCCCAACACAGGCAUUUGCACUGACCCUUCCUAUUGAAUCACUUGUUAGCUGUCUCAUUCUCCUAUUAAAGUUCCUCCUUUUAGCUAAGACUGCCCCGACUUUUUAUCUUUGAGCCACUCCAGGUUGUUACCUGAAAAUCAAAAAUAUAUUUUCUCAACCCAAAACAAAAAGGAGAUAUUAUCUGAUUAGUCGUACAUAAACACUACAUGUAUAUUUAGCAUCAGUCCAUCUGUUUUAACAAAGACUACUAAGAGAAAGAUAGUCCGAUUAGUCAUGGCUGACCUUUUGUAGAAACAUCCAAACAUGCAAUGGGAUGGUCAGUGGAUAUUGCAUAUCCAAUAUAUCAUCUUUUUGUCACUUCUUGAAUAUGUUGAGAGUGGCUUUUACCAGGUGGAAUGAAAAUCAGGUCUUCCCAGCCCGAGUUCUUCUCACUAGUCUGCAUCAGAUGAAAGAAACAAAAACUAGUUGGGAAUUCCAAAUUUAAAAAAGAGUUAAGGAAUACAAUCAGAUCCAGUUCUUGAUUCCAAAUACCUCCAUUUUUCUUAGGACAUCUUCCAAACUUCCUACCUGUUGAAAAAUAUAUAUAUAUAUAUAUAUCAAAUAAAGGUCACAAAAUUUAUACAUGUUGCAGGAAAGCAUGCUUCAAAGUGCAAAAUGGUAAACAAAAUAAAAUAAACAAACAAAUAAAUAAAUAAAUAAAAUCAAACUAAAAAAAAAAAAGAUGAGACAGGUAUAUCUGAUGAGGAUCCUAACUCCCAAAUUUUUUCUGAGUGCUCUAUUUUCUUUGACAGGCCAAUCUAUCAAAUAUCUUCUGUGCUGAUUCUCUGCACAUCUGAGUUAUUUUCUUCUCAAAUAGUUCCCAAAUAUCCCUUGUAUAUUUUUGUACAUUUCAUAAGAACCACAUCUCUUUAUCAAAUAACAAUGGCUUCUAUGUAGAAUAUCAGACCCAAGAGUUCCAAUAUCAAAUAUGAACAAUUCAACAGAUUAGGAUGCUCUAAUUAUUUUGGAGAUUUCACUCUGUUCACUUCAAUGGAUUGUAGCCAAUUUGAAUAAAAUAAUAUACAUGCUCUUUUUAUACCACACACAAAAGAAGGAAAAAAAUUCCUUCCUUUUUAUUGUGGGGGAAAAAAAUACAAUUCUUCAAAACUUGAAAACAAACAUCAAAAUAUUGUUUAAUAAAGAGCUGAAUCCUAUGACUUCCUGGUGAAAACCCAGAAUUUCUGCAACGUUUAACACAGUUUACCCCUAUAACUCAUUAUCAUUUUUUUUUUCACCAAUUUCAAACAAUGCUAACCAUAUAAGGUCUUGAUCACCUUAUAUCAGUGUAUGACAAAUUCUCACUGAAAAAGAUGCAUAAGAUGUUGUACUCAAACAUGGGUGUCAACAUGGAAGUGUCAGCAUGCCCAACAAAACAAGGGAUAAGAUAUUAGAAAUGGACUGCUCAUGAAGAUCAAUUAUAGAUCUUUGUUUAUCUAAGUCUGAAAGUACUCUUUUUCAACAAGAAGCUAAACCAUUCAACAGAAAGAGAAAUGACAAUGGCAGUGGCAAGUAGUGAUACCAUGAUAUGUUGGGUGACACCAGGUCCUCUCGAUGAUCUUGAGACCUUUGAGAGUUCCUUUACUAUGUCUUCCUGCAUUUGCAACAAGCAAAGAAUCCACAGUAAGUCAUGAAAUUAUAAGAAUCUGAGAUUGAGUGUGUUUGGAUUAAAUGUGCAUAAGGAGCCCAUUGAGUCAAACCAACCUUUUGGAAGUAUAUUGGGCAGUACCGUCUGUUUUUCUUCUUCACAACCAGCAGGUCUGACUAUAGAUAAGAGAUUAAAAUCACAUGAAUCAAAGACACUGCUGUAGUGUAUAAUCCAAUACAAUAAAAAAUUAAAAAUUAAAACAAAACAAAACACCCAACAAAUUUUCCAGGCCAAACCAUAAUGAGUUAAUCCACAAAAUCCAUGUGCAAUCAUAUAUUUUGACAAGCCUCACAUAGUAUAUAUUAGGGAAGUGGAGAUUUACAAUCCAUGGGUCAUCUCACCCAUGAGCUUAUUUGGGGAUGUUAAUGCUUUGAGAGCUUUAUAAUUACAAAUUGCAGAUGUGGUAGAUGAUAAUGAAGGAUACUCAAACUGAACAAAAGUAGCAGAGGUUCCAAAAUCCAAGCAAAUUACUGUAACAGAAAGCAAUUUCAUAUUCUUCCUGCCAUUCAGAGAGAAAAACCAGCUUCUACCAAACCAUAAAUGGUCAAUCAUGUAGACAUAGCAUUUCAAGUAGAAGAAACAUCCUAUCCAUGAUUAAAAAUAUAUAUAUAUCAGAAGGUUGCAUCUUGUCCUCAGCAUUUGCAUGCGUCCCACAUCACUAUUCUGGUUGCGCCCUAAAAUUCUUUCAUCAUAGAUAUCAUUUCAAAUGCAAUGUUGAGCAUAACAAAUGAGAUGCACAUGCUGAACAAUUUUCAAAGCUUACUAGAAAAGUGAUAAUGUCAAUGCUGCCUAUUAGAUUUGAUAAGCAAAUCAGCAUACCUGAAAAACAGGAACCCCAUCAAACCCACUCUUGAUAUCUGCAGCUUUCAGCUAAGAAACAUGAAGGUUAGAUGUUUCAGCUGAUACAAGCAAAUAAAUAAGCAGUAUUUAACAUUUGGACAAAAUAAUGAUAAAAUGUUACACCAUCAUUUACAUGGUAGCAGAGGCCUCUAUUGCCAAAUAUCCUCCCAAGUUUCAAAUACUCACAUGGCAAACAUUUUUUUUCCAUUUCUUCAAUUCUAUUUUCGUUUUAUAUAUAUAUAUAUAUUAGAAGGAUCUCACCUGCAUAUUAGAAGUCUAGUACGUUGGCAGCAUCUGGGCUUACUAGACUUAGUCAUGAUAAAUGUCCAUGUGGCAGAAAACCUGGACUUAGUCAUUAUGCUGUGUGCACAACUAGCUUUGGGUGGACAAGAUUGCCACUAUUUUCGUUUAAUUUUACAUUAAAGGUGACUUUUUGUAAUUUGUCGAGGCCUUUCCCCAAGAAUAUGGCACUAGCAGUUCCAACUACCCCCUCCCAACAACCGAAGUAGGUGAUAAUUCUUGAAAUAGCAUGCAACUUUAGUCAUUUCAUUAAAGGGCCUCUUCCUAAAAAUAUGAAACUAGCAAUUUUUCUUCUCUUGUUGGGGGGUGGUCUUCCUUCUCAAAGCAUGCACAGUGUGCAAUAGGAUGAAAUCAGAGUUCAAAAUGUCCUACUCACAAGCAAUGUGAUGAUUUAGUGAAAAAAUAGAAAUCAACAACUAGGCGAAUGGAGAGCAGGAGAGCCAUGGAGAAGAGAAGAGCUGUGAGCCCUUGGAAGAUCAUAUUUCAACAUAGGAUUUGAAAGAAAUAGAGGAUAAAAUGCUGGAGAGUAUUUCAAUAUGGAUUAAAUUCAGAGAUAAAAGUUUGUCAUGGCAGCUUGAUGGGGUGCUCUGUGGUUGCUAUAAGGAUGGGAAACCAUUUUUCUCAAUAUGUUUCAGAAAGGUGGUAUAUUCAAUAGGUCGGAGAUGCAAAGCAAUACAGCCAGUUGAUUCUUAUUAUGCCUGACAGACUCAAUGAAGGCCAAAAGGUUUUCCAUUAUUUUCCUGGCUGGAUUUGGGCGACUUGGUUGGGUCACACAAACAAACAAGUUGCACACCCUGCAGAGUUCUUCCCUCUAAGCCUCUAAAGGUGUGUAAUUCCUAUGCAUCCUGUAACACAAUUAACUGCUUGGUCAAGAGCAUGGUUGUCAAAAUGUAAAUCAUAACGUAUCGGUUUUGUCAAAAAGUAAUGUAUUGUGUAUUGUAAGAUACAAUCCUUAGUUAUUCAUAUAUAAACGAUAAACUCCUGAAUAAUAAUAAUAUAUAUAUAUAUAUAUACACACACAUAUGCAUUAUGUAGUGUUCCAAAAAAAAACAUCUAUUUCUUUUCUUAAUAUCAAAUAAAUAAAUAAAAAAUAACCAAAAGUAUCAAGUAUAAAGUUAUAGCAUUCCACAUUUCCUAGGGAUGAGAAGCCCCUAACAUUUAUAAAAGAUGACAACUCUUAACUGAGUGGAAGUGUUUUAAACCCGUGAAGGUUGUGGACGCACAACGGACAACAUCCAUCUAGUGUCAGCGGGUCAUGAUUAGGAUGUCCCACAUCCCUUAAGGAGGAGAAGUACCUAACAUUCAUAAAAAGUGAUACCUCUGAACUGGUUGGACAUGUUUUAAAGCGGUGAAGGAGGCCAUGAAUGCUAAGGACCCAAAGCAGACAAUAUCCACCCAGUGUUAGCAUCCACCCAGUGUUAGUGGGUCAUAACAAAAUUAUCAAAAAAGCAAGUUAUAUAAGUUACCAAAAGCUUCCUAAACAUUCAAAAUUUGUCAUAUCUCAAUGCUUUUUUUUUUUUCUUUUUCAUAAGUAAGAAAUUGUAUUAAAAAAAGCGCAAAAAGAGCGCAAGUCACAUCUCAAUGCUUAAUCAGAACCUCCCAAAUUAGUGACCAAUACACUACUUUAAACCAUGCUCCCUAAUAUAGUGAAAGAAAUCCUAUGGUCUUGGCAUGGAAGAGUUGUGGGAGGAAAAAGAGGGGAAAACAUUCGAGAACUACCUCAUUAUGCCUUUUUUACACUAUUAGCAAGAACAUUUUCUUUUAGACACUAUUUAGCAAGUAUAUAAUUACAUAACUUUAGAAGGGGUGGAACCAUUGGUUCAAUCUCUUAAAGCCAUGAAGGAGGCCAUAACUUUAGACACUAUUUAGCAAGAAUAUAAUGACAUAACUUUAGAAGGAGGCCAUGAAGGCUAAGGACCAAAGCGGACAACAUCCACCUAGUGUUAGUGGGUCAUAACAAAAUUAUCAAAAAAGCAAGUUAUAUAAGUUACCAAAAGCUUCCUAAACAUUCAAAAUUUGCCCCAUAUCAAUGCUUAAUCGGAACCUCCCAAAUUAGUGACCAAUGCACUACUUUAAACCAUUCUCCCUAACAUAGUGAAAAAAAUCCUAUGGUCUUGGCAUGAAAGAGCUGUGGGGGAAAAAGAGGGGAAAACAUUCGAGAACCACCUCAUUAUGCCUUUUUUACACUAUUAGCAAGAACAUUUUCUUUUAGACACUAUUUAGCAGGAAUAUAAUUACAUGACUUUAGAAGGGGUGGAACCAUUGGUUUAAUCUCUUAAAGCCUCUCCCAUUUCAACCAUGCUCCUUUGGUGCCAUCAGUUUAUGGAUGUUGGCCCUUUAUCCUUGUUUGAUUUCAUAGAUUGGUUGGGAGCCCCUUAGUGUUUUAAGGCCUGGUGAGUGUUUUUUCUUCUUUUCCCCCUCAACUUUGGCAUCAUUUGUAUACCACCUAUGUAUGUAGGUUGUGCCCUCCUUUUUGUUAGGCACUUUUCCAAUAAAUUUUUCCUUGCCAAUAAGCAUGCACACAUAGAAGGCAGUUUGUGCAUUGUCAUGUGUUUAUUUUUUACCUAAAUUUUCUAUCAUCAUUAUUUAUAUUUGCUCAAUGUAUACUUUCUCAUCAAAAUCGCUAGAAGAUAGUUGGUAACCAUAGGUGUGUUGUGUGUGUGUCUAAUGAAAAAAACAGCUACUAAUAAAUAUAGGAUAUGUUCAGUGAUCAAUAGUCAUCAUAGCAUUCAUUUUUUAAAUACCAAAACUUGGAUCAUUACACAAUCGAUAAGGCAUUUAAUAGUGGAUAAUCACAAAAUUGGAGUAAAAAUUUCCUAUAGUUCCCCUCCUCCUCAAUUCCCCUUUCCAUCUUGUCUUUUGAUAUGGUCCAUUUAUGAAUGACAAUAGACAUACAAGGAAAAGGGAAAAGACAACACUUUUAUUAAUAUGAAGAUAGUUCAUUCAGGCGGGCAACAUGUGCAUAAAUUACUUAUGCAGAAUCAAAUGAGAAGUGAUAAUCAGUGUAUAUCAAAGCAGAUGCACAUGGGCCCAUCUUGGGCUUGUUUUUGUUGAACUUUGAAUAGGUGAGCCAAGGUUCUGAUGUGAUGCAGUUAAAUUAGAGUCAUACUUUUUUUAAUAUAUAUAUAUAAAUAAGCAAAUAAAUUGAUGCCAAACUUUUUCAUGGCCCAAACAAGUCCACACUCUCCCAUAUAGGAGUAGUCUAUCCAUUUUGGUGGAAACCUAAGAAAGAAAUAGACCACCUUUGCCAUUGCUUUUUAGUGGAAAUGAAUCAACAACCUCAGUAGCAUGGUGUGGUACACUGGUACUCACUUUCUCAGAGUGAUUCAAAUGCAUAAAAACUUUUGAGAUUACAUUCCAAAGCUAUAACUUAUAUUUAGCACUAACCUCCAAGGCAUUCUUUAUUUGAACAGGAUCAGGUAAAAAUCGGAAUGCAAUUCCUUCAACCUUCAACAUAUAAACCUGUGAAUUGGGAUUGAGAGAGAGAGAAAGAGAGGCCAACACUUCAGCCAAGAAAUAAUGUGGAUCUAUAUCAAACUAACAAAUAAAGAGAGGAAUGAUUUAGUGAAGAAAAGUGGACACACACUUAAACUAAUAAAUAACACUUGUAUAAUUGAAUACCAAUCUGUAGCCCAUAUCACUAAAAUGAAGAUUCAUGGCUUAUACCUUUUAACAACAAUCCUUGGUAAUUAAGAUAAUAGAAACAAAGUCCUUUUUCAGUUUGCUUUCAAUCUUGAAUAGGGGAGAUUCUACAUAUAACAACCAUCCAAUAGCUACAAAAAUAGGAAGAAAAUUCAAUAACUAAUAUUUUGAAGAAGCAAUUGAUAACCACUCCAAAACCCAAAAAUCCUCCACAGUAUUUGUAAGUGAAAGAAAAACCAAUCUACUAAUAUAAUCAUGUCUAGUUAUAUUCACCGAUCAUAGUUUGCCAAGUCUUUCCAACCCAUUUAUAAUUGCUUAAAAGUGAUUUUGGUUGAAUCUUUUACCAACAGUACAAGAAAAAACUACAUAUGUACUGCUUCCAGCUUGGGUGGCUGCCCAAUAUUUAGAGUUAAUAAUCUAAGAUUGCACCUCAUCUGUAUAAAUCUGAGAUAAUUGAGCAAUUGAAUUUCAAGAGACCGCUGGAACCAGAUGCGGUAGCCAUAUGGCACAAAUCACCUGGCAUUGUGGCUUGAGUUUAUUACACUAUGUUUAAAACCAAAUUUUAAAGAAAAAGCAUUUAAUUAAAAGAGGUUAAAUGAAAGGAAUUAAACUUUAUUCCAUUCAUUUUGUUCGGCAUUUGACAUUGAAAUAAAAAUAAUUCAUUUCUUUCAUUUGGUUUUAUAAAAGAAUUGAUCUUUUUACUAUCACAACCUUGGUUCAAUGACAAGAAAAAACAAUUUUAAAUAUGAUUAAUAUAUUACUCAUCCAUUAAUAAAACCAAAGUAAUGAAAUGGUUCACUUAGACAUCCAUGUCCAAAAGAAGAGCUCAUGCAUACUCUUAAGAGAAUUAGAAAAAAAAAAAAAGGUCCAAAUUAUUAUUUAAAUUUUUUUAAAAGAUGCAUUUUGAAUUACCAUCCUCGAAAACACUAAAAGAAAAUCAUCAAAUCUAUUUGUAUUCUAUAGAUUUUCAAUGUGUAAAAAAUCUAAAACAUGCUAGACAAAAAUUUAUUUGCUCAUUUUGUAUGGACUUCACUUUUUUUUUUUUUUCCUUUUUUUCUUUUUGUCUUUUUGCCUUUUUUGGAUAAGCGAGAAAAAAAUAUAUGAAUAACACCUAACAAUAAGAACAACAUAUACAUUAGGUCUUCUAUAUCGACCAUUUAAAAAGAAGAGCUAAUGUAUACUCAUUAAAAAAAAGUCCAGAAUUAUCAUUAUAUACUCUGAAUUGUUGAGUUGUAUGUAAACGUAAAAUAGAAAAAAAAUCAUUAAAUUAUUUGUAUUCUAUAUAAAUUUUGAAAAUGUAAAAAAAUCCAAGACAAUGAUGGAAGAAUUUAUUUGUAUAUUUUAAGAUUUUGAAAUACGUAAAAAUAUAAAAAAUACUAUGUGAUGGUAGAUGAAGAAACAAGAUGAUUGAUGAUAAAAAGAGUCAAGAAACAUAUAAUAAAUUGUAAAAAAGAUGGGAACAAAAAGGGUAAUGUUGGAUGAUAGGAAAUUUCGGUCUAACUUGUGUUUGAAAUAACCCAAAAUUCUUUGGAGGAACUCAAAUUUAAAAAGAAAAAAUAAAAUUUAAAAAAACACAACCAAAUUAACAAAAAUCCUUACCAUAUAUAGUCUUUACAUUCCACACACUAGAAUUGAGUAUCAAAUAAAUUCCUUCCAUUUCUCUUCAAAUACUUCCAUUCCAUAAAGAAAAAACAAUGAGAGUUUAUAGGGGUGGUUUAUAGACAAAUAAGUUUUCUAACCAAUUGGUUGUUUGACUUGUUUCUUACACUUCUUUUUUUUUUUCUUGAUAGGUAAAAAUUAAUUGUAUUAAAUGGCACAAAAGUAUACAUGUUGUAUACAAGGAUGCCAACCAGACAAAAGUCCAAGGUAAGGGGCACACAAAAAACAAUAUCCAUGCCUUAGAGCCUAACCAAUCCACAAAGUCCACCAUGGACAAAGGGUAGUCACCUAUAGACACUGCAACCCAUUCCAACCAAUUAUACAUGAAAGAUUGUUUAAUUGUUUGGCCAACCUUUUCAAUAUUAUUGAAGCUCUCCUAUUUCUCUCCCUCCAAAUAGUCUAGAAAAGGCAGAAUGGAGCAGCUUCCCAAACCUUUGUUCUCUUCUUUCCAACAAGGAAACCUGCCAGCUCUGAAGUGCAGUUUUCAAUGAAGAAUGAAUCGCCCAACAAACAUCAAAAAAUGCAAAAAUCAACAACCGCAAUAAGACUGCUUUCAAUCAACAAAGAAGAAUAUAACCAAUUGCUUCUUCUUCUUCUUCUUCUUCUUCUUUCCUAAUAUAGCAUCUGUUAGGCACCUCCAACCCUCCCUUUUAAGCUGAUCCCAAGUUAAAAUCCUGCCCCACAUGGCUUCCCAUGCAAAUAAGCUAACUCUUGAUGGUACCUAGGAAUUCCAAACUGUACCAAAAGGCCACCCUCCCAACUAACAGAGAGGAAUAGAAAGACUUCACUGAGACUAUUCCACCUUUUGUGUUACACCAAACCAAAAUAUCUUUAGUGUCCCUGUUAAUGGUCUUCUCUUGCAACCUCCCAAUAAAGGCUUCAACCUCCUUUAACUCCCAAUCAUGCAACUGCUUUAUAACCUAUGAACCCUAAAAAAUUCUCUGUGUGGUGGAAAAACCCUGAUCCAAUCCAUGGUUAACUAAGAAUAGUCAAAAUAAAAGAUGGAGUUUAUUACAUGCAUUGUUGUUAUUGGUUAACAUGCUCAAUUUACUACUCCAACACUAGUCAUCACAUUGUUAGAUAUUCAUUUUCCUAUGACUUGCAUCACAUUGUCAGAUAUUCAUUUGGCAUUGAUGACUAGAGGUGUAGAAACAGGUGGGCAGAUUGGCCUAGCAUGCCAAAAGAUUAGUUCAUGCUAGCCUGGCUGGAUCCUUCAUGUAGUGUUGGACCAAGCAUGAUGGCACGAUGGCCUGGUAGGGUCCAAGCCAAUAGGCAACAGUUAUUUAAAUUUUUUAAUUCCCAAUGGCUAUAAUGCAUCCAAAACUAAAAAAAAGGGCCCUUCCAAUGGUCAUAUAAUGGCUAGUUUGGAGUGUAAAUGUAUAAAUGAUCAUAAAUGCAUCCAAGAGUAAAUAUCCCCUUAUAGUGGCUAUAUAAGAAUGAAGAUAUUUCAAUUUAAUUUUCUAUUUGCAUAAGAACUUUAUAUAAGAAAUUUCAAUUCCAAAAAAAAAAAAAAAUUGCAUAUUUUUCUAGUUUUCCCAAUUCUUAUGAUGUAAAUUUUUUUCAAAGAUUAACUAAUGCAUAUAAUUGAUAGUUGGGUUGAUGUCAACCUGUUUGGGAUGUACUAAUACAAUUCUCACCUUUUUUUUGUAAUUUUUGAACAUUUACGUUUUCCAUUUUGUUGAAAUAUUGAAUAACAAAGUUAUAUUUUAUCUAUUUUACUUUUAUAUUCCAAUUUUUAUUUAUUUAUUGUUAUUGUUACUAGAGUGUAAUUUAGACAAAAAUUUAAAACUUGUACAAAUUUUAACAUUACUAAUAAAAAUAAAAAUACAUAAUUAUCUAAGUUUUCAAGCAAAAGAAAAAAAAAAAAACAAGAAUACUUUAUGAGAAUGCAAAGUGACUAUUAAAAAAAAAAAAACCCACGUGCACUUUAAAUAUAUUCUAAAUUUUUUAUCCAAGAAUUUGUUUUCAAAAGAAAUUAGAAAGUCUUUUUAGAGAAUAGAAAGACUUGCAACAUAAUAAAUAAAUCAUUUUUAAAAUUUUAGAAAUAACUAUGAUAAAUCUUUUUUUUACAUAUUUUAAGGAAAAUGUGGUGGAGCAAGCCAGCCUGCCAGCACAGAAUAUUUUCAGCUGGACUGGGACACCCAGCACAAUGGCCAGCUAAAAACGUCUUUUUAGCUUCAUUGACGGGACUCAUCAUCCAUGGCCACAUCACAAUAUUUUAUUUAUUUUUUGUAUGGGUAAACACAGAAGAGAAUAUAUCAAAUAUUAAAGGAAGCCCAAAGGGCAACCCAAGGCAUACAGGAAGUAUACAGUUGGUGCCAAAAAGCUAAAAAGAGCAAAAUAGGAGUAAAACAAAAACCUCACCUGUUCUCACCUAGAGCCCAACCAAUCAAAAAAGUCGAGGCUGCAUCACAAUAUCCUACAAGCACACUUGUUCGCAUAGGCAAACACAUAUUUAAUCUAGCCCCAUCCAUAAUUGAUCAUCAAAUUUAGAAUCUAUUAUAGUGUCCCAUAAAAAGGUUUGCACAGAAAACCCAACAUAUAAGGGUCAUUUAAAAGAGAAAAGUGGAUGCUUUACAUGUGCUAGUUUCCUGAAUAAUUCAACUGCCUGGGCAAAUUGUCCAGCUAGAUUAACAAGCAUCCUCACCAUGAGGAGAACCUAGUUCAUCAAAUUAAACUAUAGUAGGUUUAGUAAAAAAGAUUGAUCAUUGUUCUCUGUGAAACCACAAGUAGAACACGCUCAACCCUGAUAUAGCACCCAUCUGAAAUCCUCAACAUGCCAUCCACCAAAUAUUUCACUUCUAUUCUAGAUAAUGCACAUCAUCAACUUUCAAAUUUCUAGCACUAGGCUUGCAUUUCAAGCAUUUCCAUGAAAUAUUUGUCAUUCCCUUAGAUUAAGGGUUUAAAUCUAUGCACAAAACUAUCAGGCAAUUCCAAUUCCAUUACCGAACCACAAAACCCUACAACACUAAUAUUGAAACGGAAAGAAAAUAAGAAAUUACAUAAGUUCCAAAUAUAUACCUGAUCAAGACUAAUGGGAACAACCCUAGCCUGACUUCGUAGUUCCCUUGUCCGCGACUGAACCUGUAAAUCACGAUAAACAGAAACAGCAUUAAGAGAAAACCUAAAAUUUGGUUAAGAUUUUUUCUAGUUAACGAUCCGGAGAAGGAAAACCAGAGAAAUUUCGUUUUCUUUUUCCCUUUUUCCGUUACUCUGGACAGAAAUUAUACAAAGGGAAAAAAAAGGGAGAAAAAGAAACAAACAAACUUGAGCGAGAAACGCUUCCGCGUCUUCCUGGCGAAAGCAGAGCAAGCCAAUGGACUUGAUCCCGUUGGGAUCGGAAAUCAGCACGAACUCGUUGUUAGAGUUGCUAACUGUGUACACCGCGGUUCCAGCGAGGCUCUUGGCCACGUGGUCGGAGCUCAGGGCGACGCCCAAGUCUCGUUUAGCCCCACGAGCCUCUUGCGACAUCGACGCAAACGGCAAAGAACUGAGCGGAAGCGAACGCCUCAGCGCCGGAGGCGGCCAGUUGCCCGCGAGUCGCCUGGUAUCAUCGAGUCGACUGGCGAGUUCGGCGCCAAGUCGAAGGCAGUGUUGGUGGAUGAAGGUGGAGAAUGAUAGCAGAGGAUUUGAGGGUUUUGGAGGCUCCAUAGUCCGACGUUGCAGAAGAACAAACAGCCCCGGUUCGGAUUCGAUAUAUCUGACAUGUAGUGUGGAGACACUGUAUAUCUUCACAUGCCAGUGACAAUGGUAAAAUAACUGCCCAAUCAAUGAAAAGGAUCUAGUUGAAAGUAGGAGCAACUUUGUCACAGCAGCUGGAGGGUGUAUACAGUGUACACGUAAAUUAAGAGCGCGUGGAUAAGGUCUGAUCGCCGAAGUGGCAAGUGUGGGGCGUCCAACAGGGUGUGGACCAAGCCCAGCCCAGUUAAAUCAACUGAGGAUUCCAAGCCCAUUGGGCCUACGUAGCUCUAGCAGUCUAGCUAUAGCCUGGCUUGUUAGCAAAGUUAUUGAGUCGAUGAUUCCCUUGUUACAUGCACCUUACAGUUAACCCGUAUCAUGAUGGGUUUAAGAUUCUUUAAUUAUUAGGAUUCUCGAACUUGAACAUGAGAUGACAGUUUAAAGGGAUAAAAAUCUACAUCUAUAAUGCUCAUGGAUCCUUGGACUGACCUUUAAUAUGAUUCUCGGACGACCACGUACAUACAGUUGCAACCAUCUAUUUUUCUAGUAUUUAUUCCCCUCACCAGGAGGCAGCAUAGGAUUCUUGGAUGAGAAGUUACGUGCCUCUAUCCUACUGGCUCGGAGUAGCCAGCAGUGAUCUAAGAAAAAACAAGAUAACCUGAAAAGAGCUCAUGUCCCAUCUCUUCCCAAUUAAAUUGUUUAUGCAAGGGCUGAUGCUUUACUGGGAUCAAAAUUAGUCUUUGCAUGAACUGGGGCCAAAGUGUGGCUAUUUAUCAGUUCUGACUAAAAUUUUCAUUUUCCAUGAGCUACUGCAUGGUUGCAGGUUGAUUGGUUCUUUGCCUUGAAGUGUCUGUACAGGGAGUUCUGAAGCGGAAAGCUUAACAGGAUUGCAAAUUGGACAAAGUUCCCCAAACUUUAGGUUCCGUAGGCCCAUAAAGAGCGAGUUCCAAACUUUAGUUUGGACUCGAAAGAAAAAGGUGAAACACUUUUGAUAUACAAUGGAUUUCACUUUAAUGAUCCGUUUCUUUUUGCAUUCACCCGAUCCUCCUCUAUCUGCAUAUUUUACUGUGAAUUGCGUUACAAGUUAGAGCUAAAAAGCAAGAAGAUCUCUUGAUCGCACUUUCUGUGAUAUUAUUCUUCAAUGAUUCUAAAAUUUAGCAAUCUCAUGUUUUUUCAAUUCUGCCAACACGAGGCAGAUUGUACUUCCAUGAUGGUUGUAGAGAAUUCCAGUAAAUCAAUUAUUGAUUUACGGAAUCCUCCUGGGCUGUAGAGAAUCCCAGUAAAUCAAUAUCCUCCUUGAUUAUAAGAGAUAUAGUUUAGGAGAUACGAUUUCCAUUUGUACUUGUCUUUCCUAUUUUAUCUGUAUAUUCAAACUCACUUUGUUUUGUAUAAGUAUAUAAAUGGAAAUCCUCAACCCCACAGAGUUUGAUGGUUUUACAAAUAUUCUUAAUGUCUCACUGCGCACUCACCGUUGAAUUUCGCUAUAAAUAGACUGUUACUUGGUUAGUAGCAUGCACAACCACGCAUUUCCAACAGUUCAGUCCCACGCCAAGAGUCUUAACAAGAUGCCUAUGUGGAAUCCCAAAUGUCUAGAUCUUCCCCUCUCUGAAGAACAAAAACAACGUCUUCUCCAGAAAUUUGACUUCGAUAAAGAUGGCCGACUAAGCAAGAAAGAUUUGGAGCUCGGCUUGCGCCAGAUGGGCCUUCGUUUCUGUAGGUGGAGAGCUGGAAGGGCUCUCCGCCAUGCUGAUCUUAACAAAGACCGAUACAUUAGCAAGGAUGAGAUAAACGAGCUAGUCAAAUAUGCGACCAAAUGGGGGUUGCCCGCAAAUUAGCACUUUUAUAUAUACAGGAAGAAAGAGAGAGAGAGAGAGAGAGAGGGAGAGAUAAAUAAUGUACAAAUUUGUUUGUUAAGUAAUGGGCUUACUAAUUGCCCAUCCUGUUGUUUCUUUUCUGGUCGGGAGUGAUAGGAACUUGGAACUACUUCAUGCAAAAUGUUUGAACUUCCACAAGUGUUGGCUUCCUUUGUAGUCUAUUUGAUAAAAAUUGAUGGUGGAUUCGUGUUAUAGGGGCGUCUAUAUCAUAUAUAUAUAUAUAUAUAUAUAUAUAUAUAUAUAGAGAGAGAGAGAGAGAGAGAUUUUUUGAGAAUAUAUUUUAAAAUGUUUUAAAGAAAUUAAAUAGUUUUCACAUUUAAAAAUAAUAAUAAUUAAUAUUAUUGUACGAGGAAAAGUAUGAAUCUUUUAAUUUUAAAAAAUAUGGAUGAAUCACGUUAAAUAGGUAACUCAAUUUUAUAAAUAUAUUGAAAUAUAUUAGAAAAUAUUUAUGAAUAUUUUAACACAAAAUAUUGAUAAAACUAAAAUUGAUCAAAUCUUAUGAAAAUAUUUAAAAAAAAAACUCUAAAAAUGAUAUAAGAAGUAAUAAUAGACAUCUUUAAAUUAUUUUGUUGAAAAAAUUAAGAUAUGUAUGAUAUAGUUUAUCAUAUUUAAUAAUAAUAUUGUGUGCGUAGAUAAAAAAAAUGAAUUUUAUAAAUAUAUAUUUAUUAUUAAAUUACAUUAAGCUUUAUUUGAUAAUAUAUAAUACUAUCAUAUUUGAUUAUAAUAUAUCUAAUUUUAAAAUAUAUGUAAUAUUAAAAUUCUAAUUCAUUUAAUUUAGUUGUAUUUAAUGAUAUGAAAUAAAUAAUGUAUACUUUUUUUAAUAUUUGAAUAAUAUAUAAAUGAUAUAAAAAAAUAUUAUAGUUUUUAUAUAUUUGUUGAUCAAUUGAAUGAAAUUUAAAAAUAAAAUAAUUAAAAUUAAUUAAUUUAUUCCGUUGAUUAACCAGGGUUCAUAUUUUUAUCACUGGCUCCGGUGAAAGGAGGUCUAAUAUGAAUUGGCUUAGAAUUAGGGUAAUUCUUUAUUUUUAUUUAAGAAGAAAAAAUAAAAUAAAAUUCUGCAGGCUUGCUGGAGAAGGUGACCCACUUCGUAGUUAUCCAACAAAAAGCGGAUCUCCAAACUCCAUGAAACAGAUAAGUCCUAUAUCCCGACAUUCGCUAUAAAUAGACAAACCCACCUUCACAACCAAGUCACGCAACCUAAGAAGUAGCAACAAGAUGCCUCUGUGGACUCCGAUUACCAGAGACAUAAGUCUCCCCCUGUCCGAAGACCAGCUCAAGGGUCUUCUCAAGAGAUAUGACACCAACAAGGAUGGCCGGCUAAGCAAGGAUGAGCUGAAGAAGGCUUUCCGAGGGAUGGGCUUGCAUUUCAGUGGGUGGAGAGCUGGACGAGCGCUCCGUCAUGCUGAUGCUAAUGGAGACCAUUUCAUUAGCGAGGAUGAGCUGAACGAGCUCGUCAAAUAUGCGCAUAGUAAAUGGGGAUUUAAGUUACGUUAGGCCUUUCUUAAAUAUUUCUUACAAGAAAGGUUUUAGGCUUUUAGCAUGUUGUGGUGCGUACUUACUUUUGUACAUAUCUUAGUUUGAGCCUCCCAGGUUGUUACUUGAACUCCAGCUAAUUCUAGGUUUGUUUGAGAAAGGAACUUUGACGUGAAGCAAGUUUCAAACUCCUGGCCUUUCCUUGAAGAUGUUUAUAUUAUGUUUCAAAUUUGGUUCCUCCCAAUGCAAGAGAUGUUGUCAAUAUGUUAUUACUAUCCUCAAUCCGUUAUUUACAUGAUAGAUUAUGUUUCUUUUUUAACUUAACAGCACUGUUGGAUGUGCUUCCUAUGCCAAGAGAAUCCUUUACACAUUUAUUUUAGUUGGAGGCUUGAGAACUCCCAACAAAAUGGGUACUUUUAACUUUACGAUUACCUCUUAUUUUCAAAAAAUUAUGAGGAAAGAAAAAUAAUAUUUGGUUAUUGGAGAGAACAAAGAAAGAAAGAAAAAAUGUUGAAUAACAUUUGAUGGUGUUUGAUUGUCAUAUAAAAAAUAAGAAAUAAAAUACAAUUAAAAUUAUUUUAAAAUUCAUGUAUUUUUAAUUAUUUAAUCUUUAUAUAUAUAAAUUAAAAUAAGGUAAAUAAGUUUGAUAAAAUAUGUAAAAAUAAUUUUUAAAUUUUUUUUUUAUAUUUUUUAAUUAUUUAAUGUUUAAAAUAAUAAAUAUCAUUUAUUGAAUUCAAGUCUGAUUUGCGAUUUUCUCCACUUUUUCCUUCCUUUCAUUUUUUUUUGGUCUCUCAUAUUUUCCAUAAAAUUUCCCAACAACCAAACACGAUUAAUUAAGGAAAAGUUAACUUCUCAAUUCAAGUUGAGCAUGUCCGACGAGAGAGUGGUCUGCAGGAGACAAAAUCAUGUGAUAAUAUUCAGGCAUUAUAUCAGAAUCGCUGAUUAUAUCCGCUAAAGCAAAGGAAUUCCAACCAUACAAGUAGUAAAACUAGUGUGACCUACAAGAAAGGAUGCGGUGACCGGGUUCCACAUGGGCCCACUUUUUAUCCCGAAGCAUAUAUGCAAUUUGACCUGGUAGGUAUAUGUCAAGAGUAGUACUCAGCUGUUCGCACUGAAGUGUACUGGUAUUUCAUUUGAACUGCCAUCGUUGAAUAUAUCGUAAAGGAUAUUUGUCUAACAUCUUGUAAGAAUAUCAUCAUAAGAGAUGUCUGUCGCUCUAAAGCGGAGUGAUGCAGAGCCAUGCACUUCAACAAUGAAUCGCCAUUUUUGAGCUACUCGUGGCCAUGUGAAGGAUUCCAAGUCGGUCCAACCUUUUUUGGUUCAUGGCACCGGCCUAAAAUUCUUUCCGUGAGAGGAAGAAAACCAAAUUAUGGGUCAUUGCAUAUUUGGGUUCAUGAACUGGCCGAAAAGGGAACUAGCCUGAAAAAGUUUGUGUUUUCAACUAUGGAACGAACGAUUCACGGUAAAAGAUGCCACAUGUCAAUGAGAGAGGCUAGGGCUUUGGUCCAAAAGUGUCCCAACCCUUGAUCAAGGCUCCCUUAUGCUCCCGCAGGGCAUUUGAUAAUUUUUUAAGUGGUUUUGUAUGAUUUUAGAAAAUAUUUUUAAUAUUUAUUAAUACUUUAAAGAUCAAUUAUUUUAAUUAUUAAAAAAACUAAAAAAAUAUUUUAGGAUUACUAUAAAAAACACUUUUAUUUCGUUUUAAAAUAAAUUUUUGUUUUUUAUUUUAAUUAUUUAAAAAAUAAUAUUGGCAUUAUAAAUUUUUUAUUAAAUAUGAAACAAUUUUUAGAUAAAUUAGAAUAGAGUUUUUAUACUUUUCUGAUUUUUAUAUUAACUUUUUAUAAGCCACAAACAAUAUGGAGAAAGUGAUGUUGGCUUUAGACAUAGAUUCUAAUUAGUUGGUAAAUAAACAAAAUGAUGUUGCCUUAAGCUGUGUUACGAGUGGACGGGAUUGAAAUCCUCUUGGAGAGAGUGUUGGAAUGAAAUUAAAUGAAAGACAUAAACUGCUAAAAAAAGGAAAAAAAGAAUUAAAAAAAUCAACAGUUGUCUCCUGGUUAUAACCUCCAAUGAGCAAGUUUAAUAUGUAGAACAAACCGAACUCUAUCCUGCAGAAUUGAAGAAUUUUGGACAUUUACAAAUUAUCAACUGCUACGCCAAUUGUUUGAAUUAUUCUGACAAAUGUCUAAUUCACAAAAUCUAAUUUCAUUUUUUAGAUUGUAGAUUGAAAUCAUGAGCAGUGAUUUUCUUGCUAUGAUUUGCAUAAGAAUAGAUCAGGAGAGGGGAGCAGUUUAAGAGAGAACCAGUAAAUUCUUUUUGAAAUGGGAAAAUAUCAUUUAGUUCUUAGAGUGAAGUUCAGUUUCUGAGGUCGAGGCUUUGCAAGCCCUGGUCUCGUCUCAUUCAUGGUUUCUUUAUCAAUCCGCGUGGGCUUAAAUAAUACCCAGCUUAGGCCUGUCUAAGAUUUCAGGUCAACUCGGCCCGCAUCGAAGCCUGGCACGUUAGAGCCCCAGCCCAAGCCAUUAAAGGCCAUAAAAAACCCAACAAGUGAGCCUGACAUUCUUAAAAGAUUAUUAUUCAACUAAUAAAUACUUGGGCCUAUGGCCCGCCUGGGACAGACUCGAACUCAAGAUAAGAGGCCCUAGGCCUGGACCGGCCCAACCCGUUUACACGUCUAGAUAUUGAGAAGUGAAGAACAGCCCACCCACAUUUACUGGUUGACAUAGAUGCAAACAUGUAGGCAAGAUAGAGCGUUUCUCUCAAAUUUUCUUUUAACAUGAUACUAUAAUUCUGUUAGAGUUUGGUGACCCGAAUUUUAUUUGGUCUGAUUCGAAAAAUUUGCGAUGCAACAGUAUGUAUGUAUGUAUGAACACGUGUAUAGAGUUAUGAUGAUUAUAUUUCUAUUGUAACUACUCAUAAAUUUUCUCGCUCACAACUCUCUUUUGAUAUGGAUUUUCUUUUCAUUUGCCCAUGGUUUUUCUGGUUUAAGGUUUUUUUUAUACGUAAAUCUAUAUAUUAUUAUUCUGUUUUUUUUAAUUGCUUAUUCUUAUUAUUGUGUAACAAAUUUAAUUACAAGUUCCAGUGAUUUAAUAUUUUAACAAAAAAAAAAAAUAGAAAGUAAUGGAUAAACAUAAAAAUUAUGAAUCAUUAUCUAAAUAUGUCAUAAAAGAUACAAGAGAGAGUUUAGAUUCUGUUAACAUAAAGAAACUUUAAUGAAGGAGGACUUGUUGAGUUGUAAUUUUCUGUUUCUUAUGACAUUUCUUACUUUUUCAUGUCUUUUUUUUUUUUUUUUUUUUUUUUUUUUUUUUUUUUUUGGGGAGUUGACAACUUUGUAGGCCUUGAAAUUAUGAGCUUUGAUUAGCCUUGGAAUUAUGAUUUUUUCCUUGACGCAUUUUAUGUUUUUCUCUAGUUAAGCCAUCAAAUUGGUGUCUGAGGUGAGGAUUGUUAAAUUUUAUGCACCUCUACCACGUAUUUGAGAAAUAUUUUAAAUAACAAAUAUUUUUCAUUCUAUAUGCAAUUUAUCAAUUAUAAAUUACAUAUCACAAUUUUAUUCAAUUUUCAAGUGAAGAGUAAAAACUUUUCUUUCAAACGUCAAGCUUCAAAAGAAAAUAACCCUUUAUGGCAUCUUCCAAAAAAAGAGCAAGUGGUACUUAUUAUGUUCGAUGAGAAAAAGAGUUCCAAUUCCCCAAUCCUCUCAACAUCCAAAUCCAAAUCCAAAAGAAUCAAAGGGUGAAUUUCUGUUCAUUCAAUCCUUUAUUCACGUAGACUUGAUUUCUUGCAAUUUUAAUAAUUUGGGAGUACAUUUUGUUCUUAAGUUUUGACCAUCAAUCCUUCUGCAUGACGUGGGGAUUAUAUUGAAUCAUGUAAAUAUUUUGUCUUCUUUAUUUUAUUUUAAUUUUUAUGUUUGGGUUGAGUGUUGUAAUUUGUUUUUCUUACAUUUGGGUGUAGUGAUUUUUCCAACACAACUCCACCAUUUUCCCAUGUUCUAUAUAUUCUGUGGCAUCUUCAAAAGUAGAGGACUCGUCUGCUCCCCACCAUGAAAGUGGAAAAUAUGCUCUUAGCCAUGUUAGAAGAAAAAGAAAAAGGAUAAAUGGGUUCCACCUGCCUUUUCUUAUGAUGCUUAUGACUCUUAUCCAAAUGCAUAAGAAUCAAUGACUCUAUCCAAUCCAUCCAUUGAUGGAGACCCUGGAAGUUCCAAUUGUUAUGAUUGAUAAAUGCAUUGUUUUUUUUUAAUAAAAUUAAUUUCUAAGUUAAAAGAGGCAACAUAUCAUUUACACAUAUUUCUUUUAUGCUCUAGUGGUUGGGUUUAUAAGGGCUGCCUUCUAAUGAGUGAUUGACCCCAGCUUGUAUCAAUCUUCUUGUCACCUUGACUCACCACGACAUGAAAAUCAGAGGUCCAUGCAUAUUUAUUCACUUGCACUUCUUUAAGAGACAGACCCACCUUGGAGAAAGCAUCUCUUUUUAAAUUUGAAAGGAGCUUUCACUGAAUAUUUUGACUGAGAAAAGAAGUUGAGUACUGUCCACAUUAAAUGCUAUCAUAAACUGUAUUAACCAGGUCGACACUGAUUGUGGAAUAAAAUACCCCAGUAAACAAUUCUAUGUUACUUGCAACUUCUUCUUCUGCCAUUUCCAAAGAUGAAGGUGCUAAGAGAAAAAUGGAAAUUUUUUUUUCCCUCUUUCAAUGGCCUCUUGAACCCUAACAAAAUGGUUAUAAAGUGGAAAGAGAGACAUUUUUCAUUCAAGGAUUAGAAAUACCUCACGGAAUGAUUAGAAAAAGGUUUUGUUUCUUAUAUAUUUUUAGGCAACUUAAUUUGUGUUAUACUACAGUAAUUUAAGGGAAAAAUGAUAUAAAAGGACAUAGAUUCUUAUUUCUUUUUUAAUCAGCAUAAUGACUUUUGCAUACAAUCUUAUAAUAGGAUCCAUAGAAACGUUAAUAUUAAGGUGCAAUUUCAAUGCAUUAAUCUCAAGUUCAAACCUUUCCAUGUUAGAAUUUUCAUCCAUGAGGAUAAGUUGGAAUCACAUUCUUGUCCACAAGUACAGACAAAGGCACCUCUAUAUAUAUGUUUGAAUACUCUUGUGAUUAUAGUAUAAGAGUCAAGAGUUUUUUCUUGAUUUUCCAUAAACCAACCUAGGCAUCUUUUACAAUUGAUAACAUGUUUUCUGUGUUUCCCAUUCACUUCCAUAUUCACAAGAGUGUAACCAUACCUAUCUCUAGGGAAAAGGUACAACAGAUUUUCAAAAAGCAUGAUGCUAAUGGUGAUGGUAGUCUAAGCUUGGAGGAGCUUGCAACAGCCUAUGGAGAACUAGGUUCAAUUAUCCCCAAUCUGAGAGCUCAUCUUUCACUCUUCCAUGCAGAUACUAAUGGGGACGGAAAAAUCAACUCCGAGGAGAUGGAAUCUCUCAUCAAUUAUGCUAUGUCUCUAGGAUAUCGCAUUAAGUAAAAUAGAAUCUACUUAUGUGCUUAUAAUAAAGGGCAUGUCAUUAUGUCAUGUCCCUAUUUUAUAUAUAAAUAAUGCAUGUAGUUUUCUUAUUUGGUGACCAAGGAAACAAAAAGGACAAGUUCUUUUGUUGUGUUUCCUUUUUAUAUGUGUAACUUAAAACUUUAUAAUUAUCUAUCUUUUAUGUAACUUAGUUUUUUUUUUCUUUCUUUUUUUUUACUCUUUUCCACCAAUUAUAAGGUAGUAUGAAUUUCAAAAUGACCAUAAAUGUGAGACUUGUAUGCAAGUGUAGUGUCACCUAUACACGAGAUAGUGCUUCUCCUAGUGAUAGGUUAGGAGAGAAAUGAAAUGCUUAGUGCUACUUAGUAAAUUAUGUAGAUUAAUUUGCAAAGACAAGAGUCAUGUCUAAAUUAAAGUAGAUUGAAAGUCUUCAAAGUAAGAGAAUGUUUUAGAAAGAAAUUAAAUAGAAAGUAUAAAUUGAUAAAAAAAAAAUUCAACAAUUAUUUCUAAAAUCCUCAUGGAGUUUGAUGUAUAGAACAAAACAAAAAAAAAAAUUAUAUACCACAUGCAGCUCAAUGAUUUUCAACAUUUACAAAUAUCUCAAAAACUUAAAAAAAAAAAAAAUAGUUGUUUGGAUUAUUAUGGAAAAUAUAUGUUUAAUUCUCAAAAAAUUGUUUUAUUAAUAUAUUUUUUUACUAAAUAAUGAUUAGAAAUCAUUAAACGUGGUCAUAUUUAUUAAAUAUAAAAAAUUAUUGGCACCAUAUGUUGGCGACCCAUCUAAUAUGAAUUUUAAUAAUAAUAAUACACUAUCUUCUUCUUUUACAUUUAGGAAAAAUUUAAGAAGCCUCUCAUAAUUAAUCAUUGAUGACAUCUCCAAAAGUGGGGGACUUGUCUUACAUCAUGCAUGUGGAAAAAUAAUGCUCUUAGCCAUGUUAAAUGAAAAAAGAUGAGGCAAAUGCUUCCACUUCCAUCGUCCUACUUUGGGCUUUAAUUCGAGUUCAAUUCAAUUCUUUUCUGGAUUGAUUGAUUUUUUUGUGAAAAAUAUUAAUAAUUGCAAGGAUGUUUUAAUUGUUGAGAUUUUUAUUAAGUUUUGUUGAGUAAAAAUAUUCAGCAUAAAAUUAAAAUUUAUAGAUAUUUCUUUUAUACUUUAGUUUUUAUGGUGUUAGGUAUAACUUUUAAUAAUGGACCAUAUCCUAUUUCUAAACCAACUUGUAGUGUCAUGGUCAGUUCUAAUUCGUACCAAGCUUUUUGGCAUAUUCAUUGGAUAUCUUUUGUUCACAACAUAAACAAAUUCAGAAACACGUUUGUCUACUAUGAUAAGAAAACUAGUGGUUGAUUUGAUCAAUUGGCUAAAAAGGAGCCCCAGUAAGAUCUACAAGUGAUAUGCGGCUUGGAAUUAUGGAAUUCUCUUUUUUAAAAAGUGAUGGAGCAUAUUAAAUGCUAUUAUAAAUGACCUACUAAACAGUUAAAUAUAAAAUAUUAUUUGGCAUCAUAUGUUGGUGACCCAUGUAAUAUGAAUUUUAAUGAAUUCAUCCAAGGAAAUAAUACUAUUAUAUCUUUAUCUUGCUAGAAAUUUUCAACAAUUAUUUGUGAAAUCCUUAUAGUGUUUGAUGUGUAGAACACAAAAUUCAUACUCCACAUACAACUCAAUAUUAGUAAAAAUAUAUAUAUUUUUUUAAUUAUUAUGGGAAAUAUAUGUUUAAUUUUCAAAAUAUAAUUUUUUUUUUAGAUUUUUUUUUUAAUAAUCUUUUAACUAACUUGUAGAUUUGAAAUUAUCCCAUUCUACUAAAUAUUCCUAUAUUUUAGAAUAAGAAAAUAUAGAGAAGUUUAUUUCCGUAUGAAAAUAACUCUUUAAUGCUUUUAAAUAUGUUUUAAAAAUAACUUCUAUAUUUAAUAGUUUAUUUUUAAUCAUUCUCUAUAUUUGUAUAAUUAUUUUUUUAAAAUAGCUUUUAUAAAACAAGUGAAAAUAAUUAAAAAUAAAAAAAUGUUGUUUGAAAAGAUGAUGUUUUUUGUUUUUAAAAAUAGAAAACAAAAAACAGUUUUUUGGUUAUCAAAUAUAUUUUCUUAUUUCUUUUUGUUAUGAAGAGCAUAAAAUUGUUUUUAACAAUAAUUAGCAAACAUUGUUAGUUUACUCAUCAUGAAAAGCUAAUACUAUAUGCUUGAUUUGACCAAUCACCUAAUAAUGUGUUUGAUAGUGUUUAUAUUCAAAGUAUUUUUAGUGAUUUUUUUUUUUUCUAAAUGCAUGUUUUUUAGAAUAAUUACUUGUCAAGUGUUAUGAAAUACUAGAAGUAAUUUUUGAAAAUUUUAAAAUCUUGCAUGUCUUAAUUUUUCUUAAAAAUAUUUUUUAUGCUAUAAAUAUUUUCUAAAAAUACUAUCAAACAGUAUUUCAAUUCGAAGUGCUUUUGAGAAAAGUGAUUUCCCUAAAAGUAUUAUUGAGUGAAUCACUUCUCUCCAAAAUUCACCAUAAAUAUUUUUUAAUAUUUUAAAAAUAUUUUUUAAAAUUUACGAAAUAUUCAAAAAAAAAUUUCAAGAACAUUUUUUAUACCAUAAAUAAUUUCUAAAAACACCAUCAAAGAUAAUUUUAAAGGCUAAAAAGCAGGUCUUUACUCUCAUGGAUGACCUUCGCAUCAUCAAAUUUGAAAUUUAUAAAGGCGAUGGUGUACACCAUGAAAGAGUGAAUUAAACGUGGCUUGGCAACCUUCUACUUGAGUAAACUCGUACUGGCAUGGCAAUGAUUUUACCAUUUUUAGUGUCAUUUUGAAAUUGAAAUGAUGCGUCUUACUAGGAAUGCUUGGUCAUGUAGAUUAGUUUACAAAGAAAAAAGUCAAUUCUAAAAAAAGAUUGAGACUUGUAGGCAAAGGGAAGUUUUCAGAGGAUUUAAAGGAAAUAAAAAAUAUAUUUCUGAAAUUUAAAACUCCAGUUUUUGGAAUUUUGUGUAAAACAAACCAAAAUUUAACCAACAUUUAGCAAGCUUUAUUGCAUUUUAUUUUUUCUUUUACCUUCCUUUGCUAUGUCAUUUUACCUCUACAAUUUGUUAGGAUUUGAGUCAAAUGAUUUAUUUAUUUAUUUUUAAAAAGUCAAUAUUGAUAAAUUUGCGUUUUGGUAAAUUAUCUUUUUAAGUUUUAUUAGAAAAAUAUUGAUUUAAGGUUAAUCAGUAAGAUUCUAUAAACAUGGUUUUAUUUAAAAGAAAAUAUAUGAUUUUAUAUAAAAUAAAACAUCUGACAAAAAAAGUUAAUAAAUUAUAAAUUCUCAAAGCUUAUUAAUAAAUUUGAUCAAUAUUUUUUUUUUUGUUAAUUAGUUUUAGUCAUCCUUUCCUACAAUGUGGGCAAUUAUAUCGAAUCAUACAAAUAAUAUUUUGUCUUCCCUAUUUUCUUAUAUUUUGUUUUUUUAUGUUUGGAUCAAGUGUUGUUGUGAUUUAUUUUUCUUAUAUUUGGGUGUAGUGAUUUUUCCAACACGAAUCAAAGACAACUCCCCCAUUUCCCACGUUCUAUAUAUUCUGUGGCAUCUUUAAAAGUAAAGGACUUAUCCGCUCCACCAUGAAAGUGGAAAAUAUGCUCUUAGCCAUGUUAGAAGAAAAAAGAAAAAGGGUAAAUGGGUUCCACCCACCUUUUCUUCCGAUUCUUAUGACUCUUAUCCAAAUGCAUAAGAAUCAAUGACUCUUAUCCAAUCCAUCCAUGGAUGGAGGCCCUGGAAGUUCUAAUUGUUAUGAUGGAUGAAUGUAUUGUUUUUUUUUAAAAAAACUAAUUUUUAGGUUAGAAGAGGCAACAUAUCAUUUACAAAAAUUUCUUUUAUGCUUUAGUCGUUGGGUUUAUAAAGGCUGCCUUCUAAUGAGUGAUUGACCUCAGCUUGUACCAAUCCUCUUGUCACCUUGACUCACUACGACGAGAAAAUCAGAGGUCCAUGCAUAUUUGAUUUAAAAAAUAUUCUUAUUUUUAUUCACUUGCACUUCCUUAAUGGAUUGACCCACCUUUAGACAAAGCAUCUAUUUUCCAAUUUGAACGGAGCUUUUGACUGAGAAAAGAAGUUGAGUGGCCACACCGUCGAGUAUGACUUUAUGCAUUGUGUUGGAAUCAAAUUUGUGGCUUGAGAUAAUUGAUCCAGUCCUCACCUUUACUUAUACUUUGUGUCCACAUUUUCUAGCUUGGUCUAAAUUUAUUUCCUUCCAUGCAUUUUAGUCUCAAUCUAAUGAGGUUUUUCAAAAAUGACUAAUCAAGGUUAUCAUAAAUAGUAUUUGGAAAGAUUGUUAACAUAUUUGAAUGGAGCCAUUAGCCUAGGGGCAAGAUUCCAAAUAAGUUGUGUUGCCCUCAUUUAAAGACACGUUAAAUCUGACAAUUGUUCUUUUUCCUUUUGUUUUACCUUUUCAUUUACAUAUGUGCCUGUUAGGCUUUGUAGAGUCUAGGUUUGUUUGAUUCGGUUUGGCGACCCGAUCCGAAUAAUAUUGCAUGACUUUUUAAUGGGAGAUUUACUAAGGCUUGUUGGACCCGUUUAACCCAUUGUGGAAUCACCUUUUUUAAUUAGGGUUUUUUAAUGUGGUGUGGUUGUCGUGUUAUAUAUAAAGAGAAAAUAUUGUAGCUGAUGUAGUUGUAUUCUGUAUUCUUCCUUGAUAAUAGUGAUAUCCCUGCAACUCCAUGAAUGUAGGCAAAUUGCCGAACCACGUAAAUACUGUCUUGUGCGUGUAAUUAUUUUUCUUUGACUUGUGUUUUCUCUAUUUUUUGUUUUUCACAGGUUGGGAAUUCGGUUUAAUUCCCUACCGUACUUAUUAAUCCUCAUGCAAUCUCAACUCAUACAUCAAUGGCUAAGUGUUUGAAUUUAACCUAAACAACCUCAAUAGGAAUGAGUAAACAUGCUAACAUCCAAAUAUUUUGUUUCAUUUUUCCCUAAAACUUCCUCUUUUACUUUAGCUAUUGAAAUUUACAAAUCAAAGCCAUAUUGUGAUUCUAGGUAAAAGUUUAAGACCAUGUUUGGUAACUGUUUUUUAAAAUAAUAUUUUGUUUUGCAAAACACAAAAACAAGAAAAUACAUUUGACUAUUAGAAAAGAGCACACUUUUUUGCUCUUCAAAAUAAAAAACAAAAAUGCUUUUUAGAUAAUAUUUUUUUAAUUAUUUUUACUUAUUUUUUAGGAGUUAUUUUAAAAAAUAAUUAUGCAAAUACGAAGAAUGAUUAAAAAUAAGGCACUACUAAAAAAAAUUAUUUUUAAAAUAUAUUAAAAAAACAUAAAAUAAAAAAGUAUGUUAAAAAUAUUUCAAAUUCUAAAAUAAUGUUUUGUUCAACAAAACAUUAACUAACAAUUUUAGUUUUUUUUUUUUGAAUACACUUCUCAAGUAGAGUUUAAGAUUCUAAUAGCCUACAUCAAGGCUAUAAUCGCCUAUACACUUGUUGUGGUUUUUUUUUUGAAAAAAAGGAUUUUAUUUUUUACUGUUCUAAAUUUAAUUUAAAAUAAGAAAUUAAAUUUUGAAUAAUAAUAAACAAAUCAUUAAAAUGUUAUAUUUAUUACCCUUUUGAAAUUUGUUUUUAGAAAAUCAGAUUCAAGAGAUUCAAUUUUUGUGUUGAUUAAUUUUUCUUUUUAAAAAAAGUAAUGUAUUUGGCGUUAUUUUGCUAUUAAGAAAAGUUUCACAAGUCAAAUAUAGAAUCCAUAUUUGUUAAAAAAAUAAUUUAAAAUAUUCAACCUUACUGCAUGAUUGAAUAUCUGGUCAACAAUAUUUAAGAUGUAUUAUAUACAUGACUUUCAUUUGUAUUUUUACUAUUAGAUUAUGAUCAUUAGAUAUCAGGAAAAAAUGAUGGAGAAAAAAAAAACACCUUGACCUACGAAUAAAGAGGAAGACCAUCUUCUAACUUCAAGGAAUUAAUCUUAGAUGGCAUCUUCAAAAGUGGGGGCCGGGCUUGUCUUCCGCCAUGCAAGUCGUAAAAUAAUAUUCUUAGCCAUGUUAAAUGAAAAAGAUGAGGUAAAUGGGUUCCACUUCCUACUUUUGUGCUGAUUCUUAUACACCAUGACAAGGAAACUAGAGGUUGGUUAGAACCAUUGGCUGAAACGGAACCUUAAUUAAGAUGUUGUACUUCUCAUAUUUCGGCUUGGAAUUCUAGAAUUUUCUUCUUUUUCUUUUUCUUCUUCUUCUUCUUCUUAUUAUUAUUAUUAUCAUUUUAUAAAAGUGAUGGAGUAUAUUAAAUGCUAUCAUAAAUUGUAUUAACCAUGUUGACACUAAUUAUUGAAUAAAAGACCUACUAAACAAUUUUAUGUUACUUACAACAUCUUCUUUUACCAUUUGUGAACCAUUGGCUGAAACGGAACCUUAAUUAAGAUGUUGUACUUCUCAUAUUUCGGCUUGGAAUUCUAGAAUUUUCUUCUUUUUCUUCUUCUUCUUCUUCUUCUUCUUAUUAUUAUUAUUAUUAUCAUUUUAUAAAAGUGAUGGAGUAUAUUAAAUGCUAUCAUAAAUUGUAUUAACCAUGUUGACACUAAUUAUUGAAUAAAAGACCUACUAAACAAUUUUAUGUUACUUACAACAUCUUCUUUUACCAUUUGUGAAGAUGAAGGUGCAAAUAGAAAAAAAGAAUAAAAAAAAAAAAGUAAUUUUUUUUCCUCUUUCAAUGGUCUCUUGGACCCUAAUAAAAUGGUUAUAAAGGUGGAAUAAAAGACAUUUUUCAUUCAAGAAUUAGAAAUGCAUCACAGAAUGAUUAGAAGAAGAUUUUGUUUCUUAUAUAUUUUUGUGCAAUUUAAUUUGUAUUAUACUACAAUAGUUCAAGGGGAAACUGACAAAAAAGGAUAUAGAUUCUUAUUUCUUUUUUAACAAGGAUAAUGAUUUUUGCAUGCAAUCUUAUAAUACGAUUGAUCCAUAUAAAUAUUAAUAGUAAGGUGCAAUUUCAAUGCAUUAAUCUCAAGUUCAAGCGUUUCCAUGUUGGAAUUUUCAUCCACGAGGAUAAGUUGGAAUCACAUUCUGGUCCACAAAAAAAAAAAAGGUAAAAACACCUCUAUAUAUAUAUAUAUAUAUAUUUGAAUACUCUUGUGAUUAUAGUGUAAGAGUUGGAGUUGUUUCUUGAUUUUCCAUAAACCAACCUACGCAUCUUUUACAACUGAUAAUAUGUCUUCUAUGUUUUCUAUUCACUUCCAUGUUAACAAGAAGAAUGUAGUCAUACCUUACCGUAGGGAAAAGAUACAACAGAUUUUCAAACAACAUGAUGCUAAUGGCGAUGGUAGUCUAAGCUUAGAGGAGCUUGCGACAGCCUAUGGAGAGCUAGACUUAAUUAUCCCCUUGAGAGCUCAUCUUUCACUCUUCCAUGCAGAUGCUAAUGGGGACGAAAAAAUCAACUCUUAGGAGAUGGAAUCUCUUAUCAAUUAUGCUAUGUAUCUGGGAUAUCGCAUUAUGUAAAAUACAAUCUACUCAUGUUCUUGUAAUAAAUGGCAUGUCAUAAUGACAUGUCCCCAUUUAAUAUAUAAAUAAUGCAUGUAGUUUUCCUAUUUGGUAACUAGGAAGACAAAAAGGAUAAGUUCCUUUGUUGUGUUUCCUUAUACGUAACUUAAAACUUUAUAAUUAUCUAUCUUUUAUGUAACUUAGUUUUUUUUUUUUUUUUCAUUUCAUAUUUUUUUUCUCCCUCUCUUUUUAUUCUUCUCCACCCAUUAUAAGACAGUAUGAAUUUCACAAUGACCAUAAAUGAGAGACUUGUAUGCAAGUAUAGUGCCACCUAGGCACGAGGUAGUGCUUCUCCCAAUGAUAGUUUAGGAGAGAAAUGAAAUGCUUAAUGCCAUUUAGUAAAUUAUGUAGAUUAAUUUGCAAGAAGAAGAGUCAUGUCUAAAUUAAAGUAGAUCAGAAGUCUUCAAAGUAAAAGAAAGUUUUAGAAAAAAAUUAAAUAGAAAGUGUAAAUUGACAAUAAUAAAAAAAAAAAAACUCAACAAUUACUUCUAAAAUCCUCAUGGAGUUUGAUGUAUAGAACAAAUCAAAAUUUAUACUCCACAUGUAACUCAAUGAUUUUCAACAUUUAAAAAUAUCUCAAACGCUAAAAAAAAAAAUUAGUUGUUUGGAUUAUUAUGGAAAAUAUGUGUUUAAUUCUCAAAAUCUAAUUUCAUUUUCAUAUUUUUUUGAAUAAUUUUUAAAUUAAAUUGCAUAUUUGAAUUUAUCUUAUUCAACAAAACAUUCUCAUAUUUUAGAAUUAAAAAAGAUCAAGAAAUUUAAAAUAGACCUAGUACUUCAUUUUGAAAUGUGAAAACAUAAUUUUUCUUAAGAGUAGAGUUCAUUUUCUGAGUUAGAGGGAUUAUGUGUUUCACUCUUUGACAUUCAUGUCACCAAGGCAACAUGCAACCUCCCACUUCUCCUCAUCUCUUUUUAUUUGUCCUUUUUCUCUCAUUCUCAUAUAUUGACAUGAAAAAAGUAAAUAAACCCACAAAUAUAUGAAUUCACACAUUCAUGCUAACAUGAAAGCUAGAGAAAAUGUUUCUUUCAAAUUUUGAUUAAGAUUAUGCUCUCAUAUAUUUAAAAGAUUGCUUAAUGUAUAGUUCUAAUAAAUUAACAUCUUUUUAACAAAAAAGUGCCCAUAGAGUACUACUUAUUAUGAAUAAUAAUUGAAAUUAAUUUCAAAUUGAUUCAAUUGGACUUUUAGUUUCUAGUAUUUUCAUACAUGUUAAACUAAAAUCCAAAUUUUCAGGUAUUGGUGUUAUGUGUAUAUAAAUAUGUCAACAUUCAAAUUUUUUAUUUCAUUUUUUUUGUACAUUAUACUCAUCUUUAAAUUUAAAUUGAAGUCAUGUUGUGAUACAAAGUAAAGGUUUAGCAUUCUAAUAUCCUACAUCCCUAUAAGGCAAUAACAAAUUAUACAUUUUUCUACAGAUAUGGUUAGAAAUGAAAUAAUAUCAAUUUUUUUCUUAAAUGAAAUUUUAUUUUUGAGUAUUUUCAGUUUAAUUAAAAUUACAAAUUCAAUUUUGAACAGUAAUAAACAUUUUACAAUAAAUUGAAUAAUAAUUAAAAAAUUAUAUUUAUUGCUAUUUUGAAAUUUAUCUUUAAGAAAUCUAAUUCAACAGAUUCAAUUUUUUAUAUUGAAUUUUUUUUUUUAUAAAUAUUGUUGUAUUUCAAGUUAUUUUUUAUUAAGAAAAAUUUUACAAACCAAAUAGGGAGUUGAUAUUUUGUCUUUAACAUAAAAAUCUAUUUUUAAAAACUAUUUAAAAUAUUACAUUGUAUAUUUGUUGGAGUUUUUUUUUUCUAAAAUAUUUUAUCAUUAUUUUUUGUACUAAAUUGUGAUUAGAAAUCAUAAAUAGUGGUGACAUUUAUUAAAUAAAAAAAAAUUAUUGGCAUCAUAUGUUGGUGAUCCAUGUAAUAUGAAAUGUAUAAUGAAUUCAUCGAAGAAAAUAGUACUACUCUAUCUUCUUCUUUUACAUUUAGGAAAAAAGAAGCCUUUAGGAAUUAAUCAUUGAUUUCAUCUUCAAAAGUGGGGAACUUGUCAUGCACCAUGAAAGUUGAAAAAUAAUGCUCUUAGCUUUGUUAAAUGAAAAAAGAUAAGGUAAAUGGUUCACUUCCAUCAUCCUACUUUCACUUUGAUUCUUAUCUACUUGAACACAAAUGAAUGAAUGAGUUUUUGUUCAAUUUAAUCCUUUCUUGGUUUGAAUGAUUUUUUUUUUGUACAAAAUAUUAAUAAUUCCAGGGAUUUUUAAUUUUUGUGAUUAUGGUGUUGGGUAUAACUUUUAAUAAUGGAUCAUAUCCUAUUUCAAAACCAACUCAUAGUUUCAUGAUGAAUUCAAAUUUAUAUCAAUAUUUUUGGCAUAUUUAUUGGACAACUUUUUUUCAUGAUAUAGACAAAUUCAGAAACAUAUUUGUCUGUUAUGACAAGAAAACUAGUGGUUGAUUUGAUCUAUUGGUUAAAAAGGAACCUCAAGAAGAUCUAUAAGUGAUGUGGGGCUUGAAAUUAUGGACUCCUCAUUUAAAAAAAAAAAAAAUAGUGAUGGAAUAUAUUAAAUGGUAUCAUUAACAGUAUUCAUCUUAUUGACACUGAUUAUAGAAUAAAUGACCCACUAAACAAUUAUAUGUUGCUUACAACAUCUUUUACCAUUUGCAUAGAUAAAGGUGCUAAUUAUAGAAAAAAAAGAGAGUAAAUUUUAUCUUCUAUCAAUGACCCCUUGCACCAUAACAAGAUAGUGAUAAAAGUGGAAAGAGAGACAUUUUUAGUAUAAGAAUUAGAAGUACUUCACAGAAUGAUUAGAAAAGGUUUUGCUUCAACUUAAUUUAUAAUAUCCUAUAAUAAUUUAAGGGAAAAAUGGCAUAAAAGGACAUGGAUUCUUUUUUUUUUUUUUCCUUAAUGAGGAUAAUGACUUUUGUAUGUAAUCUUAUAAUAGGAUCCAUAGAAACAUGAAUAGUAAGGUGCAAUCAAUGUGUUAAUCUCAAGUCCAAACCAUUCCAAAUUAGAAUUUCCAUGAGAAUAAGUUAGAAUCACAUUUUGGUCCACAAGCACACAAGCACAGAUAAAGACACCUCUAUAUAUGUGUUUGAAUACUCCUAUGAUUUUAGUGUAAGAGUUGGAGUUGUUUCUUAAUUUUUCGUAAACCAAUCUACACAUCUCUUACACCUAACAACAUGAUUUUUUCGUUUCCCCUUCACUUCCAUAUUUAUAAUAGUGUAAUUGUACCUAUCCCUAAAAAACAAUUAAAACAAACUUUCAAACAACAUGAUGCUAAUGGCAAUAGUAGUCUAAUCUUAGAGGAGCUUAUGUCAACCUUUGUAAAGCUAGACUCAUUUAUCUCCACUUGGAGAGCUCACCUUUCACUCAUCCAUGCAGAUACUAACAGGGAUGGAAAAAUUAGUUCUGAGGAGAUGAAAACUCUCAUCAACUACGCUAUGUCUUUGGGAUAUCAAAUGAGUAGAAUACUUUAUAUAUAUGUAUGCUUAUAAUGAAGGGUUUAUUGUUAUUUCAUGUCCUUUUUUAUAUAUGAUUAAUGCUUGUAGUUUUCUUGUUUGGUAACUAGGGAAGUAAGAAAGACAAGUCCUUUUGAUGUGUUUUCUUAUUUGUGUAACUUAAAAUUUUAUAAUUAUCUAUCUUUUAUGUAACCUAGUUUUUUUCUUCUUCAUUUUUUUUUCUUCCUUUGUUUUUUUACUCUUCUCCACUAACUAGAAGACAAUCUAGAUCUUGCAAUGACAGAAAAUGCAAGAUCUUGCAAUGUCAUAAAUUUUUAGCAUUAUUUGGUUUACUAUUUGAGUUUUAAAUUAUUUUUGAAAAUUACUAAACUUAUUAAUGAAUUCGACAGAUUAUAUAUAUAUAUGGAACUAACUUAGACAUUUAAAAUAAAUUUUGGUCUAUAACUUAGGAAUGUUAUUGAAUUGCAUGACUUUUUAAUACUAAUUAAAUUAGUUUUUGAGUUUCAAAUUAUUUUUGAAAAUUGAUAAAUUUUAUGUAUCAUAUAUAGUUUAAUUUGAAAUUUAUUUGCUUAAUAAAAAACUUUAGAGAAGUUAAAAGAAUUUUUUUUAAAUGUGUAAUUUAAAUAAAAGUCAUAUUUGAAUAAUUUUAUAUCGAUAUUGGUAUUAGAUAAGGAAGAGAGAAACAAAUAAAAUAAUAUCAUGUUCAAUUUUAUUUUAUUUUUUAUGGUUUUUUUUUUAAAUUUUCUAUGUUUUGUUUUUGUUUUUAAAAAUUGGUAAAAGAAACUUGUAAUCGUUCUCUAAAAACUGAUCUUUAUUUCACUUUAUUUUUUAAAAUUGUUUCCAAAGAACAAGAGUAAAAUAAUAUUAGGAAUUUUUAAAAAUAGUUUUUUUCCUUUUAAAAUCAAAAUAGCAUUUUUAGAUCACACGACCUAAUAGACUCAAAUGAUUUCCUAUCUUUUUUUUUGCUUUUAAAAAAAGAAAACAAAAAACAAAACAAAACAAAACCCUCUAGGAAUUAAUCAUUGAUGUCAUCUCCAAGAGUGGGUACUUGUCUUCCACCUUGCAAGUGGUAAAAUAAUCUUCUUGAGUUUUAGCCAUGUUUGAUGAAAAUGAACGAGACAAAUGAUUCCAUUUCCAUCAUUUUACUUUUGCUUCAACUCUUAUUGAACAUGAAUAAAAGCAUCGGUUUUUAUUCAAUUCAAUCCUUUCUUGGAUUGAUUGAUUGAUUUUUGUGCAAAACAUUAAUAAUGGCAGUGAUUUUUUAAUCUUUAUGAUUGAUUAAUACACCUUUUAUUAAUUUAUUGUUGGUUUAAAAUACAAUAUAAUUUUUUUUUAGGUUAUGUUGGAUUUCUGGAAAAUACUAAAGAAAAAAAAAUAUAAAGGAAAAUGAUUUUAUUAUGUUUGGUUAUUUAUAAAAAAUAUAAAAGAAAAUCAAAUAUAAUUAAAAUUAGUUAAAAGUUUAAUUUUUAUAUCAAUGAAUUAAAAUAAGUAAAAUGAAUUUAAAAUAACAAAUAAAAAUAAUUUAUCAAUUUUUAAUUUCUUUUUUCCUUUUAUUUUUUUUAUUUUAUAUUUUCUUUCCCUUACAUUUUCCCUUAAAUUUUUCGAAAACCAAACAUAACAUUAUUGUUUAGUUUUUAUUGUUUUAAGUAUUACGGUCUAUUCUGUUUCUAGAUCGAUUUUCUAGUUCCUACUUUUAUUCGUCAUUGGGCUUAAUGGGAUAAACAAAUUCAAAUAAAAGCCUGUCGGCCACACCAAGAAAAUUAGUGAUACGUGCAUAUUUGGUUUCAUGAAUUGACUGAACAGGAACCUGAAGAAAUUCUCCAUCAAAAUUCUCCCCACAACCUCAUCCUCAGCGACUGGGAGUGGACCAUAAAAAUGGCAUCUGUUUUCAGGUAUGAAAAGAAUUUCCAUAAAUGAAUGGUUUAUAAUCCUACCGAAAAAGAUGCCUGAGUGGCACCAGAUACAAGGGAUGAGAUGGUAGGCCUUUGGUCUACUGGUGUAAAGAGGAGGAUCCACAGUAACGAUAUUCCAGGGUGACGGCACCAACGUCACGGCAUUGUACUUUAUUGUCAUUGACUCAUUCAUUCUUAAUUCAUAUUUAUACAAUGCUUGAAAACCAAUUCAAAACAAUCAAAAUAUAUUCUUAAAAAACAAUAUUUUUUUGGAACAAGUUCUAUUUUUUUUUUUUAUCAAAAGACAAUCAAACAUACUUUUAAGUUUGAAAAACAAUUUUUCAAUUUUAAAAACAAAAAAUUAUUUAAUUUUCAAAAACAGUUUCUAGUUGAGUUAUAAAUAUCUAAGUACAAUUUGCUACACUAGCUUUGGAUUGCAGUUGUUACCCUAAGACUAUAUUUUGUUCCUAGAAAGUACUAAAAGAAAAAACAAUAUUUUAUAUAUAUAUAUAUAUAUAUAUAUUUACGUUUGAUUUUAUCAUGAAAAAUAUAAAACAAAAAAUCAAAUAUAAUUAAAAUUAUUUAAAAAUUUAUACAAAUUUUAAAUUAUUUAAUCUUUAUAUAAUAGAGUAAAAUAAGUAAUAAUUUUUUAAAAAAUUAUAUAAAAUAAUUUAUUGACUUUAAAUUUUUUUUUUAUUUUCCUUUAUUUUUUCUUUCCUUCAACUUUUCUUUUUUGUUUUCUUCCCUUGGAUUUUCCCUCAAAUUUUCCCGAGACCCAAACACAACCUAAGACAAUUUUAUAGGUGGGCCCACAUAAAUAUUUGAGUACAACUUCUAUUAAUUUUUUUUCAAAUGUAUAUGUUUUUUCCCUUUUUUUUUUUCUCUAUUCAUUGCCUCAAAUUAUUUGGAGAAUACUUCAUGUAUAACCGAUCAAAAUGAUGAGUAUGUCAUUUUCUUUCUUUCUUUUUUUUUCUUAAUCACCAAUUUGUUAAGAGAAAAAAAAAACCCCAAAGUAAGCAACCGUGCAUGUUUUAAAACAUUUUUCAAAAUAGCUAUCAAAAAAUUAUUAUUAUUUUUUUUUUAAAAUUGUGAUAUUUUUAAAAUAGAACUUAGAAUAUUUUAAACUUAUUUUAUGUGUAAUCAAAAUUUUUUUUAAAUGAUUUUUUUAUAGUGCUUUAUUUUCAAUUAUUUUUCAUAAAUAAUAAAAAAAAGAGUGAAAACAAAUAAAAACAAUUAAAAAAUAUUAUUAGAAGACACCAUAAUUUUAAACAUAAUUAUCAAAAAACCAUUUUCUAUAAAGCAUAUGUAUUUUGAAAAUUUGAGAUACAGUUUUCAUUUUUAAUAAUAAAAUACUAUUUUUAAAAAGAAUUUUCAAACAUAUUCCUAAAGAUUCUUAUACAAUUACUAAAACUUGGAGAGCAUGAUUUCGAGAUGUCGCAAUUAUUCCUUAUUACAUAAUCUCUUUACUAAUUAAUUACAUAAUAUCUUUACUAACUACACAAGACGUUCAUCUUCCAUCAAGAUAAGGUUGAAUCACAUAAUAAUCCACUAAAUAUAUGUAUAUAAAAGGUGGAAUAAUCCACUGAGAAACAAAGGAGAACUCUCUCUCACUAUAUAUAUGUAGUGCCAAGAGUUGGAGUUGUUUGUUAAUAUUUCCCAUAAUAAUCAAGCCCCUCUACUCCAUUGAAAAGAUUUCUUCCUCUUUCAUGCCUAUUCAUUAUUCAUAUACACAAGAACACAACUGUUCCAGCGCUAGGAACAGUUGAAGGAGAUUUUCAAACGAUAUGACAUCAAUGGUGAUGGUAACUUGAGCAAAGAAGAGUUGAAAGUUGCUUUCAAACAAUUAGGUUCAUAUAUCCCCGAUUUGAGAGCUUAUCUUUCACUCUACCAUGUCGAUGCCAAUGAAAAUGGAUACAUCAACCUCGAGGAGAUGGAAGCACUCAUCAACUACGUUAUAUCAAUAGGAUAUUACAUUAAGUAAAAGUUAUCAUAAUAAGGGGUUUGCUAUAUAUAUUGUGCCCUUUUUAUAUAGUGUGUAAGAUAGAUGAUGCAUGUACCGAUCUUCUCGUAUAUAGAAAAACAUGAGGUACAAAUCCUUAUAUUAUGUUUCCCCUCUAUUGUAACUAAAAACUUUAUAAUAUAUGUAUCAUGUGACACUAAAUCUAACCUUUUUUGUUUUGUGCUAUCAUUUUCCAACUUAGUUGAUAUUCAAACUAUAAGACCAUUGAUUAUAUGGACUUUGCAAGGUUGAUCACUAGAAGUUAGUUAUACCCAUAAUUAUUAAUAUAAUAAUACUGCAAAUGAUCAAUGAUUGAUGUUUUGAAAUUCUUAAAAUAUGUCUAAUAUUAAUUAAUUUGUUUAAUUUAUUGCAUAUAUUUCAAAAGUAUAGAUAUUAGUUAAAAUAUGGAUUGGGUUAUUUUGAAAAGUGUUUAAUUAUUUAUUCCAUAUAUGAUGUCAAUUUUAUUUUAUACUUUCUCUAUUGUUAUGAUAUCAUUGAUAAGUUUUUUUUUUCUUUUUGAAUUAUCAACAACCUAUAUUAUUUUAUUUUUGAAAAUUGUUAUUUGUAUGAGAACAAGAGCUAAGAAAAGCAUGAGACAAAGAAUUACAAUUCCAAAAAGCAAACUUAAAUUUAGGGUAAGUUUAGUUCUAAGAAAAAAUGUUAAGAAAAAUGAGUUUUUCAUAUUUGAUUUCAAAGUGAAAAAUCAGAAUAAAAAUUAAAUAUAAUUAAAAUUAUUUAAAAAUCCAUAUAUUUUUAAAUAAUUUAAAUCCUUAUUUAAAAAAGAAAAAAAUAAAUGAAAUGAAUUUGAAAUAAUAUAUACAAAUAAUAUUUAUUGAUUUUAAAUUUAUUUUUAUUUUUUUUCUAUAUUCUUUUCUUCAAAUUUUUCAAAAACUAAUAAUAACCUAAAGAACUAUGCCUAGAAUCUACCACUACAAAAUCCAUGGUUUUAAAAAUCAGAACGGACUAGCCGGUCCGAUCGGUUUGACAGUCGGCUAGUCAUGGUUCCGGUCCGAUCUGAUCAUUUAGACCGAAAAUAGAUUGAAUCGGGAUUGGACCGAUUGAACCAGUGGUCCGAUUGGUGAACCGGACGGCUCAAUUAAUUUUUUUUUUUUCAACAUCAAAACGACGCCGUUUUGGAUGACUUCCUUCCAAACCCUCCUCUUUAUAUUUGCAGCAGCUGCCGCCCGCCUCCAGGCCCACCCCCAACGUGUCGAGACAGGCUCCCACCGCUGUAACUGCUCCCCUCUUCCCCUCCCCAACUUGUGCAGUGGCAGUAGCUGCUUCAACCCCCGACUGUAACCCCACCUCUUUCCCUUCUCAGCCUGUGCAGAAGGUGAACAAGACUGGAAAACACCCCUGAGAAUUUAAAAACUCGGCACACUUUAGGAAAAGUGAGAUGGGAGAUUGGGUGUAGAUGGCACCCCCGCACCCCCCCGACCUAUGUAGUGGCAGUAAAAUUUUAAAUUUAUUUUUUAUGUUUUAUUAUUUUUAUAUUUAUUAUUUAAUGUGUUAUUUUUAUUUGUUGAUCAUAAUUUGAUAGAUAUUGGUAGAAUUUAUUAUUUUUUAAAUUUUUAAAUUUUUUCGAUAAUUUUUUCGAUUCAAUGACCAAUCCGAUUCUGAAAAUAUUGACAAAAUCUCAUCGAGAUGAUGUUAAGAAUUUUCAAUUUUUUGAAGAUAUAUAUAAAACAUAAUGAUUCAAUUAAGUAAAAUGCAUAAAACAAACUCAUAAAUAUAUUAUUAUUAAUAUAUUUUAUUUUCCAAAAGAUAAAAAUAAAAAUAAUCCAUCAAUGUAUAGACUCAGCUUUAGGCAAUUCGUUCGUUGAGGAAAGUAAAGACCAAGGACCAUAAGGAGUAAGGACCACGUAACUGAUAACCGAAAGAAGAGAGGGGGACCUUCAUAGACAAAAAAGAAUAUACCCUUUUAGGGGUCUAUCAUACGCACGUGCGACAGCAAGUGACCCUUUCUGAAUUUUUGUGGUAUGAUCUGUUUAUCCUUCGAAAAAAUUUAAAAACCAUACCGCUAAGAUAAGCAGACCACAGGGUCGACUUCUGGGCCCAAUUUCUAAUGGUUGACGGAUUCAGAUUCGAGUCAAUCUAUGAACAUGGCGGCAUUGCCUAUUUCCUAGGCUCCUAACUUUUAGCAUAAUAAUAGACAUCUGGCCAGGAAAGGCCACAUAAGAAGGGGAUACCACCAUACGCUUUCUUUCUUUCUUUCCAACCUGUUGUUUCCUUUUGCAUGAUUCCAUCUUGUAUUAUAGUUUUAAUUUUAAAAAAUAUUGAACAUUGGGAUAUAACAUGUCUUUCAUCCCUUUUUUUUUUUCCACUUUUUUUUAAGAAUUAAUUAGUUAAAAGGAAUGAAAUAACUCUCAUAUUUAUGAAUUUAAAAGUUUGUUUGGCAAUUAUUUUUGAAAAUAAUUCUGAAUAGUUUUUUAGAACACUUUUUAAAAAUUGUUAUUUAUUUUUUAUAGAAUAAAAGUCUAUUUUGAAAACUUAAAAUGUUUUUAGUUUAUUUUUAAUAUUUUAAAAUAUGUUUUAAAAAUAAUUUUUAUAUCUAUUUUUUUAUUUUUUAUUAUUUUAUAUAUUUGUAUAAUUAUUUAUUAAAAUAAUCAUCAGAAAACAAGUGAAAAUAAUAAAAAAUAACUAAAAUAUGUUAUUUGAAAAUAGUUUUUAAUUAUUAAAUGUGUUUUUUGUUUUGAAAAAUAAAAAACUAUUCUAAAUAUAGUUCAUAACUAAACCUUAACCCUUUUCAUGUUUUUACUUGAAAAAUGACCUAUAUUUGACAUAAAUGUCCUAUAUUAUUUCAAGUAUUUAUAUGUCGUUUUAAAAAAACUGAUUAUUUAAAAAAUAAUAAUGAUAUUUUUAUUAAAAUAAGAUUAAAAAAAUGAAGGGUUAAAUUUUCAAAUGUGGGUUUUUGAUGACCCUUUAAUCAAAUAACCACUCUAUAAAUCAAAUAUUAAUGUGAUAUUACAUAUCUAAUUGAAUAUCUUAAAAUGUUUUUUUAAUAAAAUAUAAUAUCUUUGUAUAUUAUAUUUGAUAAAAAUAAUAUUUUAUAUAUUUUCUACUUUAAAAUUGUGAUGGCUUAUUAAAUUUAAAAUAAACAAUAUUCAUAUAGUAGGAAAUAGGUUAUUAGACUAAAUCCUACUAUUUUUUUAAUUACAUUAAUUAAUUUAUGGGUGUUGUGAAUUAAUAUUUGAAUCAAAAUGAUUAAGCUAUUGUAAGCAUAUGUGAGUUAUAAAUAUAACAAAACAUUGAAAUACAACACCAAUGCUAUGCUUGAAGAGCAUGAAACCGAUUGUCCCCUGUUAUGACUUUAAUAUAUAAAAAUCAUGUCAAUCAAUGUAUAAUAGGUGAAGUGGGGUUUAGGAAUAUUAAGACCCAAUAAGGGAUAAUUUUUUUUUUUUUUUUUUUGGAUUUUGAAGUUGUAAUUUUAAAACGGGUUAUGAGUGUUUUAGUUAGGUUGACAAUUUUGGAUAAAAAUUCUUGUGUCUUCUAACUCGGGUUUUUCAAAUAUUUCCUUGGAUUACUUGCUUAAUGAAGAUGAAGAUGUUGAAAUUGCUUAAAGGUCAAAAUAUGUAUUUAAGGUUAUUGAUUGAUAAAAUUGAAUCAACUAAAGCUUUUCAAAUUGUUGUUUUUCUUACAUCACUUUUUUAAAGACUUGAGGAGGCUAGUGUAACAAUUUUUACUAAGUGUCUAUGUACCAUAUUAUAGGAUUAAUCCAGAUUUAAGUAAGAUUAAUCAAUCUUUUGCUGGAUUUUCUUUGAGUUAUUAGAUUAAGGGUUUCUUUUCAUAUUGAAUCCAAAUGUUUGAGGGUAGAGACACCAACAACCAUUUUUGUUUCUCCUUGAGUUCUCUUUCUUCAAUCAAAAUUGAGAGUGUUUGGUUUCUAAGAAAAUCCUUCUUAAUUAUCUUGAUUUUCAAAUCGUUUAUCAAUUGAAUUUUCUUAAAAAAAAAAAAAAAAGGGUUGAUUCAUAUCAUUCAUUCAUCUUCAUUUUCUCAUUUGUUUGGGUUUAGGUGAAAACUCAUAUUCUUCUUGUAUGGAUUCAAGAAGAAGUUGAGAUCAAGUUUGAUAUGUACUCCAAGUGCGAUCCAAAAGAAAAGACAUAUUGUUGAAGUGAAAAAGUGUUAACCAAGUAAUCCGUGAAAGAUUGAUGGAUUUGAGCUAGGUAAAUCUUUCUAUAUAUUGAUUGUUCUUCAUAAUGGAAGCUUUUAAUCAUUGAUAGACUCGUUUUUUUUUUAUCUCUAAAAGAUUUUUCCUAUAAAAAUCUGGUGUCAUUGUCUUUUCCUCAUUCUCCUCAUUUAUUUAUUUCCAUUUAUUGAUCUCAAUUUCACACUUGGGCAUAUAUGUUGGAUGAUGAAAAAUGAGUUCAAUCAUCCUUUGGAGAUCUUAGAUAAUUUUUUAUUCAAUUUGAUCAUGAUAUCAAGUAAUAAUUGAAAAUGUAUCAAAGAGUUAAUUAUUUUCGUGAAUUUAGGUUGGAGAAUGUUGACUAAUUUGCAUGUGAAUUGUAUCUAUAAAUUGGUAAAAGAGUGUUGUUGUACUUAUAUUUAUUUGUAAUUUUUAUUUUCUAUUAAAAAGUUGUUGGAAGAGAAGAAUUUGAACUACGAUAAAUUUUGAAAAAAGAUGAUAUGUAUCAAUAAUCUCUUGAAUUUGUUUAAAAAUACAUAUCCACUCCUUUUAGGUGUAGUCAGAUUUAUCUUUAUAAUUCAUAAUUUAUUCCAAUAAAAUUAGCAAAGAAUAUUAAAAUUGAUUACUGUGAAAAUUGCCUUCCUUGUUGAACAAAGAAAUAUGUAGAGUUUGUUAGGUUGUUACAAGUUAGUGGAAUUUUUUUAUUUUGUUAUUUUUCAUUUUCUGGAUGAGCUGGACUCUUCUCGAUUGUUCCAAGCCUUCCUAUAUAUGUAGCUACUGUACAAUAAGUGGGGGUGAAAUCAAUGAAUUAGUUUUAUUUCCCUCUUAGGCCUUUGUUUGCCUUUCUUGCCAUUUACCUUUUAUUUUUCUAUUAUGGUAUCAGAGCAUAUUCCUUCCAUUUUUCCUUCCUUCUGAGCAUGGCUAAGGGCAAACCUCCUCAGCAUUCUUUUCAGUCUCCCAUGGAAGAUCAUAGUAGUCCCUAUUUUCUUCACAAUGGUGAUCAUCCAAGUCUCUCUCUGGUUUCUCUUUCACUUGUUGGAUCUGGUUCAAACUAUCAUUCUUGGCGCCGAUCAAUGGUUACAGCUCUAAAUGCUAAAAACAAACUUGGGUUUGUAGAUGGAACCAUCUCACGUCCUGCUGCAACAGAUCUCCUUGCUGGUCCUUGGUCUCGCUGCAACAGCAUGGUCGUAUCUUGGCUCUCUAACUCGGUUUGCAAAGAAAUUGCAGAGAGCAUCCUCUAUCAUGAAACAGCCAUCGAAAUAUGGAAUGAUCUAUACGAACGAUUUCAUCAGGGCAGUGGUCCUCGAAUUUUUGAACUCAAGCAAAAAAUUCUUGCUCACACUCAGGGAUCGGCUGAUGUCAAUACCUACUAUACUCGACUAAAAUCCUUGUGGGAUGAGCUUCGAGAAUUCAAGGCGAUACCGGUUUGCAAUUGCGGUGGCAUGCGUGUUUAUAUGGAGGAUCAACAACGAGAAUCUGUGAUGCAAUUUCUGCUGGGUUUGAACGAAUCCUUUGCUCCGAUUCGAGCUCAGAUCCUGUUGAUGGAACCGACUCCUCCGCUGAACAAAGUUUUCUCCCUGGUUGUUCAAGAAGAACGACAACGAUCUCUUACCACAUCCAACUCUCCGGCAUUCACUGCUCCUGUUUCCUCCAGAUUUCAAGCGGCAUCCAGAGCUUCUUCUCCUACUAAUGCCUCUCGAUCAAGAAAUGAUCGCCCACUCUGUACCCAUUGCAACAUCUUGGGUCACACAGUUGAUCGGUGCUACAAAAUACAUGGGUAUCCACCUGGAUUCAGAAAUAGGCCCAACUUCAGGCCCAAUGGUUCUCGCCCAAAUCAGAUGCUACCCAAUAGUCUUCACACGAAUCAGUUAACUCUCACAGAUGGCUCCACCGCUUCUGCAUCUCCACCGCCUCUCACUCAUGACCAGCACAAUCAGUUAUUGGCUCUCUUGAGUUUGCACAACUCGAGUGGCUCCUCUGCCUCAUUCGAUGACAGCAACCCGCUUCAGCAAUCCAUUUCCAACUUCACUGGUAUCCUUUCUCUUUCUCCUUCAUCAUCCACUCUCAACCCUAGCAUUUGGAUUUUACAUUCAGGGGCAACCCACCAUGUUUGCACUAAUUCCUCCAUGUUUCACUCUAUUCAUUCAUUUUCUUCCAACACUGUCACUUUACCCACUGGUACAAAAAUACCAAUCACCGGAAUAGGCACCAUUCAUCUGUCACCUCAUCUCGUGCUUGAACAUGUUCUCUACAUUCCAACAUUUCAAUUUAAUCUUAUCUCCAUUAGUGCCUUAACUCAAACCAAUUGUUUUUCCUUUGAUUUUACUACUCAUUUUUGCUUCAUUCAGGACCAUUCACAGGGGAAGCUGAUUGGGAUGGGUAGACGUCAAGGCAACCUUUACCUCUUAGAUAGCUCAGCCUUUCGUUCUAUUUCCUCUGUAUUCGUUGUUGAUAACAACACUUCUGCUCAUGUAAACAAAUUGUGGCAUUUCAGAUUAGGCCACCCAUCUAAUGUCAAACUCAGUGUAUUGAAACCUCAUUUACAGUUGCAAAGUAAUGGCAAUACCAAUCUUUCUUGUUCAAUCUGCCCUCUGGCUAAACAGAAACGUUUGCCAUUUGAUUGCCAUAAUAAUUUAUCUUCUUCUCCUUUUGAUCUCAUACACUGUGAUAUUUGGGGUCCAUUUCAUAUUCCCACACAUGAUGGAUUUCGUUAUUUUUUGACAAUCGUUGAUGAUUGUACAAGGAAUACAUGGGUUCAUCUUCUACGUGCUAAAUCUGAUGUCAAGACCAUUUUUCCACAAUUUUUCUCCAUGGUUAAAACCCAGUUUGGUCUCACAAUUAAAGCAGUUCGCAGUGACAAUGCCCCUGAAUUAAAUCUGUCCAAUCUCUUUACCCAACUUGGUGUGCUCCAUUUUUUCUCUUGUGUUGAAACUCCUCAACAAAACUCGGUUGUUGAGCGUAAACACCAACACAUCCUAAACGUAGCUCGGGCCUUAUAUUUCCAAUCCAACAUACCUAUAGGAUAUUGGGGGGAUUGUGUGCUUACUUCGGUUUAUCUUAUAAAUCGAAUUCCAUCACCAUUACUGAACAACAAAACUCCUUUUGAGCUACUUCAUCAUAAAUCACCAUCUUACUCCCAUCUCAAAUCUUUCGGAUGUCUUUGUUAUAGUUCAACUUUUCCUAGCACCCGUCACAAAUUCUCUCCUCGAGCCUUACCUUGUGUUUUUUUAGGAUAUCCUUUUGGUUACAAAGGUUACAAAAUUCUAGACUUAGAGACCAACCGAAUAUCUGUCUCUCGGAAUGUUAUCUUCCAAGAAUCUGUGUUUCCUUUCAAGUUAUCUCAGAAUAAUAACUCUGUUGCUUCAGAUUUCUUUUCUGAAAAGGUGCUGCAUGUUGUACCAGUUUCUACCCCUUCCCCUUCUUUUGAUAAUUUGACUUCACAUCCUAACAGCCCUGACUCUUCCUCCAAUGACACUUCACCUCAUACCUCCUCCCACACAACCACCAGAUCUUCUAGAGUAUCCCAGCCACCCAAAUAUCUCUCUGAUUAUCACUGUUAUUUAGCUUCUUCUACUCCUCAUUUUGAUAUAUCCAACUCCACUCCUUACCCCUUAUCUGAUGUCAUCUCCUACAAUAAACUUUCCCCUUCUUUUCGUGCAUUUUCUAUUUCCAUUUCCACCAUCACAGAACCAACAACAUAUGCUGAGGCAGUCGUUGUACCCGAGUGGCAGCAUGCUAUGCGAGCUGAACUGCAAGCUUUAGAGUCCAAUAAUACCUGGUCUUUGUGCACUCUACCCCCUGGAAAAACAGCAAUUGGUUGCAAAUGGCUUUAUCGUGUUAAAUAUCAUGCUGAUGGUUCUAUUGAAAGGUACAAAGCACGACUUGUUGCCAAAGGGUUCACACAGCAGGAAGGUGUUGAUUUUUUUGAUACUUUUUCACCUGUUGCCAAGAUGGUUACUGUCAAGGUAUUACUCUCUCUUGCUUCUAUUUACAAUUGGCAUUUGACUCACCUUGAUGUCAACAAUGCAUUUUUGCACGGUGAUCUGUCUGAAGAAGUUUUCAUGCAUCUUCCUCCUGGUUAUCACCGUGAGGGGGAGCCUUUAUUACCUUCCAACACAGUUUGUAAGUUACACAAAUCCAUCUAUGGCUUGAGACAAGCAUCUAGGCAGUGGUUUGCAAAAUUCUCUGGUGUUCUAAUCUCUGAAGGCUUUCAGCAAUCUCAUUCAGAUUAUUCUCUAUUUAUCAAGACAGCAGGAAAUGAUUUUAUUGCUUUGUUAGUGUAUGUUGAUGACAUAAUAGUUGCUAGUAACAACAAGAUUGCUGCUGAUAAUUUGAAGAAUUCUCUCAACAAAAGCUUCAAAUUAAAGGAUCUAGGAAAUCUCAAGUAUUUUCUUGGACUUGAAGUAGCUAGAUCAGCUAAAGGGAUCCUGAUAAACCAGAGAAAAUAUGCUCUGGAACUCCUAUCUGAAACAGGCUACUUAGGAUGCAAACCUGCCAAAACUCCAAUGCAACCGAAUAUGCAACUUUCUCAAGAUGAUGGAGAGCUGCUAACAGAUCCCAGCAUGUACAGAAGGCUCAUAGGGAAGCUUAUAUACCUUACUAUCACCAGGCCAGACCUAACUUACUCGGUGAACAAGUUGAGCCAAUUCCUAAGUCAACCGAGGAGACCACAUUUGCAAGCAGUCUAUAGGAUUCUUCAAUAUAUCAAAGGCUCACCAGGCAAAGGUAUUUUCUUCUCAGCUUCCUCAUCUCUUCAAUUAAAGGCCUUCUCAGAUUCUGAUUGGGCAGCAUGCCCAGAUUCUAGAAAAUCAGUUACUGGAUUUUGUAUAUUUCUUGGAGAUUCUUUGAUAUCAUGGAAAUAAAAAAAGCAAAGGACAGUUUCAAGAUCCUCAGCUGAAGCAGAGUAUCGAGCAAUGGCUCAUGUGACUUGUGAGCUAACAUGGUUGAUUGCCUUACUCAAGGACUUAGGAGUUCCACACACACAACCUGCUUUGUUGUACUGUGACAACCAAGCUGCUCUACACAUUGCUGCAAACCCGGUCUUCCAUGAGCGUACUAAACACAUAGAGAUAGAUUGUCAUAUUGUAAGAGAGAAGAUUCAAACAGGUAUGCUCAAAACUCUGCAUGUUGCUUCACAACAUCAAUUGGCUGAUAUACUUACCAAACCUCUCUUUCCUGAUCAAUUCAAUUCUCUCAUAGACAAGAUGGGAAUGUAUAACAUAUACAUUCCAUCUUGAGGGGGAGUAUUAAAAUUGAUUACUGUGAAAAUUGCCUUCCUUGUUGAACAAAGAAAUAUGCAGAGUUUGUUAGGUUGUUACAAGUUAGUGGAAUUUUUUUAUUUUGUUAUUUUUCAUUUUCUGGAUGAGCUGGACUCUUCUCGAUUGUUCCAAGCCUUCCUAUAUAUGUAGCUACUGUACAAUAAGUGGGGGUGAAAUCAAUGAAUUAGUUUUAUUUCCCUCUCAGGCCUUUGUUUGCCUUUCUUGCCAUUUACCUUUUAUUUUUCUAUUAAAGAAUAAUAAAAAUUAUGAAAUUUGAAAAAGUGUUAUAAAAAACUAAUCCAAAGAGGAUCCAUGCGCCAUGACACACGCUAAUGUUCAAUCAUUUGACAGUAUUGGGGUAUAGAUACCUCGAUGUUACAGUCAAAGGACCGCCUGGUUUUUGGGCCCAUAACUUUUUGUUUGAUGGAUUCUGAUUCGGACCAAUCUCCUCAAUCCCAACCCGGCCUGUAGGUCCAAGAAUUUGUGAUUUAAUCAAGCGGCCACCGCCUAACAAAGAAAGUAUCACACCAUGUGAUCUGCCAUGUAUCACAUGGAAUUGGCUGAUUCUAUUCUUCAAAGGUCGAGAAUCCAUUCUCAUUCAAGUUGAUGAGUAGAGACCUGGCCCCUACAUAUAUAUAUAUAUAUAUAUAUAACAGGAUAGGAACUUUGGCAGGCUCCACCUGGGAAAUUAAUGAGCCGAAGGAUGUUGAAAUUGGAUUAAUAUAAGAUUUUUAUAGAGGGACCCAUCUAAAAGCUGAAUCUUGUGCGGUUUCUAUUAACAAAAAUGCUUGGAACCCUUGAACAAGAAGACAGUUCCACGAUUCCAUCAAAGAUAAUUUGGAAUCAUAAAAUGGCCCACAGUAUAGUCCAUAUGGAGGAAUACCAAAAGCGAGGUCUAUAUAUAUACAUACAUAUCCUUGUUUCCUGAUCACACGCACUUCUUCAGAUAGCUAGCUAGCACUAUUGAAUCCUCCAGAGUAGUCCCUUGAAAAACAUGCCUCGUCAUUGGAAUUACCAUUUUCCCACCCCUGAAGACAGCAAGUCCACAAGUGUUCCCUACACUAAGCAGCAGUUAGAUGAAUUCUUCAAACACCAUGACAAAAACGGCGACAAAUUGCUGAGCAAGGAAGAGCUGAAAAAGGCCUUCGACGAUCUGCAGUCACGUAAUCCUGGGUUUAGAGCAUGGAGAGCGAUGGGCAAAGCUGAUACGAAUGGAGAUCAGCACAUCAGCCAGCAGGAGAUGGAGGCUCUUCUGAAUUAUGCUGUGGGAAUAAAAUAUCAGAUCAAGGCAUAACAACCUUUCACUUACGUGCUUUAUAAUAAGGGGUCAACUAUGUAUGAUGCCCCAUCUUAUGAAUGUUCUCUUUACUCGACUGGGAGCAUAUGUACUUUAGCUUUCUCUAUUAACUAGACAAGUGUAACAGUGGGAGAUGAAGCUCCGUACGUGCCUCCAUUAUAAAAUUUCUAUCUGGGGAUGCUUGGACUAAAAUGAAUCCUUCAUCAGUGCUUGUUUUGAUUUUAUAACCGUUAAUUGACAUUCAGAAGCGAAACCUGUAGACCUUGUCCCGAAAGAACCUCCUCCUUUCUUUAGUUAUUCCUUCCAUCCAUUAUUGUCUUAUAAUAAGAUUUUUUUUUUAAAUUUAAUUAAGGGAACAUCAUGUUAAAAAGGCAAAUUAUGCAAUUUUAGUUUGACUUUUAAAAAUAAAAAGCAAUAAUCACUCCAACAUAAAAGGUGACAACUUUUAAAAAACUUGUCUUAAAAAAAAUGGAUUUUAAAAAUUAUUUUAAAAUUUGAUGUAUCAAAAUAUUUUUAACAUCUAAAAUUUUUAAAAGUAUAAGAUAAAUCUAUAUAUAUAUAUAAGAGCUAUUACAUUUUAUAUAUAUAGCUACAUCAUCUCAUUUAUGAUUUAAUAAAGCUAUUUUUAAAUUUUUAGAAAGGCCACUCAAGAUAUAUACUUGGAUUAUGCAUCCAUAUGAUAAUCAUGAUAGUUGGAGGAGAUGUAUCUUGGAAAAGUGUCAAAUAGAUACAUGUAGCUUCAUCCACUAUAGAAAGGUAGUUGGAUUUUGUGACUUCAAUUAUGCAAGCUGCAUGGCUUGUUUAUGUAUUGCAUGCUUGUGAUAGAUCAUUUUCAUUAUAUUUGUAAUAUUGUAUGUGUACAAUUCCUCAUUUGAAUGGUAAUGUGUGGAUUUGAGACAUUUGAUUUGUCUCAAAAUAUAUUGUUGUUUGAUUCAUAAGUGCUUAAUAAAUCUCGAACGCCUAAUUGUGUGUUUUAAUAUAUCAUAUUAGUUCAUUUUCAUGUAUGACUAUUUCUUGACUCUAUGACUAGUUUUUAGCUCUAUGUGUUUUGUAGGAUAUUUUAAAUUAUUUGACAUUUCGUGGUUGAGUGGGUAUUUAUGUGUGUCUAUGUAUGUAUGGCAUCCUCAAGAGCUACCAUGGACGAGCAAUUUUUGGCUUUCUAUGAUAUGCUUUAAAGUUCAAAUAAGAUAAAAUUAUAUUUUCAUUAAUAUAAUUGUAAUCAUUAUUUUUUUAACAAGUUUGUAAUUAUAUGCAAAAUCAUUACAUUUAUGUAGUUUUAAUAAAACUAUUUUAAAUUUUAUAAAUAAUUUUUAAUUAAAUUUGUUUAUUUGAAAUUAAUGUCCCAACUUUAGUUUCGGUCUCAAAUCAAAGUUAUAAGUAAUACGGUAUUUUCAAUGAGACCUUAUAUUUAAUUGUUACUUAAUUUGAUAAACAUUAUUCAUGAUUAUUUAAAAGUUUUAGAUUUUUUAAGUAAUUUAUAAAACUAUGAAGUUAAAUAUAUCAAUUUGUUUUCUUAUUAAUUAAUGACAUGUAUAAGAAAAGGUUAUAUGAAGUAUAGGUUUUAGAUGUUUUUAUUACUUAUGGUUUAAAUUGUUAAUUUAAAUUAAUUAUUGACAACUUAACAAGUCAACAACACAAAUAAAAAAUAUUUUUUAAAAAUAACAAAAAUAAGAACUUUGUUUUAAUAUAUAUAUAUUUUAAAAAUUGUAAUUAUUUUGAAAACAUAAUUCCUAACAUGUCCAAACUUGUUUAUUACAUAUACAUAGAGAAAUCAGUUUAACAACUAUUUUUAAAAAUGAAGUUCGAUUAUGAGAAACAAAAAAGCAAGAGACAAAAAAAAUGUUCUUAAAAUAUAAUUUUAUAAAUAUAGAGAAUAAUUAAAUAUAAAGCCCUAUAUAUUAGAAUUAUUUUUAAAACAUAUUUAAAAGCCUAAAAAAUAAGUUAAGAAUAUUCCAAAUUUUUAAAAAGACUUUUAUUCUAUUUUGGAAAUGCUUCUCAAACAAACGCCUAAUUCAGACAAUAAAAUUUACAAUUCAAUUGCUUUCAAAGAGAAUACAUAUGGAAGCUAUUAUUAUUUUUCCCCAAAAAAGAUAAUCAAAUUAAGGCUUAUAACCUUUUAACAAUUUUAUGAAAUGACACAUUUUUUUAUAUAUUUAUUAUAAAAGUCUUUCUGAAAAUGUAAUAAUCAAAUACUAACUGAUCUCCUUCUUAAUAGCUUUAUUAAAAUUCUAAAACGCAAAUUUACAUAUUCCUAAUAAACCAUUUUAUGAAAUUAAUUUUCAAAUUCAACGACAUAUAUAUACACGUGCCAUAUAUAUACACGUGCGUGCACACGCACGAAUGUGUGUACUUCAAGAGAACUAGAGCAAUGGAAAGUGGGGAAAACUCUCUUCUUCCAAAAUAUCUCCCCAUAACAAUUUUUAUCUUAGUAUAAAAGUUGUGAUCCCUUGAAGUCUGAAGAUUUCUCCUCCUCUACACUUGAUCGUCCUCACCACAAUGGUACUAGUUCAAGCCUAAAUACAACUUUGAUAAUGUUGUUUCUUAAUCAAGCAUUCACCAUUAGGUCUGAUCGCUCAAAUUAUCUUCUAUGGUGUUCUCAGAUGCUGACUAUUGUGAUUGCUAAUGGACUCGAGGAGAUGAUCGAUAGCUUACAGCCUUGUCCUUCGAAAUUUUUUUAUAACUCUGAGACUACAAAUCCAGAUUUUCAAAUCUAGCAAUGACAUAAUCAUUCAAUCAUGUGCCGGAUUUAUUCAUCUCUCGUCUACCACUUCUGAAAUCUGGAAUGUUCUUCAGAUAUUCUUCUCUACUGUCAAAAGCUAGAAUUAUGCAACUUCGUCUUCAACUUCAGACUAUGAACAAAGUUGGUUUGAAUAUGAUGCAAUAUCUUCUCAAGUGAAAUAUGCUACAGAUAAUCUUGUUGCAAUUGGAGAAUCGAUUUCUGAACAAGACCAUGUUCUUUGCUUGGUGGUUUAAGAGCUGAUUACAACUCCUUUGUGGUCUCUAUGACAUCUAGGCAUGAACCUCUGCAUCUAGAAGAGAUUCACAGUAUCUUGCUUACUUACAAGCAUCGCUUAGAGCAACAGAAUGCCGCCAAUGAAGCAAAUCUUCUCCAGGCAACCGUAGCCUCUCUGCAAUCAUAAGGAAACAAUUAUAAGAAAAAUCAAAGGAAUGGACAAUUCAAGUUUCAAAACCAUAACUAGAGUCAAUUGCAAUUCAACUAGCAACAAUUUGGUCUCACGAACGUGGUUUCUACACCAAUGGACAUUCAAGUAGAGGUAAUAGUCAAGGUAAUUCUUCAAAUAAUUUUGCUAAUUUCUCGAGACCUAAUUUUUCUAGAAAUGAUGAUAGUAAUCCAUAAUGUCAAGUUUGUAACAAAUAUGGUCAUAUUGUUAUCAUCAUUUUGAUCAUUCUUUCCAACCUUUUAUAAACAAUGAACUUGUGGUGAUGAUUGCUUCUUACUAUUGGUGAUGGCAAUUGGUUCAUGGACACUAGUUCUACUCGUCAUCUCACUCCUAAUCUAAACAAUGUCAUAACACCUCUCCUAUUUUCAGGUUCUAACAACAUCGGAAAUGGUACUAGUCUAGAAAUAUCUCAUGUUGGUUCUUCCUCUCUUCUUUCUGGUUCACGACUUUUAAUUCUCAAAAAUGUUUUACAUGUUCCUCGCAUUGCUAUAAAUCUUCUUAGUGUUCAUAAAUUGCCCACUAAUAAUAAAGUAGUGAUUGAAUUCCAUGCUAAUGGUUUCAUUGUAAACGAUCAAACUAUGAAGAAAACUCUUGUCCAAGGCAAAAUUGACAGUGGCCUAUACAAGCUAUGUGCUAUCAAGUCCGUUGAACAGAAUGUUAGUGCCAACUGUGCUAACAUUGAUGCUGGUCUGGUUGCAGCUACUUUAGUCUUGUGUUUUACUUCCCAAUUGAAUUCCAAUAAAGCAAGUUUUUGGCAUAACCUGUUAGGCCAUCCUGCAACUGAAGUGAUGAAUAAAAUAUUAUAUAUUUGUAGUCUUCCUCAAGAACAAUUUUUUGGUGUUUGGUGUAUCUUGUCAAAUGGCCAAAAGCCAAUGUUUACCAUUCCCUCUGUCAAUUUCUAGAGCCUCUCAACCUUUCAAACUUGUGCAUUCUAACCUCUAAGGACCUGCCCCCUGUUGUUGGCGUUAAUAUUGGUGCGAGACAUUUUGUACAUAAGCCUAUUGUCAAGCCAUUCCAACUUGGGUUUUUCAAAUCUUUCCUUAGACUACUUGUCUAAUGAUGAUUAAGAUGUUGAAAUUGCUUAGAGGUAAAUGUAUAUAUUUGAGAUUAUGAAUGUAUGGAAUUAAUCAACUAAGCUUUUUAAAUUUUUGCUUUUUCUUGAAUUAAUUUUUUAGAGUUGAGGAGGCUAGGGUAGCAAUUUUUUUACAAAGUGUUUAUGUGCCUCAUUCUAGGAUCAAUCCCAAUUUAAGUAAGAUCAAUCAAUCUUUUAUUGGAUCUUUUUUAAGCAAUUAGAUCAAGGGUUCCGUUUUAUAUUUAAUCCAAAUGUUUUCAUUUUAGGGCAAAGACACUCAUGGUUGCUUUUUACUCCCCUUAAGCUCUCUCUUUUCAAUCAAAAUUGUGAGUAUUUGGUUUUAAGAAAAUCCUCCUUACCUUGAUUUCCAAGUAGUUUAUCAAUUGGAUUUUCUUAAAAAAAAUUGGUUGAUUCAUACCAUUCACUCAUCUCUCAUUUUCUUAUUUGUUUGGGUUUGGGUUUGGGUAAAAACCCAUAUUCUUCUUGUGUAAAUUCAAGAAGAAGUUGAGCACGAGCCUAAUAUGGACUCCAAGUACACUCCAAAAGAUGAAGACAUGUUGAGAGUGAGAAGGUAUUAGUCAAGUAAUUUGUGAAGGAUUAGUGGAUUGAGCCCAAUAAAUUCUUAUAUAUGUUGGUCGUUUUAAUUUCAUAUUAAAAGCUUUUGAUUAUUAGCAAGCUUGUGGUUUUUUUUUUUUUUUUUUUGCCUCUUAAGAGAUUUUUUCACAUAAAAAUCCAGUAUUAUCGUUUCUUUCUCAUUCUCUUCAUUUGGUCAUUUCCAUUUAUUGAUCUCAAUUUCUUACUUUGGCAUAUAUGUUGAGAUUUAUCCUCAUAAUCCAUAAUUUAUUUCAAUAAAACUAGUAAAAAAAUAAAAAUAAAAAUUAUGAAAUUUGAAAAAGUGCUAUAAAAAACUAAUCCAAAGAGGACCCAUGCGCCACGACACACACUGAUGUUCAAUCAUUUGACAACAUUGAGCUAUAGAUGCCUCAAUGUUACAAUCAAUGGAACCACCUGGGCUUUGGACGGACUUUUCUCAAUAGUACGGUAAUUUAAAAAAGUUAUGCUUAAAUUAUUGUACUAGAAGAAGUUAUUACAAAUAUAUGGUAGUUUUUGCCACAUAGGAAAGAGGAGAGAGGGUAAACGGAUAAAUUUUUUUAAAACCAAAAUCAUCUUUUCAAAAAGGGAACUCGUCUCUUGAAGAGACGAGUUCCAUAAAAAUAUAUAUAUAUAUAUAUAUUUAAAAAAAUUCCCAAAUUAUAAAAAUAAAAAUAAAAAUUCCUCAAGGGAACUCGUUUCCUUCAAGAGACGAGUUCUCAUGGAAAAAAAAAUUCCCAAAUUAAAAAAAAAAAGAAAAUUUCUCAAAAAAAAAAAAAAACAAUUCUUCAAGGAAACUCGUCUCUUCAAGAGAUGAGUUCCCAUUAAAAUAUAUAUAUAUAUAUAUAUAUAUAUAUAUAUAUAUAUAUAUAUAUAUAUUUUAAAUUCCCAAAUUAAAAAAAAAAUUUUAAAUUCCCAAAUUAUUAAAAAAAAAAAAAACAACUCCUCAAGGGAACNNNNNNNNNNNNNNNNNNNNNNNNNNNNNNNNNNNNNNNNNNNNNNNNNNNNNNNNNNNNNNNNNNNNNNNNNNNNNNNNNNNNNNNNNNNNNNNNNNNNAUGUAAAACAUUUUUGAGAAUUAAAAGUCGUGAACCAGAAAGAAGAGAGGAAGAACCAACCUGAGAUAUUUCUAGACUAGUACCAUUUCCGAUGUUGUUAGAACCUGAAAAUAGGAGAGGUGUUAUGACAUUGUUUAGAUUAGGAGUGAGAUGACGAGUAGAACUAGUGUCCAUGAACCAAUUGCCAUCACCAAUAGUAAGAAGCAAUCAUCACCACAAGUUCAUUGUUUAUAAAAGGUUGGAAAGAAUGAUCAAAAUGAUGAUAACAAUAUGACCAUAUUUGUUACAAACUUGCCUUUAUGGAUUUCUUUCAUCAUUUCUAGAAAAGUUCCCAUGGAAAAAAAAUAUAUAUUUUUUUAAAAAAUAUAUUUCCUUUUAAAAAAAUUCACAAAUUAAAAAAAAACGAAUUUCCUCAAGGGAACUCGUCUCUUCAAGAGACGAGUUCCCAUGGAAAAAAAAAAUAUUUUUUAAAAAAAAUUCCCAAAUUAAAAAAAAAAAAAAAGGAAUUUCCUCAGGGGAACUCGUCUCUUGAAGAGACGAGUUCCCAUAGAAAAAAAAACAUAUAUUUUUUUAAAAAAUAUAUAUAUUUUUUUAAAAAUUCCCAAAUUAAAAAAAUAAUAAUAAAAAAAAAAAUAAAAAAGGAAUUUCCUCAAGGGAACUCGUCUUUUGAAGAGACGAGUUCCCUUGUGGAAUUUUUUUUUUUUUUUUAAUUUGGGAAAUUUUUUUUUUCAUGGGAGGAAAUUCCUUUUUUUUUUUUUUUUUAAUUUGAGAAUUUUUUUAAUAUAUAUAUAUAUAUUUUUUUUUAAAUAUAUUUUUUUUUCCAUGGGAAUUCGUCUCUUGAAGAGACGAGUUCUCUUGAGGAAAUUCCUUUAUUAUUUUUUUUUAUUUGGGAAUUUUUUUAAAUAUAUAUAUAUAUAUAUUUAAAAUUUUUUUUUUCCCUUGAGGAAUUGCCUUUUUUUUUUUUUUUUUUAAUUUGGGAAAUUUUUUUUAAAUAAAAAAUAUAUUUUUUAAAUAUAUAUUUUAAAUAAUUUGGGAAUUUCUUAAACAAAAUAUAUAUAUAACUCGUCUCUUGGAAAUUCUUUUUUUUUUUCUUUUUAAUUUGCGAAUUUUUUAAAAAAAAAAUAUUUUUUUUUCCAUGGGAACUCGUCUCUUGAGGAGUUGUUUUUUUUUUUUUUUUUAAUAAUUUGGGAAUUUAAAAAAAAAAAAAAAUUCAUGGGAAGAGACGAGUUCCAUUGAGCAAUUGUUUUUUUUCUUUUUCUUUUUUUAAAUUUUGGAAUAUUUUAAAAAUAUAUAUAUUUUUUUUAAUGAGAACUCAUCUCUUGAAGAGACAAGUUUCCUUGAGGAAUUGUUUUUUUUUUUAGGAAUUUUUUUUUUAUAAAUAAUUUGGGAAUUUUUUUUUCCAUCUCUUGAAGAGACGAGUUCCCUUUGUUUGAAAAGAGCCUUGAAAAGAUGAUUUUAGUUUUAAAAAAAUUUAUCCGUUCACCCUCUCUCCUCUCUCCUAUCUCCUCUCUCCUUCACCCUCUCUCCUCUCUCCUAUGCGGCAAAAACUACCAGAUAUUUGUAAUAAUUUCUUCCACUACAAUAAUUUAAGCAUAACUUUUUUAAAUUACCGUACUAUUGAGAAAAGUCCGGCUUUGGACCCAUUACUUUUUGUUUGAUGGAUUCUGAUUCGGACCAAUCUCCUAAAUCCAAACCCGGCCUGUAGGUCCAACUCCAAGAAUUUGUGAUUUAAUCAAGCGGCCACAAAGAAAGUGAUCACACCAUGUGCUCUGCCAUGUAUCACAUGGAAUUGGCUGAUUCCAUUCUUCAAAGGUCGAGAAUCCAUUCUCAUUCAAUUUGAUGGGAUAGAGACCUGACCCUUUACAUAUAUAUAUAUAUAUAUAAAUAAAUUAUUUUAAAAAAAUUAUAUUUUAAAAAUAAAGAUAAAAAUAUACUACUUUUGACUAUUAAUUAAAUACGAAAAUUUACAUUGAAAUAAUCUUUUAAGGGACAUGCAAAUUCAUUGUUUAUAUUGUUUUAUCUUAUCAUCUAUUGAUCAGAUGAAUUUAAUUUUUUUUUUAAAUGAGUUAAUUAUUAUUAUUAUUUUGGUAGACCUCCCAAAAGCUCCUUGAUAAUCCCUUGUGCGGUUCUAAGUCUAAAAGCCGGGAGAGAAAACUUCAACAGAGCACGAGGAACUUUGGCAGGCUCCACCUGGGAAAUUAAUGAGACGAUUACCAAGGAUGUUGGAAUUGGAUUCAUAUGAGAUUUUUAUAGGGGACCCAUCUAAAAACUGAAUUUUCUAAGAGCGGUUGUCCGUUAACAAAAAUGCUUGGAACCCUUAAACAACAAGACACUUCCAUGAUUCCAUCGAAGAUAAUUUGGAAUCAUAAAAUGGUCCACAGUAGAGUCCAUAUGGAGGAAUAUCAAAAGCGAGGUCUAUAUAUAUACAUACAUAUCCUUGUUUCCUGAUCACACGCACUUCCUCAGAUAGCUAGCUAGCUAGAACUAUUGAAUCCUCCAAAGUAGUCCCUUGAAAAACAUGCCUCGUAAUUGGAACCCUUUUGAAGGCAAGUCCACAAGUGUUCCCUACACUAAGCAACAGUUACACGAAUUCUUCAAACAACAUGACAAAGACGGCGACAAAUUGCUGAGCAAGGAAGAGCUGAAAAAGGCCUUCGACGAUCUGCAGUCACGUACUCCUGGGUUUAGAGCAUGGAGAGCAAUGGGCAAAGCUGAUGCGGAUGGAGAUCAGCACAUCAGCCAGCAGGAGAUGGAGGCUCUUCUGGAUUACGCCGUGGGAAUAAAAUAUCCGGUCAAGGCAUAACAACCUUUUACUUACGUACUUUAUAAUAAGGGAUGUAUCAUGUAUAUAUGAUGCCCCAUCUUAUGAAUGUUCUCUUUACUCUACUGGGAGUGUAUGCAUUUUAUCUUUCUCUAUUUACUAGAUAUAAAGUUUAACGAUAGCAUUGAUCGAUAUAGAGCUCUUUUGGUAACCAGGUUUCAUCAAACUCUUGGUUUUGACUACUUUGAAACAUUCAGUCUUGUUGUCAAACCAACUACCAUUUGUAUUGUUCUUACUUUAGCUUUAAGCAUGGGGUGGAGUAUUCGACAACUUGAUGUACGUACAUAAUGCUUUUCUCAAUGGUAACUUAGCUGAGCAAGUCUUUAUGACUCAGCCUAAAGGGUUUGUGGACUCCUCCAAACCCAAUUAUGUGUGUAAAUUAACUAAGGUUUUUUAUGGUUUAAAACAAGCUCUGUAUGUUUGGUUCAACAAACUCAAUACUGCUCUUCUUUGGUGGGGUUUUAUGUCAAGUCAUUAAAAUAUACUUAUUAGCAUUUUCAUUGUGUUUAUUGUGACACCUACCACUACUCUAAUGAGGUGGGGUUUAGGAAUGUUAAGAUUUAGUUAGGGGUAAUUUUUUUAUUUUGGAUUUUAAAGUUGUAAUUUUCAAUGGGGGCUAUGAGUGUUGAGUUAGAUUGACAAUUUCAAACAAAAAUUUCUACAUAUCUCCUAACUCGAGUUUUUCAAAUCUUUCCUUCGAUUACUUGUGUUAUGAAGAUUAAGAUGUUGAAAUUGCUUAGAGGUCAAGGUAUAUAUUUGAGAUUGUAAAUGUAUGGAAUUGAAUCAACCAAGUUUUUAAAAUUAUUGUUUUUCUUGAACUAUUUUUUAAAAGAGUUGAGGAGGCCAAGGUAGUAGUUUUUUACUGAGUGUUUAUAUGCCCUAUUUAGGAUCAAUCCAAAUUUAAGCAAAAUUGAUCCAUCUUUUACUAGAUUUUUUUUAAGCUAUUGGAUUAAGGGUUCCCUUUCAUAUUUAAUCAAAAUGUUUCUAGUUUAAGGCAGAGACACUAGUAGUUGUUUUUUACUCCCCUUAAGCUCUCUCUCUUCAAUCAAAAUUGUGAGUGUUUGGUUUCAAGAGAAUCCUCCUUACCUUGAUUUCUAAGUAGUUUAUCAAUUGUAUUUUAUUACAAAAAUUGGUUAAUUUAUACCAUUCACUUAUCUCACAUUUUCUUAUUUGUUUGGGUUUAGGUGAAAAAUCUUGUGUAGAUUCAAGAAGAGAUCAAGAUCGAGCUUAGUAUAGACUCUAAGUACAAGCCAAAAGAUGAAGACAUAUUACUAAAAUGAAAAAGUGUUAGUCAAGUAAUUUGUGAAGAUUAGUGGACUUGAACUUAGUAAAUCUUUGUAUAUAUUAAUUGUUUUUCAUAAUGAAAACUUUUGAUCGUUGGCAAGCUUAUAGUUUUUUUUUUUUUAAGAGAUUUUUCACAUAAAAAUCUAGUGUUAUCGUCUCUCUUUUAUUCUCCUCAUUUGUUCAUUUACAUUUAUUGAUCUCAAUUUUAUGCUUAGGCAUAUAUGUCAAAUGGUGAAAAAUGAGUUUGAUCAUCCUUUGAAAAUCUUAUAUAAUUUUUUUGUUCAAGUUGAUCAUGAUAUCAAGUAAUAAUUGAAAAUGCGGUUAAAGAGUUUAUUAUUUUUGUGAAUUUAGGUUGGGGAGUGUUGAUUUAUGUGCAUGUGAAGUACAUUUAUAAAUUAUUAAAAGAGUAUUAUUGCAUUCAUGUUUGUGAUUUUUAUUUUUAUUGAAAAGUUGUUAGAAAAUAAAUAAAUAAAUCUUGGGAAACGGUAAAAAAUGAUCGAUUGUAUGUGUCAUAAGAAGUCUUAAAAUAUGUUUGAAAAUAUCUCUUCAAUGCCCUAUAAAUAUAACACAUCAUUGAGAUUCAACGACGGGGUUCAAUAAAAUUAGUCAAAAAUUAAGUAAAAAUAUAUGAAAUUUUAAGAAGUAUUUUCAAAAACUGAUCCACACGGGAGCUAUGGGCCAUGACACGUGCUAACUUUUUUUCCGUUUCACAGCAUUAGACACCUCGAUAUUACGAACAAUGGACCACCUGAUUUUUGGGCCCGUUACUUUUUGUUUGAUGGAUUCCGAUUCGGACCAAUCUCCUAAAUCCAAACCCGGCCGGUGGGUCCAAGAAUUUGUGAUUUAAUCAAGCGGCCACUGCCUAAGGGGCCGGCCACAAAGAAGUAUCAGACCACAUCCCCUGCCGUGUAUCAGAUGGAAUUGGCCGAUUCUAUCCUUCAAAAGUCGAGAAUCUAUGCUCUAUUCAAUUUGAUGAGAAGAGAGCUCACCACCCAAAAAGUGGAAGUACUUUUUUUUGGUUGUAGUCCUCCAAAAGCUCCAUGAUAAUCCCAUAUGCUGUUCUACGUCUAAAAGCUAGAAGAAAGAACUUUAACAGAAAAAUGCUUGGAACCCUUAAACAACAAGACACUUCCAUGAUUCCAUCGAAGAUAAUUUGGAAUCAUAAAAUGGUCCACAGUAGAGUCCAUAUGGAGGAAUACCCAAAAGCGAGGUCUAUAUAUAUACAUACAUAUCCUUGUUUCCUGAUCACACGCACUUCCUCAGAUAGCUAGCUAGCUAGCACUAUUGAAUCCUCCAAAGUAGUCCCUUGAAAAAACAUGCCUCUUAAUUUGAACCCUUUUCCCACCCGUGAAGGCAAGUCCACAAGUGUUCCCUACACUAAGCAACAAUUACAGGAAUUCUUCAAACAACAUGACAAAGACGGCGACAAAUUGCUGAGCAAGGUAGAGCUGAAAAAGGCCUUCGACGAUCUGCAGUCACGUAAUCCUGGGUUUAGAGCAUGGAGAGCAAUGGGCAAAGCUGAUGCGGAUGGAGAUCAGCACAUCAGCCAGCAGGAGAUGGAGGCUCUUCUGGAUUACGCUGUGGGAAUAAAAUAUCCGUUCAAGGCAUAACAACCUUUUACUUACGUGCUUUAUAAUAAGGGAUGUAUCAUGUAUAUAUGAUGCCCCAUCUUAUGAAUGUUCUCUUUACUCGACUGGGAGCAUAUGUACUUUAGCUUUCUCUAUUAACUAGACAAGUGUAAAAGUGGGAGAUGAAGCUCCGUACGUGCCUAGAUUAAAGAAUUUCCAUUUGGGGAUGCUUGGACUAAAGUGAAUCCUUCAUCAGUGCUUGUUUUGAUUUUAUAACCGUUAGUUGACAUUCAGAAACGAAACCUGUAGACCUUGUCCCGAAAGAACCUCCUCCUUUCUUUAGUCAUUCCUUCCAUCCAUUAUUGUCUUGUAAUAAAAAAUAUUUAUUCCGAAGGAUGAAAUAGUUUUCAUAUUUAAAUACUACUACUACUAAUAAUAAUAAUAAUAAUAUAUUAAAAAUUAUAUAUAUUAGAAAAUUCCUUACAAUAGAUUUUCUUUAUAUUUUAAAAUUCUUGUAAUUAGUUGUAAUUUCCUAUUUUUGUUGUAAUUCUCUAAUUCUAGGAUUGUUUCCUAUUUUUGUUGUAAUUCUCUAAUUCUAGGAUUGUUUCCUAUUUUUGUGUUUUGGGCUAAUUUGAGGAUUGUUUCAUGUUUUUGUUGUAAUCCCCUAAUUCUAGGAUUGUUUCCUAUUUUUGUGUUUUGGAUAGAUUGUUUCCUAUUUUUGUGUUUUUUGGUAACUCAAGGCAAUGCCCAUUUUUGUGUAUAUAUAUUCAUUCUUAAUCAAUGGAAAAGUUAAGUCAUUGUUUCUCAAUAAUUAUCUCUCUACUUCAACAUGGUAUCAAGAGUCUAAUCUUCUUGGGCGUAUUUUUUUUUUUUUUUUUCUUUUCCUAUAAACACUAGAAGAAAUCUACAACUAGUCUCCUCAAUGGCUUCCGGUGCAUCCUUCUCUUCCACCAACGAUCUUAUCACCAUCCAAAACUCCCAAGAUCCUCAACAUCCACUUCGUACAAUUAAUCUCUCCAAUAUCACCAAAUUGUCAUCCAUCAAUUAUCUCACAUGGAGCCUUCAAAUCCGAUCUCUUCUUGAAAGUUAUGAUCUUCAUCACUUCAUUGAUGACACUCAUUCUCCACCACCACCCACCGUCACCGUCACUGGUGUUGCAUCUCCAAAUCUGGCAUACACAACCUGGAAGCGUCAGGAUUGUCUCAUCUUUAGCGUUUUCCUUGGUGCUAUCUCUGUUUCACUACAAUCGCUUAUUUCCUGUACCACCACUUCCCUUGAUGCAUGGCAAACCUUAGCCAAUACCUAUAUCAAACAAUCUCGUGGUCAUAUUAACAAUUAAAGCGAUGUACCAAGGGCUCAAAAUCAAUUAGUGAAUAUAUGCAAGCGAUAAAGACUCGUGCUAAUGAACUUGCCCUUUUGAUGAUGAUGAUCUUAUUGAUCAGGUUCUUGAAGGACUUAGUGAUGAGUACAAAUUCGUCAUUGAUGCAAUUAAUGCCCGUGACACGUCAAUUUCUUUUGUUGAGCUCCAUGAGAAACUUCUCAACAAAGAAGCAUAUCUUCAGACCGCUCAACCAUCUCCUUUAUCACUACCAACAACGAUAAAUCCCACAACCUUUUGGAAUCAUCCAAAUUGGCGUCCACCAGCCACCACUCCACAACAACCAGGCCCUACCACUACGUUUUCUUCUCAUGAUCAACGCCAACCUAAACCUUAUUUAGGUUGUUGUCAAGCAUGCGGUAUUCAAGGACACACUGUCAAAUGAUGCCCGAUGUUUCGGCUUGUCACUAAUCAACAAUCCCCGACACCUCGUCCUCAAGGCACUCAGGCAUAUCGCCCCUCCACACCCUGGCAACCACAAGCCAAUCAUGUUGUUCUCGAUAACAACACUAAUCCUACUUGGCUGUUGGAUAGUGGAGCAUCUCACCAUGUUACGUCUGACUUGAGCAACAUCUCUCUUCAUAACCUGUAUCUAGGAUUUGAUGAUGUCAUGAUCGACGAUGGAUCGACCCUUCCAAUCACACAUACCAGUUCUACCACCAUACUUACUUUCUCUUGCACCUUUACUUUACAAAGCAUCCUUUGUGUCCCUUCCAUGCAAAAAAACUUAAUUUCAAUUUAUCAAUUUUGCAUUAAUAUCCAUGUUUCUGUUGAAUUCUCACCCUCUGUUUUUCAAGUGAAGGAUCUAAGUACGAGGGCAAUCCUUUAGAUGGGUGAACCUAAGGAUGACGUAUAUGAGUGGCCGACUACAUUCCCUUCUAUUACAUCUUCACCGAUGUUUGCAUUUUCCAAUGUCAAAACCACUUCGUCCGAGUGGCACUUUAGACUAGGUCAUCCAUCAUUAACUAUUAUGAAAAAUAUUAUCUCCAAGUGUUCUUUACCAUUGUCUAGUCUAUUAUCCUCUUCCACACAUUGUAAUGCAUGUUCAUGUAAUAAAAGUCAUAAAUUUCAUUUUCUUCUUCUACCUUAACCUCAUCAUAUCCGCUUGAACUUCUCUUUUAUGAUGUAUGGACCUCUCUUAUUUCUUCUGUUGAUGGUUUUCAGUACUAUGUUAUUUUUGUUGAUCAUUAUACACGGUAUAUUUGGUAUUAUCCACUUAAAAGGAAAUCCCAUGUGUAUGAUGUCUUUGUGCGCUUCAAGGCAUUAGUCGAAAACAAAUUUAAACACAGGAUUGUUACCCUCUAUUCAAAUAAUGGUGACAAAUAUCAAGCCCUUGAUAAUUUUCUUUUCACCAAUGGUAUAUCUCAUCUUACUACACCACCACAUACACCUGAACACAAUGGUAUUUUCAAACGACGUCAUCGCCAUAUUGUUGAAACCGGUCUAUCUCUUCUCACUCAUACAUCGAUGCCUCUAACUUAUUAGACUUACGCAUUUGCCACUGUUGUAUAUCUUAUCAACCGUAUGCCCACACCCACACUACAUCUCUCAUCUCCUUUUGACAAACUCUUUGAGUCUCCAUCCAACUACACUAAACUUUGGGUGUUCGGUUGCUUAUGUUAUCCAUGGCUUCGUCCUUAUUCUCAACAUAAACUUGACUCUCGUUCCACUCCUUGUGUUUUUCUUAGUUACUUUUCAACACAAAGUGCCUAUAUUUGUCUUGAUCUGUCCAUUUCUAAAACAUAUAUUUCUCGUCAUGUCAAAUUUCUUGAAAACUCUUUUCCCUUUACCACUCACCAAUCCCAUCUAGCUCGUCCCACCUCAAAUAUCAUUUCCAACUGGCUUUUCCCAGUCCAAACUCUACCCAUGUCAACUGGCUCACUCAAUACACCUCCACAAAGGGAUUCCUCAUGUCAACAUUCGUCACAAAAUGCCCAAUCGGUCGACUACCCCUCCUCACCAAUCGACCAUUUACCACCAGAACCAUAGAGUUUUGAGACCUCUUCUACUUCAACCACAACUCUAUCCACCCAUCCCAUGACCACUAGAGCCAAAAACAACAUUCAUAGACCCCUAACCAAGAUGAAUCUCACUAUUGUCCUUUCUCAACCAUCAGACAUUGAGUCUCAUACUGUUAACCAAGCCCUAACCGAUCCUAAAUGGAGACAAGCUAUGAAUGAUGAAUUUGAUGCUCUUGUUCGAAAUGGAACUUGGGAGCUUGUUUCAUCUACUUCUAUGCAGAAUCUUGUUGGAUGUAAGUGGGUUUUUUUCGUAUUAAACGGCUUCCUGAUGGUUCUGUUGACAAGUACAAGUACGGCUUCCUGAUGAAUUUAUACCAUUCACUUAUCUCACAUUUUCUUAUUUGUUUGGGUUUAGGUGAAAAAUCUUGUGUAGAUUCAAGAAGAGAUCAAGAUCGAGCUUAGUAUAGACUCUAAGUACAAGCCAUAAGAUGAAGACAUAUUACUAAAAUGAAAAGGUGUUAGUCAAGUAGUUUGUGAAGAUUAGUGGACUUGAACUUAGUAAAUCUUUGUAUAUAUUAAUUAUUUUUCAUAAUGAAAACUUUUGAUCAUUGGCAAGCUUAUAGUUUUUUUUUUUUAAGAGAUUUUCCACAUAAAAAUCUAGUGUUAUCGUCUCUCUUUUAUUCUCCUCAUUUGUUCAUUUACAUUUAUUGAUCUCAAUUUUAUGCUUAGGCAUAUAUGUCAAAUGGUGAAAAAUGAGUUAAAAUGAGUUUGAUCAUCCUUUAAAAAUCUUAUAUAAUUUUUUUGUUCAAGUUGAUCAUGAUAUCAAGUAAUAAUUGAAAAUGCGUUAAAGAGUUUAUUAUUUUUGUGAAUUUAGGUUGGGGAGUGUUGAUUUAUGUGUAUGUGAAGUACAUUUAUAAAUUAUUAAAAGAGUAUUAUUGCAUUCAUGUUUGUGAUUUUUAUUUUUUAUUGAAAAGUUGUUAGAAAAUAAAUAAAUAAAUAAAUCUUGGAAAACGGUAAAAAAUGAUCGAUUGUAUGUGUCAUAAGUAGUCUUAAAAUUUGUUUGAAAACAUCUCUUCAAUGCCCUCUAAAUAUAACACAUCAUUGAGAUUCAACGACGGGGUUCAAUAAAAUUAGUCAAAAAUUAAGUAAAAAUAUAUGAAAUUUUAAGAAGUAUUUUCAAAAACUGAUCCACACGGGAGAUAUGGGCCAUGACACAUGCUAACUUUUUUUCCGUUUCACAGCAUUAGACACCUCGAUAUUACGAACAAUGGACCACCUGAUUUUUGGGCCCGUUACUUUUUGUUUGAUGGAUUCCGAUUCGGACCAAUCUCCUAAAUCCAAACCCGGCCGGUGGGUCCAAGAAUUUGUGAUUUAAUCAAGCGGCCACUGCCUAAGGGGCCGGCCACAAAGAAGUAUCAGACCACAUCCCCUGCCGUGUAUCAGAUGGAAUUGGCCGAUUCUAUCCUUCAAAAGUCGAGAAUCUAUGCUCUAUUCAAUUUGAUGAGAAGAGAGCUCACCACCCAAAAAGUGGAAGUACUUUUUUUUGGUUGUAGUCCUCCAAAAGCUCCAUGAUAAUCCCAUAUGCUGUUCUACGUCUAAAAGCUAGAAGAAAGAACUUUAACAGAAAAAUGCUUGGAACCCUUAAACAACAAGACACUUCCAUGAUUCCAUCGAAGAUAAUUUGGAAUCAUAAAAUGGUCCACAGUAGAGUCCAUAUGGAGGAAUACCCAAAAGCGAGGUCUAUAUAUAUACAUACAUAUCCUUGUUUCCUGAUCACACGCACUUCCUCAGAUAGCUAGGUAGUUCUCCAAAGUAGUCCCUUGAAAAACAUGCCUCGUAAUUGGAACCCUUUUCCCAAAGAUGAAUGCAAGUGCACAGAUAUUCCCUACACUAAGCAGCAGUUACAUGAAUUCUUCAAACAACAUGACAAAAACGGCAACAAUUUGCUGAGCAAGGAAGAGCUGAAAAAGGCCUUCGACGAUCUGCAGUCACGUAAUCCUGGGUUUAGAGCAUGGAGAGCAAUGGGCAAAGCUGAUGCGGAUGGAGAUCAGCACAUCAGCCAGCAGGAGAUGGAGGCUCUUCUGGAUUACGCUGUGGGAAUAAAAUAUCAGAUCAAGGCAUAACAACCUUUCACUUACGUGCUUUAUAACAAGGGGUCAACUAUAUAUGUAUGAUGCCCCAUCUUAUGAAUGUUCUCUUUACUCGACUGGGAGCAUAUGUACUUUAGCUUUCUCUAUUUACUAGAUCAGUGUAAAAAUGGGAGAUGAAGCUCCGUACGUGCCUAGAUUAAAGAAUUUCCAUUUGGGGAUGCUUGGACUAAAAUGAAUCCUUCAUCAGUGCUUGUUUUGAUUUAAUUUAUAACCGUUACUUGACAUUCAGAAACGAAACCUGUAGACCUUGUCCCGAAAGAACCUCCUCCUUUCUUUAGUCAUUCCUCCCAUCCAUUAUUGUCUUAUAAUAAAAAAUAUUUUUCAAAGGAUG